This 108642-nucleotide long non-coding RNA is filed under the name Prunus persica (peach). RNAcentral describes it as "long non-coding RNA (PPER_LNC001496)". The record is from RNAcentral. Lineage: Eukaryota; Viridiplantae; Streptophyta; Magnoliopsida; Rosales; Rosaceae.
GAAAAGAGCACAAAUGACGUUGGCAAACCUGAAACUUUCCCAUUGGGCAAUCAAAAUUACUCCAGUCAAAAAAAUUAUGGAACAGGCAAUAAACGUUACUGCAGUCAAAAAAGGUAUGGAAGAGGCAAGAAACGUUACUGCGAUCAAAAAAAGUAUGGAAGAGGUGCUUCUCCAUCUGACAAUCAACUACUCCAUUAUAAAGACUUAGCUAUUUUCUUCUUGGAGAAGGACAUGCGCCCUGGCACAACAAUGAAGUUCCAAUUCUCUAGAAAUUCAAACACGGCUACUUUCUUGCCACGAGAAAGCGCUCAAUCGAUCCCCUUCUCCUCUAACAAACUACCAGAAAUUUUCAACCAUUUUUCAGUGAAGCCAACAUCUGAGGAAGCCAAAACAAUUAAGCAAACAAUCGAAGAGUGUGAAGCUCCCGGCCUUAAGGGAGAGGAAAUAUAUUGCGCCACAUCUUUAGAAUCAAUGGUUGAUUUUAGCACUUCGAAGCUUGGAACAAGAAACGUUGAAGCAAUCUCGACGGAGGUAUUGGAAAAAGGAGCCACCAUGUCCAUGCACAACUAUACAACAAUGCCGGGACUGAAGAAGUUGGCCAGUGACAAAGUCGUUGUGUGUCAUAAGCAGAACUAUCCCUAUGCUGUGUUUUUCUGCCAUGCAAUAAAACAUACAGCAGCUUAUGUUCUCUUCCUGAAAGGCGAUGAUGGGGAGAAGGUUAAAGCAGUAACCAUCUGUCAUCUAGACACAUCAGAAUGGAACCCAGAGCAUAUGUCCUUCCAAAUCGUCAACGUUAAGCCCGGAACCAUUCCCAUCUGCCAUUUCAUUUCCACUGAUGCUAUUGCCUGGGUUCCGAACCACAAAUCUGCAUGAUCAUCACUUAGCACUGUACGUAUAAUUAUCUCCUUACUUAUUUCUGCCUCUUCAUCAUGUGGUGUAAGAUAUAUGAUGAGAUGAAGUUUUUGGGAUUAGUGGUUGGGUUGCCUGAAAAACACAGAUUACAGAAACUGCUUGAAAUUAACCCGAUCAUGUUUUCUCUUGUAACUAUAUAGACUUCAACUUGUACUCAUAAUAAAGCAUGCUAUAUUUAUGAAGAGAUAUUAAUCUAUAUAUAUUUUUUAUAUAUGCUUUGGCUUUGUGGUUCUACCCAAUGUUUGAGUGUUGAAUUGUUACGUUGGAAUAGGCUGCUAAUGCAUGUAGUUAGAGAAGCCUUCAUUUAUAUCAAAGUCCUCAAACUAUCAAGAACUAAUGUAUCCAGAAACAUAUACCAAGACGCAAAACAACAUAUUUUCCAUGCUCUGUCUGUAACACCAAAGCAAACUUCCUUGAUCACAAAAGGAUCAAAUUCCAGUACUAAUCUAAUCCAUCAUGUAAAGCAUACAAGUGCCUCCCUAAAUACUAUACUCUUUUUGUUAUUUCCUACUAUACUAUUUAAGAUUUAAAAUUCAGGUCAACCCAUAGAUUUCUCGCCUUUUUCUUCUUCAUCUCGUCGGGCUUGUCUUCUUCUUGAGGAUUGUAUAGGCCAAGGAAAUGCUUUGAGUUAGUUUUUGCGCUUUUGCGUUUUGGGCCUUGGAAGUUGGGACCCAAACCAACUUCACAAAAAGAAAACGCUCAGACUAUAAUGAGUGGAAAGUUAUAAGGGGUAAGUUAUAAGGAGUUCACUUUAUAGCCAUCAGAUCAAUCUAAGGGCUGGGGAGAAUUGAGAUAAAGUUUUAAAAUCGGGUAGGUGAGGAACCCAAACCCGAAUUGAAUAUCCAGCACGUCCGAAAAAGAAGAAGAAGAGGCAAGCACGUCCGAAAAAGAAGAAGAAGAGGCAAGGUCGAAGUUUGAACAGAAAAAACUCAUCUCUUUAAAACCCAUAGCUCUGAGAAACGGUUGAAGGCAACGGUUAACGACGGUUGUUGAAGCCACUCCGUUCUCCAGACCCUGAAAAAGUAUUUAUUUUGAGUAGAAGGGGCAAAUGUGUGGAUUCCGAAACAGUGAAGGGGCGAAGCAGUGGAAGGGGAAGGAGAGAAGCCGUAUUCGUUGGAAGUGGUAGGUUCCAUUUGUGGAGCAAAGCAACACAAAGACCCCGCACAGACACCUUGCGAUUGUUCAAUAACCAGCAUUUGGUGAGUAAUUUAUGGAAUUUGAGUUUAGGGUUAGAGUAAUGGUUUUCCCCAAUUUGUACCAUCAAUUUUGUUGGAUUUGGCAUCUCUUCUUUGUGCUUCAGUUGCAUGUUAAUUUUUGCUUGGGUAUAUGUUAAAAAAAGAAUGAAAAUCAAGUCAAUAACAAGUGAAUAACAUGUCAAUAAUGAUAUGAAUAAGAUAAUGGUGUUGAAUUGGAGGAGGCCCUCAAAACAUUCCACAUUUGAAGCAGUGCAUAGUGCAGAUUAUCUCUCUGGCGCUAGAAUAUAUAUAUAUUUUGAAAUAAAUAUGAUUUCCUUUGUUACUAAAUUUGCCUGAGAAACAUGAGAACAGAUAAUAAUAAACUCAUGAAUAGAAGUGCAAAGCAUUUGAUGAGUAAUUUAUGGAAUUUGAGUUUAGGCCCAGGAAAUUCCUUGACCCCAAAAAAAAAAAAAAAGUUGAUUUAAAAUUCAGGUCAACCCAUAGAUUUCUCGCCUUUUUCUUCUUCAUCUCGUCGGGCUUGUCUUCUUCUUGAGGAUUGUAUAGGCCCAGGAAAUGCUUUGAGUUAAUUUUUGCAUUUUUGCGUUUUGGGCCUUGGAAGUUGGGACCCAACCCAACUUCACAAAAAGAAAACAGAUUUGCCAAAAAUCAAAUUUCAAGUCUCUCCUCCGAUCGAAAUUUGGAUUUGAUGAACUAAAGUGGUUUUACUUUCUCCAUCAGUGUUUGAUAACUUAAUUUGUUAUUUACUUUUUUUUUAAAAAACUUUGGCUUAUAUAUAUUAGUUUUCUUUUUUCCUUCAUAUUCACCACCUUUAUGUUGCAUAAGUAUUUCAGUCUUAAUGGGUUUCCAUCUACCACUCAUCUUUGCUCUUCUCAGUGUAAGCCUUUUUUUUUUUUUAAAGCACAAGAUUAGAGGGGAGGGGGAUUUCUCAAUGUAAGCUUUGCAGUUUCAUAAUUAAUAUUUCCAAUAUCUCACUGUUAGUAAAAUACAGAAAAAGUACUAAUAACAUAUGCACAUGUUACUAAUUUAUUGAGAUAAAACACCAUUUUGCCCCUAGAAUAUUUUAUUAGGUUUAAAGUUGACUUUUUGACCAGGAAGGAAUUUGGGUAUUUAGACUAUAUCGUUGCGUAGAGCAUGGCGAGAUGAGUCCGUAGACACAUGAUUGGCUCGAAUCAGAGUUAUAAUGAGAGAGAUACGAUCAAAAUACCCUCAGUGGUAUAACCGUAAUUUUGGCUUAAAGGGUUUGAUAAAAUAUAAUUUUUCUUUCUUUCUUUCUCUCUCUCUCUCUCUCUCUCUCUCUCUCCUCUCUCUCACGACGGCAGUGAUAGCCGGCCACUUUUUGGCCAGCCAUGCUCUCGUCCGGCCACUAAAGUUGACGGGGCCGGUACCAAAAUGACCGGGCCACCAUCCUUUUCCAACCCCAGCCAGGCCCCACUGCCAGCAGUCGUGAUUUUGCUGAAAAAUGGAGAAGAAGCGGCCGAUUUCGUUCGAACUUCUCCGACUUCGUUCUCUCUCCUCCGGCCACCGAUUUCGAUGAAUGAGGUAUGGUUUCUCACCUACUUUUUAUGCUCUAGCUGCCUGUUGGGUAGGAUUCGAUCAAUUCCUUGCGUAGGUAGCUUGAUUUUCGAAUUGGAUUUCGGCCGGUUUUGGGAUCUCGAUUCCGGCCACUUCCGGUCAGUUUUUGGGGUACAUCCCAAAACAAAAGUGGUUCUAAAUAGGGUGUUAUACCUAGGGUAGGAACCUUGAACCGUAAUUUUGAGAAUUUUCGGUGAUGCCUAAUCGCUUUGGACACCUACGCUAUGCCUGCGUGUGGGCACUAUAGAAAAAGGGCAUUGUGUCCCGAUGCAAUCCCCUUGUUGUCUUGAGCGCGUAGGUGUGCUCGGAUUUCAAUUUGGAUACCGUUUGAAUCUCGAACGAAUAUCGCAUAUUGUGCGUUAUUCGGGGUCGAUAGGUUUGAACUGUUGGAUAGUCUUAGAUUUAUAAUAUGUUAAUCUAGACAUUCUUAGGAUCGAAUGGGAUUAAACGGAUCGUAAAACGGAGUCCCGGAUACUCCAAAAAUGCCAACCCUAGGGCUAGGUUCCUAGUAACCGUCCGAUCGUGCGAUCGUGAGCGAUCCGACCGUUUGAUCCGAACCAAACUUGCAGGACGUGUAUCCUAAACCUUGUAGAACCCAUAGGAACUUUCGGAUUAGAAUUUGGAGGUCGUGGGCCCCUUGGGCCGUUUGACUAAGUUUGGGUAGUUUGACCCUUGGCUGAUCGUGAGUCUUCAGAGGUCUUGAGCGUUGUUGAGCUAUGUUGACUAGGUUUAGACUUUUAGAGUGUUUAUUAUUAUCAUAGGAAACUAUUAGAUAUUAUUUUAAUAAUUGAAAUUAUCAAAUUUAUGUUUAUGUGCAUGAUUGUUGGUCUAAAAAUAACAUUGUUUUCUUGAUAAAAUUACGUUGCAGUCUACUAUAGACUGGUAUCACUAAAUGGAGAUUACCUCUAUUAUUAGUUUAGAUAAUUAAGAGUAUGUCAGUUUGAAGUGCUAUAUGCACUACCCUAAGUACCACCCUGUGAUUGUUAGGUCCCAUGUGGUGUAGAUUAUACAGCGUCAGGACAGACCCCAUACGUGGCUUUGGAUGUUCUGGCGCAUGGGGGAGAUUAUGUAAUGGUUAGGUCAUACGUGGCGUAGGUUAUUCAGCGUGUUGACAGACCCUAUACGUGGCGUUGGAUGUUCCAGUAUGGAAAGAUUUUGUGAUUGUUAGGUCCCACGUGGCGUAGAUUAUCCGGCGUGAGGACAAACCCCAUUCGUGGCUUUGGAUGUUCCUGCGUAUGGGGGAGAUUAUGUGAUGGUUAGGUCACACGUGGCGUAGGUUAUUCGGCGUGUUGGCUAACCCCAUAAGUGCCGUUGGAUGUAACGACCGGUCCUAAAUAAAUUAGUGAAUAUUAAUUUAUUCAGAGAAAAUACCAUUUUGCCCAUAGAGUAUUUUAUUAGGUUCAAAGUUGACUUUUUGAUCAGAAAGGAAUUUGAGAAUUUCGAUUAUACCGUUGCAUAGAGCACGGCGAGAUGAGUCCGUAGACACGUGGUAUGCUCGAAUCGAAGUUGUAACGAGAGAGAUACGAUCAAAAUACCCUCAGUGGCAUAACCGUAAUUUUGGCAAAAAGGGUCGAUAAAAUCAUAUAUAUAUAUUUUCUCUCUCUCUCUCUCUCUCUCUCUCUCUCUCUCUGCGAUAUUGUCCCUCUCUCUCUUUGAUUCACUGCCAUCUGCCCACGGCAGGACUUGAGACUGGUCACGUUUGAACCGGCUCGAUGUCCCGAUCACGUCGCACCCAAAAUGCAAAUGGAAACCUUGAAUUCCAGCCACGGCUUCGACUGGUUUGAACUGGGUUUUUCCCGGCGUUGCGCCACCGCCUCCGCCGCCCAAUUCCGGUGAAACAGGUAUAAUUCCUCACCUAUUUUUCGAGAUCCAGCUGUUGUUGUGUAGGAAUUAGACGAUUUUCAUGUUUAGGAACUCGAUUUAGAAUUUAGGUUUUGGUCGAAUUUUCAAAGUGAAAUUUCGGCCACUUCCGCUGGUUUUUCGGGGUAUGUCUAAGAACAAAAGUGGUUCCAAAUAGGGUGUUAUACCUAGGGUAGGAACCUUGAGCUGUGAUUUUGAGAAUUUCCGGCGAUGCGUAUUCGCUUUGGACACCCACGCGCCGACAGCGCGUGGGCACUGUAGAAAAGGGGCAUUGUGUCUCAAUGCGAUCUGCUUGUUGUCUUGAGCUCGUAGGUAUGCUCGAAUUUCAAUUUGGAUACUGUUUGAGUCUCGAACGGAUAUCGCAUAGUGUACGUUAUCCGGGUUUGAUAGGUUUGAACCAUUGGAUAGUUUUGAAUUUGAUAUAUGUUAAUCUAGGCAUUUCUAGGAUCAUGUAGGAAUUCAGGGAUCAUGAAUCAGAGCCCCGGAUGUUCCGAUUUAAUAACUUAAAGUUUAUGUUUAUAAUAACUAUCAGAUCGUGCGAUCGUGAGCGAUCCGACUGUCUGAUCUGGACCAAACUUGCAGCACGUAUAUCCUAAACCUUGUGGAACAUAAAAAAAUUUCGGAUUAGAAUUUGGAGGUCGUGGGCCCCGUGGGCCCAUUUAACCAAUUAUGGGUAGUUUGAUCCUUGGUUGACCGUGAGUCUUCCGAGAUAGUUUUACCUUCCUAGGAGGAUUAUAAUGACCCUAGUGAUAGGUCUUGACCGUUGUUCAGCUAUGUUGACUAGGUUGAGACUUCUAGAGUGUUUAUUAUAUUAUUGUAGGAAACUCUUAGAUAUUAUUUUAAUAAUUGAAAUUAUGAAAUUUAUGUUUAUGUGCAUGAUCGUUGGUCUAAAAAUAAUAUUAUUUUCCUGAUAAAAUUACGUUGCAGUCUACUAUAGACUAGUAUCACUAAAGUGGGAAUACCUCUAUUAUUAGUUGAGAUAAUUGGGAGUAUGUCAGUUUGAAAUGUUAUACCCUAAGUACUACUCUAUGAUUGUCAGGUCACCCGUGGCGUAGGAUUUUCCGGUGAGAUGACAGACCCCAUACGUGGCGUUGGAAUUUCCAACGUAUGGAGAGAUUAUAUGAUUGUUAGGUUUCACGUGGCGUAGGAUUUUUCAGCGGGAUGACAAACCCCAUACGUGGCAUUGGAAGUUUCAGCGUAUGGGGAGAUGAUAUGAUUGUUAAGUCACACGUGGCGUAGGUUAUUUGGAGUGCUGACAGACCCCAUACGUGGCGUUGAAAUUUCUGGCGUAUGGAGAGAUGAUAUGAUUGUUAGGUCACUUUGGAUGUUCUAGCGUAUUGGGAGAUUAUGUGAUUACCAGUGAGAUGAAUAAAGGAUUGUUAUGUUAUAUUGGGAAAAACAUGUUUGUAGAAAGAAUUACGUGUGGCUUGAUCCCUCAGUAAGGGUACGUAGGCAGCCUAGGGUAGUGCCUUGGUGCAGUCGCUGACUAAACAUUAUAAUGUUGUUUUUAGGUUUGAUUAUAUGGUAUUAUGGGGCAAGGCCCCUAGGACUAUUGGUGAUAAUUCAUAGAUGGUAGUGGAUGCAUGCUAGAAAUUUGUAGGAAGUUAUUUCAUGUGGAUUGCAGUGGUACUCGUAAAAUUUAUUUGAGUUCCUUAAUUGCAUUGUUAAUAUAUUAAUUUACUUAAGAGUACUGCUAGUAGUUCUGCCUUGAUUUAUUUGAAGGCUGGAGGCCUUGUCUGGAAACUGUGUGCAAUUAGAUUGUGUGUGCUGGCAGUUGACUUUUUAAAUUGUGAAUUUUGUGCAGGUUGAAAUUUGGGAAAUGUUCAAUUUACAGGGGAGACUCUGCUGAAAUUUCGGUAGAAAGUCUUGUGCCCUUAUUCCUUUUUGGGGAAAAGGAUAUAGUUUUAGAAGUGGCGAUGUCGGGAAUUUCCACAGGAUUCGUCUCGGGUUUCGGGAAAUUCGGGGCGGGUCUGAAAAAGUUGUUUCAGUUUUGGCAAGUAUCGGAAAAGACCAAAAUUUUCCGACUUUAUUAUUACUAGAAACAAGGUCGAAGUAUUUACCAAUCAUGUGGCCUUCCAAGUGCUCUAGGUUAAGCCAGGAACCGUUCCUAUCUGCCGUUUCCUUCCCAACUAUGAUCAUGUUGUCUGGGUUCCAACCCACAAAUCUACAUUGGGCUACGUAUUUGAAUUUGUACUAAAGCGUGAUCUAUAGUAUGCAUAUAUUGGAUAAGUUUGAGAUCAGUGGCUUGGGUGUCCGCUGAGCUUGAACAAGUUUGGGUGUGCUGAGUGUUUCCAUGGGUGUGUUGAUGAUCAUGGUUAUUAGAUUUGUGAUAGUUUGGGCUCAAUUUCAACAGAACUCAUCUCAAGCCUAGAUAGUUGAUUCUUAAGUUUAUCAGGAAAAAAAAUUAAAAAUUAAAAAAUCUAAAGUUAAGCCCAAGGCGCCGAACUUGGACUUCUCACCAAACUGUGCAUAAAUUGAAAUAUUUAAUAGAAGCCCAAGAUUUUUGAAGCACAUAAUAUCUACAAAAAUCUACAAAGUGUAAUACUUUACAAACUUCUUAUGUGUACCAAUUUCUGCUCAAAUUAAUUUCUCUGUGGUGCUGAGAUUCAUCAUAAUUUUAGUAGAAAUUGGAAGUUUUCAUCAUUUUUGCUUUAAGUCUCUCCUCCACUCACUAAUAAAGAUUACUCAAGUGAGUUUACAAAACAUUUUUUUUCUACUCUCUCCUGAAGACUACACAUCUUCUCAAAAGAUUAGAUCACUUCACAUCUUGUAUAUGUGAAAACUAAUGCAAAAAGUUGAAACUUUAUCAUAAAACCUCGACAAAAAUUAGCUCUACUUAGAACAUUAAAUUUGGAUUCGUUGAUUUAAAUGGCAAUUUGACACUUCAUAGAAAUUUUUACAUACAUGUGUUAGUGUUUGAUCACUUCACUUAUUACUUACUAUAUUUAUUCCAUGAUUCUCCCUCAAGUUAUGUAAAUAUUAUUAUCAAACAUUUCAAUUCAUUUGUGAUAUUUCUUGUCCAUCUUUCAAUGUACCCUGAAAUCCAUUAGCCACAUAUGAUGACCAAAAUCCACACUCUGUUGUUUGCAAACGUUCAAUAUACGACUUGCAUCCACAGUCCUGACCCAAAUGAAAUGCGGAAACUGUCAAGCUAACUGUAGGGAGGACUAUAUUUGAUUUUACCUUAAAGACUGAUCCGAAACCACCUUCUCCAAGUUUAUUGUUGUUUGAAUAGUUUUUGGUUGCACAAACAACAGCGGCCAAGUCAAAUAAUGGCAAUUCCAGAUCUUCCUUUUGGCCGGGCUUCAGUUCUCCUGUGAAGUACGUAGUGAAGUAAAUAAUGUAGCAUGGAACCUUAGCUUAGAAACCAGAGAGGCAACAGCAAAAAUUUUCUAUAGAACUGAACCUACCUAUCUUAGAAAAUGAAGGGGCAGAAGAGUAGAAAAUCAAAUAGCUUACCAUAUUUUUGUUGCUGGUUCUUCCUCACAUAUAAUAGCAGGGUAAGGCCCAGGGUCAGCAGUCCAGUAGACAACACAGUACUGGUUACUAUGAUCUUUGUAUUGUGUCCUUGAUCUAGGAAUGAAGUAUUUGAAAGCAGAAGAUUGAGGAGUCAGAAAUUCAUAAAGAAAAAAUCUCUACUUUUUAUCAUCCAACGAACAAUUAAUGCUAGUUUCUGAGACAGUUCUAAAGAAAUAUUUUUCUAACAAUGUCAAAAGUUUUCUGGCUCUAUCUUGUUUCUAAUCAUGUCACUGUUGGAAGAUUUCUUUCUUCUUUUUUCCUUGGUGGCUUUUAUUUUUCUUUCAAACUUUGUUUUAAACAGCAAGAUGAUUCCAUACCUAGUUCUGACGAAGCCAUUCUUAUGUAAAUAUCUUGCCCAUUUAUAUUGGAAUAUCUUAUAUCAACCAGAUCGCUGAACCACAGCAAGGACCCCCUUCCUCCAUCUCGGAUAUCCAAAUUUGAAAAAGCGGCGCAGGAGCAGUUGUUCAUGCACAUCAUCUCACAUUCCUUGAGGUUCAUAAUUGUGUUAUACUAGGAUUGUUCUGUACUUUAUUUCACCCCAGUGUACUUCUUAAAGAUGUCUCCACUGCAAUUCAGUUGGCUCUUUCUCACAGAUCUAUAUGACCAAUCCACCAAGUCCCAGUCUUGUUGAAAGUCGGUAUAAAUCCUUUCAAGCAGCUACGUACUGGGGACUUGUCAAUACAACAUGCACCAUUCGGACCACAUAUUCCAUAUUUGUCGCAGAUAUCAGUCGUUGCUCUUAGAUAAACAACCCAACCUUGGUUUCCAUCACUCCCGAUGUAGCUCAGCCCAAAUCCAUCUUGAGUUAACGCCAGCCUGAAAAGAGUUGAGCUGUUGAGAAGCUUAUAACCAUAAUAUACUUCAUCAUCAUUAUCCAACACAAAAUCAUAUGUUGGAUUUAAAUUAUGCAUCCCACUAAAUUGGAUUCCAUUCCAUGGUGCAGUCCGAUAUUUUAUAACAGAACCCUCCCUCAGAAUUAAUUCAUGGUACCCAUAAGGACCAAGUUGAUAUGGGUAAUGUCCUUGAGAAGGAUCCUGGGGGCUUUUCCAGGGUGUAAGAUGCCAAUUAAAACCUGUGAUUUUGUUCCUAACAAGCUUCAUACCUGGUAUUAAUGUAUCUCCUGGGUAAUCAAAACUCUGCCAUAAAAUAUUAUCAGAGUCAUUACGACCAUUGCCAUCUAUCACAACAAGAUUUCCGGAAUCCAAAAUCUGUGCCACUGGAUUCUAUGAAGAACUUGAUGUGUUGGAAGACCUGUAGUGUUCUUUGUUGAAUAUUUGGAUUGCAAAGGGAGCAAGAAAUGUACUGAGAGAGAAAGAGAGAGAGAGAGAGAGAGAGAGAGAGAGAGAGAGAGCAGUGAGCCUUAGAUUGUUCUAACAGUUUUCUUACUCUGCAUGAACAUAGCAGCAGAGCUUAUAUUCCUUCAUGACUGUUACAUGUUCUCUCUUACAUCAGUAGAUUCAAAUCUAACGGUUUGUAAUAGUAAGCCAAUGUGAGUAUGACACAUGGCAAUACACAGCUGUCCUAACAGCUGGGAAUUCAAAACAGACUCUAGCAUUGCACCUGGCAUAUAAGCACAAGGCACUCAGCUAACACAAAGAUUAAAAACAGAUUGAAUAUAAACUGACAUAGAACUUACUAACUAAUCUGAAAUUAGCUAGACAGUUUACAUUUUAACACUCCCUUCUAAAGUGCUAGCUGAUUUCACUCCAAGCAUUCUCCUCAAAUAGUCAAACCUGUCUUUGGGAAGAGCUUUGGUGAAGAUAUCAGCAAUCUGCUCUUCUCCUUUGCAGUAGAGCAGUUCAAUCACUUCUUCUUGUAUUGCAUCUCUAAUAAAAUGAAACUUCCUUUUAAUAUGCUUGCUCCGUUGAUGAAAAACAGGAUUUUUAGCCAUUGCUAUGGCUGAAGUGUUGUCACAAAACACAGUUGUUGCAGUGGUCUGUUCUUCCCCAAAAUCUUCAAGAACAAACCUGAGCCAAAUGGCUUGUGAUGUAGCUUCUGCUGCACUCACAUACUCUGCCUCUGCAGUAGAGAGAGCCACACUGUGUUGUUUGACUGAUGCCCAUGAAAAAGCACCACUUCCAAAUGAAAAUGCAUAUCCAGAAGUGCUUUUCAUAUCUUCCUCAGAUCCACUCCAGUCACUGUCACAGUAACCAACUAAGAGUGCAGAUUUUCCUGUCACAUACUCAAUUCCAUAGUCAAUUGUGCCUUGUAUGUACCUUAGAACCCUUUUAGCUGCCCCAUAGUGCAUCUUAGAAGGGUUAUGCAUGAAUCUUGCAAGCAGGCAGGCAGAGAACAUGAUAUCUGGCCUGGUUGCAGUAAGGUACAGCAGGCUGCCUACAAUUUUUCUGAACAAACUUUCAUCUGCAGCAUCACUUCCAUCCUCUCUUUUCAAUUUAUCAGUAGCCACUAAUGGAGUGCUUACUGACUUGCAGUCUUUGAGUCCAAACUUAUCCAAGAGAGUGAGAGCAUACUUCUUUUGAUGAAUGAAGAUGCUCCCUUCAGUUUGUGUUACUCCCAUACCAAGAAAAUGGUGGAGUAAACCCAAAUCAGACAUCUCAUACUUGCACAUCAUUUCAGCUUUGAAUUCUUUCAUCAUUUCAUCUCUACUUCCUGUGUACACUACGUCAUCUACAUAGAUUGACACUAUUAGUGUUCCCACCUUCCUUUGUUCUCACAUAGAGAGUGGCUUCACUUGGACUUCUGUGAAAACCACACUGAUUCGAGUAGGUGUCAAUUUCACUAUACCAGGCCCUUGGAGCCUGCUUCAACCCAUAGAGGGCUUUUCUUAACCUAUACACCUUAUCCUCAUCAUCUUUAACCACAAAACCAUCCGGUUGAUCAAUAUAAACUUCUUCUUCAAGGACACCAUUUAGGAAGGCUGACUUGACAUCCAAUUGCCAUAGUUUCCAGCCUUUCUGAGCAGCAAGAGCUAUGAGAGUUCUAAUGGUGUCUAACCUUGCUACAGGAGCAAAGGUUUCAUUGAAAUCAAUCCCUGGUUUUUGUGUGUAUCCCUUGGCAACAAGUCUUGCUUUAUGUUUUUGAAUGGAGCCAUCAAGAUUAAGCUUAAUUUUGAAUAUCCACUUCACUCCCACAAUUGGUUUACUACUUGGCCUGUCAACCAAUUCCCAACUGGAGUUUUUCUCUAUCAUAAGUAUCUCCUCAGUCAUAGCCUUCCCCCAAGCUUCAUCUUUGACUGCUUCUUCAAAAUUUUCAGGUUCAAUGAUGCUCAUCUUGCAUUGAGCAUACACUUCACUCAAACUCUUCCAUUUCUUUGGGGUGUUAUCAUAAGUUUCUAAUGGAGCAGAGUCUUGAGUAGCAUGCACAUCAUUACUUGUUUGUGUUUCCAUAGGAGACUGUACAAUCUGUUGCUGUAACAGAUUUGGUUAUGAAUCCAAAUCUGAUACAAUUGAACUUACUCCAUCACCCCAAGACAUAGGGAUUUGCAAUGCCUCAUUGGUUUCCCAAUUCCACAUUGCUUCUUCAUCAAAAAUAACACUCCUAGACAGCUCAAUCUUUUGAGUUCUCAAGUUGAGCACUCUAUACCCCUUUUCACAUACACCAUAUCUUACAAAUACUCCCUUCUCACCUGUGUCUUCCAGCUUGUGCCUUUUCUGUGUGGGGAUGUGAAUAUAGCAUAGAGAACCAAAUAUUCUCAAAUGCUUGACACCUGGUUUUCUUCCACCGAACUUUUCAAAUGGAGUGGAAUUGUCCAGUGCACUUGUAGGACAUCUGUUCUGCAAAUAUACAGCUGUAUUGACAGCUUCUGCCCAAAACUUCAAAGGGAUUUUCUUCUCAUACAUCAUGGCUCUUGCCAUUUCCAUCACAGUACGAUUCUUUCUCUCUGUAACUCCAUUCUGUUGUGGAGAGUAGCCUACUGNNNNNNNNNNNNNNNNNNNNNNNNNNNNNNNNNNNNNNNNNNNNNNNNNNNNNNNNNNNNNNNNNNNNNNNNNNNNNNNNNNNNNNNNNNNNNNNNNNNNNNNNNNNNNNNNNNNNNNNNNNNNNNNNNNNNNNNNNNNNNNNNNNNNNNNNNNNNNNNNNNNNNNNNNNNNNNNNNNNNNNNNNNNGGUGUGGUCAUCAAUGAAGGUGAGGAAAUAUCUGUUCCCUCCAAGAGUGAUGGUCUGCAUUGGACCACAAAUGUCUGAGUGAAUCAGUUCUAGAGGUUGAGUGGCUCUCCAAGCUCCUUCCUUAUCAAAAGAGCUUCUGUGAUUCUUGCUUUCAGCACAACCUGAGCAGACCUUCUCAUGUUCUUGUAAAUUAGGCAUUCCCUGAACCAUAUCUCUCUCUUGUAACAACUUCAAACUAAUAUAGUUUAGGUGCCCAAAUCUUCUGUGCCACAGCCAGGAUGUUUCUCCAACUGUUGCUCUGUUUGCCAUAGGAGGAUUAACAUAGUCAAGAUUUAAAGGAAAACAUUUGUUUCCCUUCAUUGGCACUCUUGCAAUGCAAUCUUCCAACUGCCUAUCUCCAUAGAUAUCAACUGCAUUAUCACCAAAUACAAGCCAAUGCCCAUGUUCUAUCAUUUGACCUACACUUAGCAAAUUUUCAUCUAAACUUGGUACAAUCAUGAUUUCUUUGAUAUAUCUAGUCACACCCUUCAUUUCUAUAGCCAAAGUCCCUUUGCCUAUUAACUGCACUAGAUCACCAGUCCCCAUUUUGACUUUACUCUUCAUACUUUUAUCAACAUUUACAAGUAAUGACUCAUGGGAAGUCAUGUGAUUGCUGCAUGCACUAUCAACAUACCACAUAUUCACAUUCUUUCCAAUUGUUGCAGCAUGACAUGCAUAGAACAUAAUGGCAGGUUCAGUUACCUGAUUUGCAAUGUUAGCAAGUUUCCCUGCCUUGUUUGCUUGGUCACAGUCCUUAACAAAAUGACCAAAUCGAUUGCAGCCAUGACACUUUGGUUUUCCUUUAAACCAACACUCACCAUAGUGUAACUUCUCACAAUGUUUGCAUUUUCCAGAUUUGUCUCCUUGACUUGGUUUUCCCCCUUGAUUGGCACUGUUUUGGGGUUUAGAAUCCCAUUUCUUAUCCUUGGACUUCCAAUUCUUCUUUGAUUUAUUAGAGCCAGAACUAGAACUUGAUUGAGAUCCUUUUGAGUUUAUGCUCAUGCUGCUGAAAGCUUUCUCAGUGGUGCUUUCUGCAUGUCUGUCAAGGCGCUGAGCAAAACCUCUUAAUGCUGCAAUUACCUCCUGCACUUCAAUGGUUUCAAUGUCUCUAGUUUGCUCAAUCACAUAGCAGACUGGAUCAAAUUCCUUGGUUAAGCUUAUUAGCAGUUUUUGAACUAUCCUCCCUUUGGUCAGAUCUUCCCCAUAUCCCUUCAUCUGAUUUACAAGCUCAAGUAACCGAGUGAUGUAUCCAGACAAGAUCUCAUCAUCCUUCAUCCUGGUGUACUCAAAAUCUCGACGCAGACCCUGCAACAUGAUGGAUCUGACUUGCUUAUCACCAUGAAACUCCUGAUGCAAGAUAUCCCAAACACCUUUUGAGGUUUCUUCAUUUGAGAUUCUGGGAAAGAUGUCAUCUGAAACAGCACCUUGGAUAAUACCAAGAGCCUUAGCAUCUUUCAUCAACAAGGACACCAUCUCUGAAUCUGAUGACCCUUCUUUAUCAGCUUUUGAAUCUGGAACUUGAAGGCCUUUCUCAACCAAAUUCCAGAUUCCAUGAGAUUUGAAAAUUGUUCUCAUUCGAAUCUUCCAAAACUCAUAGUUCUCCCCAUUGAAUAUUGGAGCUCUAAGAUCACUCCCUCCUGACCCAGCCAUCUGAGACCAGACUCAAUGAGUUGAGAGUAGGAAAUUUCCCGUUGGAUUUCCAGACUCAGCUCCCACAGCUUCAACGCCCUCUAUCCAGAUCCAACCUGCGCACCUGAUACCAUGUUGAAUAUUUGGAUUGCAAAGGGAGCAAGAAAUGUACUGAGAGAGAGAGAGAGAGAGAGAGAGAGAGAGAGAGAGCAGUGAGCCUUAGAUUGUUCUAACAGUUUUCUUACUCUGCAUGAACAUAGCAGCAGAGCUUAUAUUCCUUCAUGACUGUUACAUGUUCUCUCUUACAUCAGUAGAUUCAAAUCUAACGGUUUGUAAUAGUAAGCCAAUGUGAGUAUGACACAUGGCAAUACACAGCUGUCCUAACAGCUGGGAAUUCAAAACAGACUCUAGCAUUGCACCUGGCAUAUAAGCACAAGGCACUCAGCUAACACAAAGAUUAAAAACAGAUUGAAUAUAAACUGACAUAGAACUUACUAACUAAUCUGAAAUUAGCUAGACAGUUCACAUUUUAACAUUCUUAUGGUCGGCAGGGACAAGAAUUCCAGGGCUGCUCAACUUGAAUACACCUGAUGAACCAGUGAGGGGUGUGUUUCUUUUAGUCUGCACUAUAUAUGCAGGGUCUGACUCUAAUUAGAAGAUAAUUGUAUUAAUUUGGUAAAGCUUUGUCUGUAACUGUCUCGCACCUUAAAAAAAUUUCACAAUUAGCAGCAUUGGCAAUACUUGAUUAGAAAGCAGAAACCCUACAGUAUAUAGUUAAGUUGAGUAGCUGGGAAGACAAUUAGUAAGCUUUCAAUACUAAAGUUGAAUAUUGGGGAGACAAAUUACUAGAGCUUCAAGUUCAGAUAAAUAGGAUGAAUUUCUCUUAAGGGAUCCCCUUUCACUGUAGCUUGGAGUAGAAUUCAUUUUGACACAAUAUCAAUUAUCAAUGUAAACACGUUACUGAUGCACUAUUGACAAUAUCGAUGCACGUCAUAUCAUAUUUGUGGGAGUAAAUUUCCUCACGAGAAUAUUUGGUUCAAAAGAUUCCCCUUUUUUUUUUUUUUGCCGCCUCUUUCUCCUUGCAAAAUAGAACAAAUAAGAGGACCACACCCGGGGGGUGUUGGCCAAAGGCCCUCCGAUGCUAAAUUAGUUCAAGUAUUUGUAAGAAAAAUACUAGCUAACUAGGGUACAGAGGUGUAUUUAAGGUGUAAACCGGGCAGCCGAAGUCUUAUGUAAAAGAGAGAGAGAAAGGAGGUGGCUAGCGUUUGAGAGGAAUUUUCUGCAGAGUUUUUAGUAGAGAUUUCAGACGUACCUCAACCAUUGUGUGUGGCCAUCUUUUUAUAGUGGUCUUGGAGGCUAGGGUUUCAGAGGAAUAAUUCCGUAGAUGGAAAGGAAUUAUUCCUCCCCUAUUUGGAAUUGAUUUGAUUAAUUAGGGAUUUGAUUUAUUAGGGUAAAUCAAAUCCCUAAUUGUGGUAGGUAUCAAAUCAAAUCCUUUUUUAAUUAGGUAACUCCUCAUUUAAUUGGGAAUUGUGGUAGGAAUCAAAUCAAUUCUCAACCUAAUUAGGUAACGUUCAAUUUAAUUGGGUAAUUCCCAAUUAAAUUGAGUAACUCCCAAUUAGGUUGAUUAAUUCCCAAUUAGAUCAAAUAAUCCCCUAAUUGAAGGAAUUAUUUGACCUAGGGUCUGAUUUAAUUCGAUUCCCACAAAUGCCCCCCAGCUUCUGCAUGGUGCAUGGUGGCACGUAGGAGAUGUAAAUUAUCUGUUGGGCUGUCCAGCUGUAACUGGGCUUCCUUCGUGGACCUGGGCUCCCGAGUAGAGGAGGUGUUUGACUUGCCAAUUUUAUGAACACCCAAUUGGAAAGGGUUUGAGAUUCCUUGUAGGUCAAGGAAUUUUGCUCCUUAUAAAUGUAGGGCUCCUCCAAAUUAUUCUCGACAUCAGAAAUCUACUCCUCCAAAUUUGUUAGUGAGAGAGAGAAGACUUUGGAGAAUUUUUCAGCGUGCUUGAGACUUCAUCUUUGCAGCCCAUCCAAGGUAAUUUGAUAGGAAGAAUUUUAUUUUGAGUUGCUAUGACUUUUGGCAGCAAGCUGUGAGACUAAGGGCAUGUCUUGAGGUGCGCGCUAGGGCUUUAGGCAUGGCAAGAGACUCGGAAAGGCUAGCAGGUUCGUUUCCACCUACGCUGGGCUCAAGGAGAAGGCAACAGGGCUUCAGGCCUUGUGGAUGAAGUGGGCUUUCGCUGGGAGCAAGAGGCCUGGAGCUGAGGCAAGGAGACAAUGGGCCUGGUACGAGGUGUGGGCUGAGCAUGCCAGCUUUGGAGCAAGGGGGCCAGGACGACUGCUGGGCAGGAGGUGCGCUGGGCUGCAUGCGCGAGCUGCGCCGAGUGCUGGCUGGAGGAGCGAGCUGGGCUGCGCGCUAGGCCAUUCAUGCUGGGCUACUUCCGUUUUUUUUUUGUUUUUUUUUAAAUUUUAUUUGCUGUUGCUGCUUUUUUUUUUGUUUUUUUGUUUUUUUUUUGUUUGGUAUUCUAACUCGUAAUUUUUUUUUUCUUCUUACAGCUACUUGUUGAUCAACCAUGUCUUCCGGAGAUGGUAGCAAGGCUCCAAGCUCUUAGGUCCUUUUGUAUUUAUGGGGAGGCUCCAUAGUGCAUGGCAAGAAGUUUGUGGUCAACUUGCAUCGCGUCACGACUUAUGCUCAGUUCCAGAAGUGGCGGGCCACUUAUGCGUCUGCCAUUCCAGAUGACGUGCUGGUCAAGCUAUUGAAAUCUCAAACUGAUAACGAGCCUUUGGUGGACGUGAGUGAUCAUGAUGCUAGGAUCAUUACCUUCCGUCCUUUUUACUUCUCUUUAGGCUUCAAAUUCCCGUUGUCAAAGCUCUUCAAGAAGGUGUUCUGUGCCAUGGGGUGUGCUCCGAGCCACUGUACUCAUGUGCUUCAAGAAUUUGAGUCGUUUCUUCAUGUUGGAGCUGACGAUGCGAGAGUUCUUUUAUUUUUUUCGAAGUGAGGCACUUUGAGCGGUACGCCCAAGUUCGUAUCUACAAGGCCAAGCUGUUCCACGGUCUCAGUCAAGGAGAUCACGCUUGACAUGAAGAUGUGUUGGAGGUCAGCAGACGGUGGGAGGGUGACGUCGGUGACGGCCCACCUGUUCCCAUCACCUAUUGUGAUGGUAUGUCUCUUUACGAUUUUUGAUAUGCUCCUUUUAUUUGAAUUUCUUGAAGUGUGGCAGACUAACUUCUAUCUUCUGCUCGUAGUGAGUGACAUUAGCAAGCAAUUGGAGCUCCGACCAGACAUGGCUAAGGUCCGUCGUGCUUUGAACAUCCCUCUAAGGUUUCACGAGUGGCGCUGGCUGUUGAGUGAGUACCGGGAGGAAGACGGUGGUUUUCUCCUUGCCGAGGAUGUCGAAAGGUGGAAGCAGAACGAUCCUGACCCUGAUGAUCUGCUUGGCAGACAGGAAGAAUGUUCUGCUUAAUCGCUCUUAAAGAGAAAGGCUGCUGCCAAAUCUUUGAGAUGUGAAGCUACUUCUUCGCAUGCAAAGGAUGGGUCUCCAUCGAGGAAGAAACCAAGGCUCCCUUCUGCUGAGAAGACUCAAGUGGGGUCUGCUCCCUCAUCAUCUGCCAGGGUUAAGCAUCUCGUGGGUGCAGAUAGCAAGAAGGUUGGUGGUAUGCAUGGUACUCGGGGUGUUCUGCCCAAGCUUCCUGCUGACACGCUCGAAAACCAUGAUAUACUUCGUGAAGUGGCUCGUGCCCAACCUAGUUCUGCCAAGCGUCAAAGAGAUGUAGACAUUCCUCCUAGAAGUUCGAGUUGUCUGCAUCGGUCAAAAGAUGGAGACCGAAGCGGGAGGUCUGCUUAUGAUCCAGCAUUAUUGACUCAUUUGGAGAUGAGGUUGGCGAAGGCUAAGAAGGUGAAAGAGUCAUCUGCCCGGGUUAAGGGUUCUUCCUCGGCGUUGGUAGUUGGUCCCAAGAUGAACAAGUCUAGCUCUGUAGGGGAUGCAUGCGUAUCUGAUCUGCUCAAGAUGAACUUCCUAUCAAACCCGUCCUCUUGUGUUGAGUUGGUUGAUCACAUCCCUCAAGCGGGCGAUCUAGGCACUUUCUCGUGCCUUUCCUUAGAAAAAUGAAGGAAAAUGACAUUCCAUCUGAUUCAAAAAGGACUGGUUUUUGCUACUGAGACUAUUUGGAACUCAUCUGCUAUUGCCCCUCUUCUGUCCAACUCAGCGAGUUGGAGAAGAAGAAUGCUGAUUGGCUAGACAGCUUUCCGCCGAGCAGGCCCGUUACGAGAAGAAGAUGUCUGAUUUGAGGGCGAUGAUAUCUGAGCUGAAAAGCUCCCUUACCGAGAAGGAUUUCGAGCUCAACUCUUCUGCUGCUGAUUUGGCUAGUCGAAAAGAUACCUUCUUUCGUCUUGAGCAUAAGAAUGCUGACAUCUUCCUUAGCUAUAACAAACUCCUGGCUAGAUUUCAUGCCUACCAUAAGUCUGCUAAAGAAUCCAAGACAGAUGGAGCUGCUGAAGGCGUAGCCGGUCAGGUGGAUGCCGAAGAGGCUGCAGCUUAAAAGUCUUCUGCUGGCGUCUCAGAGUAGAUGAAGACUCUUUUUUGUUUCUUUUCAGCUUUUGUAGUUUGCUUUAUUGUUUAGAAUAACUGGUCUUAUUUGACCAUCUUCUUUUUGUUGAACUUGGCUGGUUGGUCUGUUUGUUAGGGAAAUUUCAGUUACAUUUUCCAACUUCAAUUUGCAUAUUUGACUUGUGAACUGCUUAAGUAACCAGCCUGUGUUUUGAUUGCACAUCCCCCUUUAGAGAUUUGUGAGUACCAGGGUCCCCCUUGGAGGACUCCGGCCAUGCACAGUAUAUCUCGUAGGAUGGUUCCCCUUAGGAAGUUGGCGAGUACCAGGGUCCUCUUUGAGAGACUCCGGGUGUGUUCUGCACAUCCCGUAUGAUGCCUUAAUCGUCGCCUUGCUUCUCCCGUAGGACGCUGCUUAUAGGCAACUAUAUGACUAUCCUGCCUUUCUUAGGAAACGGAUAGGAACCUGGAUAUUUCCCGCAUGAAGCAUGGAGACCUCCUUUUAAGAAAUUUUUGGUGCACCAUGCUUCUCCCUUAGGACGCUUUUUUCGCAGGCUGGGUCUCCAAAUGGACGCUUUUAGUCGUUGCCCUGCGUCUCCCUUAGGACGCUCCUUAUGGGCAACUGUGUGACUAUCCUGCCUCCCUUAGGAAAUGGAUAAGACUUGAAUAUUUCCCGCAGUAAGCAUGGCGACCCCCUUUUAAGAAACUCCUGGCGUACCCUGCAUCUCCCUUAGGAUGCUUUUUAAGAGGGCUGCUUCUCCAAACGGACGCUUUUAGUCGUUGCCUAUGUCUCCCCUAGGAUGCUCCUUAUGGGCAACUGUGUGACUAUCCUGCCUCCCUUAGGAAACAGAUAGGAAACUAGAUAUCUCCCUUAGGAAAUUCCUAGCGCACCUUGCGUCUCCCGAAGGACGCUUUUUUAGCUGGCUACGUCCCGAAACGGACACUUUUAGUCGUCGCCCUGCGUCUCCCUUAGAAUGCGCCUUAUAGGCAACUGUGUGACUAUCCUGCCUCCCUUAGGAAACGGAUAGGAACCUGGAUAUCUCUCUUAGGAAAUUCCUGGGGCACCUUGCGUCUCCCGAAGGACGCUGCUUAUGGGAAAAUAUUGUGUUUCGUGGGCAGAUGAGACAUUUUGGAAUGAGAAACUGAACUUAUAUUGAUAUUCAUAAGAUUACAGUCCUUUAUUUGAAAAUGGAAAUAACUUGGUUCAAAAACUUAGAACUUCUAGCAGCUACGAGGAAGCACUAUGGAUAAUACUUUCGGAGAUGGUGAGCAUUCCAUUGUCGUGGUAUUUCCUUCCUAUCCAUGGUGUCCAGUGUGUUGCUUCCUCUGCCCCGGACCUGCUGAUCACAUAAACGCCCUCCCAGUUAGGAUUCACUUUUUUUGACCCGUGUCUUGGUGCAGUAAUGAAAGCCUUAGCACGAGGUCGCCUGGUUGAAACUGUUUGACCUUAGCUCUUUUGUCGUAGUAAGACUUCAACUGCUAGUGAUAGGAGGCGACCCGAAUAAUGGUCUUCUCACGCCUGCCCUCAAGUAAGUUGAGGUUGAGCCUCAUCUGCUCGGAGUUCUGAUCAACACUGCCUACCUUAAGACUUAUAGAGAGGACAGUGAUGUGAGGUGGUAUGAUCACUUCUGUUCCAUAGGCGAGAGAGAAUGGGGUUUCACCAGUCGAUCUUCGCUUGGUGGUGUGAUAAACCCAUGGUACUCUGGGGAGUUCAUCCACUCAUUUCCCUUCAGCGCCUUCCAGCCUUUUCUUUAAGCAGUCCAAUAUGACUUUGUUGGAUGCCUUGGCUUGUCCAUUUCCUUGUGGAUACCUCGGGGUGGACAAGUGUUGUUUGAUCUUGUAUUUCACAAAAAAAGCGGUGAUCUGCUUGCCAAUGAACUGUGAGCCAUUGUCGGUAACCAACGACUGUGGGCAGCCAAACCGGCAUAUGAUGUUUCUCCAGAUGAAUCACUCCACAUCGGCUUCUUUAGUAAAUGAUAGAGCUUCGGCCUCGAUUCAUUUAGUAAAGUAGUCGGUGGGGACGAUCAUCAUUUCUUUCUUGGCGGGCGCUAGUGGCAAGGGAUCCACUAGGUCGAUGGCCCAUUGCAUGAACAGCCAUGGACUGUUUUGCGGAUGAUAGACUUCGGCAGGCAAGUUAGGGAUCGGCUUGUAUUGCUGACAGCGUCACAUUUCUUGGCACAUUCAGCACAGUCGUGACGUAUGGUAGGCCAGAAGUAGCCUAUGUUUAGAACUUUCUGGGCGAGUGACCUGCCCCAGAAUGGUUGCCAUACUCGUCGUCGUGAAUUUUACAGAUAAUCUCAAGUGUUUGAUGGUACUUUAUGCAGGUGAGAUGAAGGCCGGAGUAUGAUCUGUGGAUGAGCUUGUUGCCGUGCAUGUAGUAUCUCUCGGCCUUUUGCUGGACUUUUCUAGCUUCGGACUUGUCCGUUGGCAGGUUUCCAUUCGUGAAAUAGUCGAUGAUGAGGUCUUGCUAGCUGGGGUCCUCGUCAAUCUGCAUGGUAUUAAUCGGCUCUAUUUCUUCAAUGCUUGGUCGGUCAAGGUGUUCGACCUAGAUGGAGUGUUUGAACUGGGUAUCCAGCGUUGAACCUUGGCUUGCCAGUGCGUCUGCAUGCGCGUUCUUUGCCCGGGACACUUGUUGGAUAGUGAAGGUAGGAAAUGCCUUCAACAGCUCUUGGACUCUAUCAAGGUAUAAGAUCAUCCUUGGGUGCUUUGCCAUAUAUUCACCUGAGGCUUGAUUCGUGAUCAACUGUGAGUUUGAGUAGAUGGCUAGCUUUUUGAUUGCGAGCUCCUUUGCCAAGCGUAAGUCGGCGAGUAAUGCCUCGUAUUCUACCUCGUUGUUCGAGACCGAGAAGCCAAGCGUAAUAGCUUGCUCUAACAGGGUUCUAUCCAGGGUGGUGAUAACGACCCCUGCUCCAGCUCCUUUUUGGUUCGACGCUCCGUCUACACGCAACUGCCACAUGUCUCUGGGAUGGCUUGGUUCUGCGGAGGUCCUGUCUGCUUUUGAACUUCCCUCCUUUUGGUUGACUAACUUCUCUUUUUUGGCUGAUGGGGUGAAUUCUGCGACGAAGUAUGCUAAAGCCUGGGCUUUUAUUGCAGUUUUUGGCCCGUAGAGGAGGUCAUAUUGGCUUAGCUCUAUAGCCCACUUCAUGAGUCGCUGAGAAGCAUCAGGGCUGUGGAGGAUUGAUCUCAAAAGAAAGUCAGUCAUGACUAUGACUCGAUGAGCUUAGUAGUAGGGUCGCAGCUUUCUCGCAGAAACUACAAGAGCCAAAAUAAGUUUCUCCAAUUUCGGGUAACGAGUCUCUGCAUCGAGGAGAGCUUUUGACGUGUAGAAUACCGGAUAUUGGGCCCCUAUCUCUUCUCGGAUGAGAGCUGAACUGACAGCUGAGUUGGACUUACCUCACUAGGGACUGGAUUUGAGAGCAUGGAAGGUGAGGUGAGGUAAGUCUUCAGAUUAUGGAAAGCUACUUUGCAGUCCUCAUCCCAUUUCUCUCUUUGUCCUUUCUUCAAAGCUUUGAAGAGUGGUCUGCACUUGUCGGUUGAUCUCGAGAGGAAUCGGUUGAGAACCGCUGCUUUGUCCGUCAGACUUUAUAUCUCUUUCACCGUGGAAGGCGACUUCAUCUCUAGAAUGGCUUUGAUUUGACGUGGAUGUGCCUCGACACCUCGUUGCGUGGCUAGGUAUCCCAAGAAUCGGCCGGAGGAUACACCAAACAGGCAUUUACUUGGAUUCAACUUCAUGCGAUACUGGCGGAGCAAGCUGAAUGAUUGGGUAAGACUUCCGAUGUGAUCUGCACGUUUUGGGGCUUUGACCAGCAUGUCAUCCACGUAGACCUUCAUAGUUUUGCCGAUCUGCUUAUUGAAGAUUUUAUUCCCGAGCCUUUGAUAGGUUGCUUUGGCGUUCUUCAGCCCAAAGGGCAUGACCUUAUAGCAGCAGGUCCCUCUCUCGAUGAUGAAAAAAGUUUUUGCCUUGUCAUCCUCGUGCAUCAGGAUUUGUUUAUAGCUGGACUAGGCGUCCAUGAAGCUAAGCAGUUGAUUGCCAGAAGUGGAAUCCACGAGUUGGUCGAUUCUCGGCAAUGAGAAGUUGUCUUUAGGGCAUGCUUUGUUGAGGUCUGUGUAAUCGACACAAACUCUCCAUUUGCCAUUUUCUUGUUUUGCCACCAAAACAACGUUGGCAAGCCACUCUGAGUAGGAGGCCUCUUCGAUGAAGCCGACAGCUAGGAGUUUGUCAAUCUCGGCCUCGAUGAUAGCAAGUCGCUGGGGUGCGAAGUUGCGUCUCUUCUGCGCCACUGGCUUGCAGGCAGGGUUGAAGUGGAGUCAGUGACAGAUGAUGUUCUUGUCGAUGCCAGACUUGUCUGACGGCAACCAUGCGAACAUGUCUCUGUUGCUCUGGAGGAAGGUGGUAAGCUCCACAUUCUCUUCUGGCCUUAGGCGCGAACCGAUCCACUCUUUCCUAUCUGGUUGGUCAGGAUCCAAGGGUAUUAACUCGACGUCCUCCUUGGGUUUCCAUCCUUCUUCAGGAAAGACCUAUGGACGGAUUUCCUCGACUUGGUCCUGACGCUUUAAUUGCUAUAAGAUAGCAAGAUCCAGUUGCUCAACCUCCUCCAGAUCUGCCUGGCUCACAGGGAGAAACUGCGCUUGUUUACCUUUCUUUAGCCCUUGGGCGGAGCAUUUCCUCGCCAUUGCCUAAUCGUUGUUGAUUUGGCCGACACCGCCCCCAAGGAUUGGGUACCGAAUUUUCUAAUGUGUGGCGGAGGUGAUUGCAUUAAUUUUGCCAAUCGAUGGUCUGCCCAGAAUGCCGUUGUAGGGUAAGACCUUAUUAAUGACCAUGAAGGUUAUGAGCUGAUUAUAAGUGGGGAGUAGACGUCGAGGUCUAUCAUGCCCACGGUAACCGUUGUUGCACCAUUAAAAUCGCUCAGCAACCUAGCUAAUUUGUAAAUCUUUGUCUCCAAUCCCAUCUGUUGAAUGACCUCCAGUUGCAGGAUAUUGGCUGCGCUGCCCUCGUCUGUGUGGAUUCAGUCUACCAUGACCUGAGCAAUUUGAAUGCUGAUGACAAGGGCUUCGUUAUGUGGCAUGUAGAGGCCGAUCAGAUCUUUCUUUUGGAAGCCGAUUACAGGAUCGUCUUCUGCUGGUGGAAGGUCGGUCGAGAUUUGGGAGAUCACAGUGGUCUGUUUGAUCUUCCUCUUUUUUUCCUUUCUGGUCAGCCCAGACUCCUCGGAGUCAGCUAGGAUUGUGUUAAUUCUUAUGACCUUCUGAGGCGGCUCCUUGGCGAUGUCACGAUCUUCUAUCCGCUGGAUGACCUUCUUUGCAAUGAAUUCUGUGCAGUGACCUUCUCUCACGAGUUCUUCAAGAUGUGCUUUCCAAGCGAAGCAGUUGUUCAUAGUGUGUCCGUGCAUUUCAUGGACGGCACAGUAUUUGCUAGUAUUCCUUUUGUCCGGAUCUUCUUUCAAGGGUGGUGGUCUUCUUACCCAAGGUUGUUCUUCACUUGGGCUAAGAUUUGAUGUAUGGAGAUGGUGAACUUGGUGUAGUUCUCUCCUGCCGUAGCAUCCCCUUAUGGGUGCGACCUGCGCUUGUCCUUGUCCCUGUUGCUAAAUCCGUCGCUUCUUUGGCCUGCCCCCUUAGUCGGCUGAUCUUCCUGCUUAGUAGAGUUCUUUGCGGCGAUUCGAUCGUCAUCCCAAAGCGCAUAGCUUUCCGCGGUCUCGUAGACCUCUGCCAAAGUUUGGCUGGGAGUGAUGGUCAGCUCGUGGUACAAGUCGUGCUCAGUCGAAAGGUCUUUCUUGAAAGCAGAGGACGCAAUUUGGUCAUCACAUCCUACAAUGUUGGCCUUUUCUACUUUGAAUCUCUUGAUGUAAUCUCUAAAGGAUUCGUCGAACUUCUUGCGCAGGUUAUACAGGUGGUCAGGGUUCUUCUUGAUUGUUCGGUAAGAGGUGUAUUCUUUGGUGAAUAAGUAAGUCAGCUCCUUGAAGCUGCUGAUCGACCUGGAUGGCAGAGUAUGGAACGAGUCUUGGGCUUCCUCACAAGGUCAUUGCAAACACCUUGCACAUCAGCGCGUCGUCAACCUUGUGGAGGAUCAUGACACUUUUGAAGUGUUUUAGAUGGCUCUCAGGAUCGGAAUCCCCCUUGAAGUGUGUGAAUGUGGGCGUUGAGAAUCGCUUCAGGAGAGCAGCCUGCUCGAUUUUGGCAGUGAAAGGUGUAGAGUAUGCCUGGUCUACCUCAUUUCGUACAUCUUCGAAAUUUCCACCGGUCUUCAAGUCUCGAAGUUGGUCAUUCACAAGCUUCUCUACGUCUUCCGCACACAUUGCUUGUCGGCCACAUUGGCGACCUUCACGAAUUGUUCGAUGCUGACUGACUUCCUCGUUGAUUUCCGAGGAUCGACCUUCUUGUCUGCAUUGCCUAGGUGGAGUGUUGGUGGAUUGCGCCUACGAAAGAUUCUCUGUGGCUUGUCAAUGAGAAUCGGUUCUUCGAGAGUGAGUAACGAAGUGCCUUUCCUCAUGGUCCUUAUUGUGAGGGUUAUCCAGCUGACCUCCCUGGGGCCUAGCCUUUCCUGAAUGCUUCUCUGCGAGUAGACAGUUGAAUGCUUUUCUUCACGAUCCUCGUUGUGAUGGUUGUUUGGCUGACCUCCUUAGGGUCUUAGCCUUUGAUGUACAUUUCCCUGCCUGCCCAAGUAGGUGCGGACGUCGAGUCGUGGGCCCAGCCUUUCGUGCACGUCGUUCCUUAAACUCAAUCUGCUCUGAGUGUGGCUUGCAGAUGCUUGCGACAUGUCGGCAGGUCGAUCACGUUGUUGUCCCUCGACUUGUCUGCCCACUCUUGCUUGACCUGCUUGGUACUCGUUGAGCUGUCUACCGGCCCGUUCAUCCUUCCUUCUUUCCUCGCCUGGUUGUCCAAGGCCAAGGUUUUGAGCAAAGCUUAUUUGGUUGAGGAGCUGCCUCAUUAGAUUGUUUUGGUCGUCCAUUCUUUAAGCUAGCUGGUCAACUCUCAGAUUAAGGUCUGCUUGAUUUCAUGGAUCAGGAGGAGAGAAGUGUGUGGAGCUCAACUGCACAUAGGCUAGGGUUUCAUUAGAGGUGUAUGCGGGAGCGUGUGUCGAGCGUGGAGGCAAUAGAGGGAAUGCUUGGAGUUGCUCCAAGACCGGCCCUAGGUCGGCGGUGGUAACGAGUCCACCUUGAUGGGAAGUUCCACCAUGUUUGGCGGCAGUGACCGAUGCAGUGGUGAGAGGUGGUGGUGCCACCAUGUCGAUCGCGGGAUCGUUGGUGGAGUGGCUUUGGGCCGUCGCAAAUCUAGCCAUCAUGGCGGCUUUGCCUCUCGUGUUCAUGCUUCCAACCAUGGUUGUUUGGAAGGCUUAGGUGGAUUGGAAAAUUAGAGGAACGGAUUCCUUGAGCACGCAUUGAGUAUAACUCGUGCUCUCAAUGAAAGCACCAAUUUGUGGGAGCAAAUUUCCCCACGAGAAUAUUCGGUUCGAAAGAUUCCCCUUUCUUAUUCGCCGCCUCUUUCUCCUCGCAAAAUAGAACAAAUAAGAGGACCACACCCGAGGGGUGUUGGCCAAAGGCCCUCCGAUGCCUAAAUUAGUUCAAGUAUUUGUAAGAAAAACACUAGCUAACUAGGGUAUGGAGAUGUGUUUAAGGUGUAAACCGGGCGGCCGGAACCUUAUGUAAAAGAGAGAGAGAAAUGAGGUGGCUAGGGUUUGAGAGGAAUUUUCUGCAGAGUUUUUAGUAGAGAUUUCAGACGUACCUCAACCAUUGUGUGUGGCCAUCUUUUUAUAGUGGUCUUGGAGGCUAGAGUUUCAGAGAAAUAAUUUCGUAGAUGGAAAGGAAUUAUUCCUCCCCUAUUUAGAAUUGAUUUGAUUAAUUACGGAUUUGAUUUAUUAGGGUAAAUCAAAUCCCUAAUUGUGGUAAGUAUCAAAUCAAAUCCUUUUUUAAUUAGGUAACUGCUCAUUUAAUUGACAAUUGUGGUAGGAAUCAAAUCAAUUCUCAACCUAAUUGGUAACGUUCAAUUUAAUUGGGUAAUUCCCAAUUAAAUUGAGUAACUCCCAAUUAGGUUGAUUAAUUCACACUUAGAUCAAAUAAUCCCCAAAUGGAAAGAAUUAUUUGACCUAAGGUAUGAUUUAAUUCGAUUCCCACAAUAUUUAGAUGCAUAAUUGAAUGCGAAUAAACAUCACUCUCUCCAGUGUGAAAUGGCGAAAAUUCUCUUCAAUCAAAAGUGGGCUUACUUCAAAUUUAGUUGAAGAAUGAUGGUGUGUCUUGCCUGACAAUUGACAAUUAGGUUUAGGAGCGUUCCUCUAGUAGAAAAAUCUAAAUCAUUUGUGGUCAUCCACUCACUUGGUUAGUCUUCCAGAAUCAAAUACCAAAUCAACCCAAAGGAAGCUGCAAUUUUCUGAAUUGUAUACUUGUUUUAAUUCUUCCUAUCUUUUUCUCUCUUUCAUUUUUUUUGUCUCCCUCAAGUUAAUACUUAAGUGAGUUGCCAAAUGGGGGUAAAAAAGAGAGUAGAAGAGAUGAACCCCACAUUUGACUUUAAUAGACAAAUGCCCAAGAGAAGUACCAGUAAGAGCAUCUCCAAUUGGGAGGUGCUAUCCUAUAAUUUGACACACAUUUCUUUUUUCUUUUUUUUCAAUUCUAACAACAUGUCAUCUAUAUCGCAAUAGGCCGUUGUAGUUAAAUUUUCAAAUAACCAAGUUGCUCUCUAUUUUCCAAAGAAGACUAGAAAACAACUUACCAUCUAUCUGGUGCUGCUUCUUCCAAACAUUAGAAAAAACAGAGCUACACCCAGGAGGAGCCCAGGAGAUGACACAAUACUGCCUACUAUGAUUCUUACUUUCUUCACAUUCAAUGAGACUAUAAAAUAUAACCCAAGUGGUCUAACCCCCCAGGGCGGAAAUUGGGUUUAGCAAGUUUAGCACUGAUUGUUGUAUAGUCUUAAACAGUCCUGAUCUCUUGGACCCCUGUAGUCCAAGAGAUUUAUGGUCACCCACCGUUGGAUGUAAAUUCAACGGUUGACUUGAAUCGGGUAAUAAUAAUUUAUGUCAUAUUGCAUUUAUAUAUAUCAUUUUGAACCAUUGGAUUAAUAUCCAACGGUGGGUGACCACAAUCUCUUGGACUCCUGUGGUCCAAGAGAUCGGGACUGUAGUCUUAAAAUAAGUAGUUUAGCGAGUGCAAACUUCGACUUAAAAAAACUCUCAUGUAUAGCCGCGCGGCUAUACUAUUUACAUAUAAAUAUAUAAAAAAGCACCCCCUAGUCACGUGUCACAAAUAGUAUAGUCGAAAACAGUAGAGCCGCGCGGCUAUACUGUUUUUAAAAUAAAAAAAACCAUAUUCGAUUCUCCUUAUAUUUAAAAGGGGUAUAGCCGCAUGGCGAUACUAAUUUUUUUUUUUCAAAAAAAGGGACCCCAGUACUCCUUUUAUAUAUUAUAAUAUAUUGUCUAAUAUUUGGAAUAUUUACUCUAAAAUAAACAAUAUAUUAGGUUCUUUUUGUCUACAAAUUGACCAUUAAACUUCUUAAUCACUCUUAUACUUUCAAUUAAAUCUACUAGGCUAGGUUAUGAUAUUUUCACUAAAAAACUCCUCCUUUUUUUCUUCUCUUUCUCUUCCUGUUUUGUUUAACUUAAGCUUAAGUUUUGUAAUUUUUUUUCCCGCCCUUUUUACAUGUUUGAGUAGGGUACUUUAAUAUUGGGAUUUAUGAACUUUUUUUGUAUUUCUUCUUUAUAUUGGAAUAUAAAUUAUUAACUUUUGAGUCUUUAAUAGUGUAGAUGAUGAGAUUAUUAUUCAACCAUUUUAUAAUAUGAAAUGAAGGACAAUCAUGAUUGUGAUGAAUGGAUUAUUAAUCAAUAUGAAAUGAUAUUAUGAAGUGGGCUAAAUCGAGUAGUUAGUAUCGUAUUGUUGAGACCCAAAAAAUCCAAGGCUAGGCCCAAAUAUAUUAUGAAGUGGGCUAAAUCGAGUAGUUAGUAUCGUAUUGUUGAGACCCAAAAAAUUCAAGGCUAGGCCCAAAUAUAUUUCCGGUCCAAUGCGAUACCUUACCGAGAAGAAACCUUAUUUGGGCACGCGAAAGUUCGUCAUAUGCUCUUGCACACAUGCCAUGCCAAGCAAAUAAGCAACAUGCCACGCUACAAGCUUAAGUGGGCCCAAGCCACGUGAAUGCCUAGGGCCUGCUGAGUGGGUUGUGGUAUGGAUGGUUAUGAGUAUUCACGAGGCCCAUUGAUGGUCUAAGGAGUGGAAGUUUUGGGCUACUUGGGAGCACCAAAACUCAAGCCCAUUCAUUGAGCCCAAACAUAUGGGUAAGCAUGAGAUAAAACCUAGUAGCCCAUCACCUUAAGAAAUCCUAAUAGCCCAUAACAUGUGAGAAAAUCCCACAUCAACCAAAGCUUCCAGCAGUCUGACGAAAUCAAAGGGAACUCACAAGCCGUUGGAAACAAAACAACCCAACACUGUAACACCCCGACCCCAAAUUUCCCCAAAUUUAACCCUUAUUUAAUUAUUUAAGGGUAUUUUAGUCAUAUUUUUAACCGGAGAGAGUUUGGGGCAAUGACUAGUAUUUUUGGAUAGGUCGUACUGAGACGAGUUUAUGGACACGCAGUGAGCUCGAAUCGGAGUUGUAACGAGAGAGAUAUGGUCAAAAGAAGCCCAGUGGCACAAUCGUAAAUAUUUUGAAAUGAGAUUUUUUAUAAAAAUCUGGUUUUCUCUCUCUCUCUCUCUCUCUCUCUCUCUCUCUCUCUCUCUCUCUCUCUCUCGCUAGCGACCUCUCUCUCUCUCCCCCGUCGGUCUCUCCCCUCUUUCUCCUCGUAACUCCGGCCACCGGCCCCGGCUGUGGACGGGGCCGGUACCAAAAUGACCGAGGCGUCGUCCUCUUCCUACCCCAGCCACCUCCCACCGCCAGCCGUCGCGGAUUCGCCGGAAUCUGGAGAUGAAGCGGCCUACGUCGUCCAAAUUUCAAAGCUGCCGAUCUCCCUCCUCCGGCCACCAAUUCCGUCGACCCAGGUAUGGAUUUUGAACUUCUCGAGCUGCUCUAGCUGAUGGUUGGGUAGGAUUAGAUCGAUUCUUAGCUUAGACAACUCGAUUUUCAAAUUGAAAAUCGGCCGAACUUCGGCUGCCGUGAUCGGCCAUUUCCGGCCACUUUUUGGGGUAGGUCCAAGAACAAAAGUGGCUCCAAAUAGGGUGUUAUACCUAGGGUAGGAGUUUGGAGCCGUGGUUUUGAGAUUUUCCGGCGAAGCGUUAUCGCUUUGGGCACCCACGCGCUGCCGGUGCGUGCGGCGGCGCGUGGGCACUGUAGAAAAAGUAGCACUGUGUUCCGAUGAGAUCCUUAGGUUGUCACGAGUGCGUAGGAUUUUGCGGAUCUCAAUUCGGACGUCGUUUGACUAUCGAACGGAUAUUCGCAUAUUGCGCGUUAUUCGGGUUCGAUAGGUUGGGACCGUUGGAUGGACCCAAAUUUAAUAUAUGUUAAUCUAAUUAAUUCUAGGAUCGUGUAGGAAUUCACGGAUUGUGAAUCGGAGCCCCGGAUGUUCCGAAUAAUAAUUUUAAAGUUUGUAUUUUAUAUUAAUUGUCAGAUCGUGCGAUCGUGAGCAAUCUGACCGUUCGAUCUGAACCAAACUUGCAGGACAAGUGUCCUAUACCUUGUAGAACCCAUAGGGACCUUCGGAUCGGAAAUUGGAGGUCGUGGGUUCCGCAAGUCGGUUUGACCAGGGUUAGAGAAGUUUGACCCUUGGUUGACCGUGAGUCUCCCGGAGUAAUCUCACCUUUCUAGGGGAGAUUAUCGGGUACUAGAUGAUUGUGGACACAAUAUUAGAAUUAAUUUAUAUAAUUAUAAUUAUAUAUGGUUGUACAAGGGUACAACAGAGUCUAGAAUGUCAGUUUGGAGUGCUAUACGCACUACUUUAGGUACCUCCCCGGAUGUUGGGAUUUACUACAAGUACCACCAAGUGAAAUUGAGGUCCCGCGUGGCGUAGGUUAUCCAGCGUUGGGAUAGGUCUCAUACGUGGGGUUGGUUGUACCGGCGUAUGGGGAGAUUUGUGAUAUUAUGUUCAGGUCUCACGUGGCGUAGGUUAUCCGGCGUUGAGACAGGCCCCAUACGUGGUGUUGGUUGUACCAGCGUAUGGGGAGCUAUGUGAUAUUGUGUUGAGGUCGCACGUGGCGUAGGUUAUCGGGCGUGUCGACAGACCCCAUACGUGGCGUUGGUUGUACCGGCGUAUGGGGAGAUUUGUGAUAUGAAAUUGAGGUCCCACGUGGCGUAGGUUAUCCGGCGUUGGGACAGGCCCCAUACGUGGCGUUGGUUGUACCGGCGUAUGGGGAAAUAUGUGAUAUGAUGGCAUGGUCGCACGUGGCAUAGGUUAUUCGGCUUGUUGACAGGCCCCAUACGUGGCGUUGGUUGUACCGGCGUAUGGGGAGAUUAUUUGAAAUGCAGAGAAACGAAAUAUGGUAUCGCCCAAAUGUGGAAUUGGGUUUUAGGGAAGAACUACGUGUGGCUUGAUCCCUCAAGGAGGGUACGUAGGCAGCCUAAGGUUAAUAGGUGCAGCCGCAGACUAAAUGUUAGUCAUAAUUGAUAUUUGAAUUGUUUGGUAGUUGGUUAAGAAUUAUUGGAAGGCCGAAGGCCAUUUGUGUGAAUUGCAUGAAAUUAUAUUGUGCAUGCUGCCAGUUGGGAAUAUUAAAUGCGUUUUUAUGCAGGUAUAAAUUUUAGGAAAUGUCCAAUUUAUAGGGGAGACUCUGCCGAAUUUUCGGCAGGAAGUCUCAGUUUUUAGUAUCUGGGCCUGGCAUCGGGAGGAUGUCGGGAAUUCCAAAGGGUCGUCUCGAGUUCUGAAAAAUUCGGUGCGGGUCCUUUCAAACACCUUAUAAAAUAUCCAACGCCGUGCAUCUCUGUUAAAACCAGAUCACAGCCAAACCACCAAAACCAUGCAAACCCAUAUGCUGAUCACCAUUUUUACUAGCACCCUUACCCAUUCUUUCCUCUUCAAGCUUUGGUGAGAAAACAAGAAACAAAAGUGGGCGGAUCUUCACCCACAUGGAGAAAUCCAGCUGCCUGAGGGCCCUGGAACUCCAAAAAACUUCUUACCUACAUGCUCAGGCUAGGGAAGUUUCACCAAAUAAGCAAGAAUGGAAGAAAGUGAAGGAAAAGGGGAAAGGGUGGCUUGACGAAAUUAAGGUUUUCAGCACUUAUAAAAGGAAACACUUUCUAUCCAGCAAAAACAACUCACCCUGGUUGCUGCAAGCCUCCUAGCAACCAUGAGAAUUCAUUGAAGGCAAGCAUCCCCUUUGGAACCCUUCAAUUUCAUGCUUUGUUCUUCCAUCUUCCUCCUUUCUCUCUCUCUCAAAACCCACAUCCAGAGAGAGCAAGCAUCAUCUCUCAUCUUUGGAACCCUUCGAUUUGAAGCCUUGUUCUUCCAUUGCUUCCCAUUUUCUCUUCUGUCAAAUCACCUAGGAGCUUGACGAAACUUUCGUCAAGCUGCUGGAAAUAUGGUAAAGCCACCCAUGCUUCCAUCUUCUUCCUCUCUUUCCAUAAACACACAUCCAAAGAGCAAGCUUCAUCUCUCAUCCUCUAAACCUCUGCAAUUUCAAGCCUCAUUCCUCUAUCUUCUCCCAUUUUCAGCGGUAGUGAGAAUGAUUUCUGCGUGUGCAUGGGAAGGAUUGUAACUCAGAUGAGGAGGAGAUGGUUUGGAGUGGGGUGAGGCAGUUGGAUAGAGCUCUUGGCCUUUUCAAGUUUGGAUGGGAAAGAGCAGGGAUGAAAGAAGCUUUACAACUGCAAGGGCAUAUAUGGUGCGUAGGGGCUGAAGGCAGAACACUUACAUAUAGAGGAAACACAUUUUUUGUCCAUGGGAUUCAUGUUUGACAAACACUUGUCUUAGACUAUGAGUUCAAAUUUCAAAACCUUUUUUUUUUCUUUCUGAAAUCAGGACCAGUGUGGAGAACUAGCAAGGAUUGGAGAAACAGAUUUUUGGGCGUCACUUGACCACAGAUUGUUGAUUGCUCAAAUGUGUAGAAUUGGCCAUCUUAAAUGUCAAAAUGAUUUAUCAAUUGGGGUUUUUUUAGAAACGUUUAUGUUUGUCAAUAGAGACAGAAGUCAGAGAACAUAAACCUUUCUCAGCAAAUUGAAAUUCUCAGUGCAUGCUCUGUUCUUCCAUGGCUUUCAAACCUUCUCUGCCACGGUGAAAUGGAUCGAUAGAGAUAGUUUAGGCCGUUCCAUUUGUUUGAUGAAGCAUUCGUUCUAGGGAUUCUGUAUAUUCAUAACAAAAUCACUAGAAUGAUUCUUAGAAAUUCAUCACUGCUAAAGGCAAUGGGUUCAGCAUAAUAACUUCUUAGUCUUGCUUCUUGGUCCUUUAUUUUCUUUGCAUAAUACUCCAAGUUUACCUGGGUUCUACAGAGAAAAUCUCGUAGAUACCUCUUUUUGUGGUCUUCCAUGGCAUUUAAGUGCUGCUUUCCAUGGUGAAGUGGGCCUAUAGAGACUACCUGAGGUGUGUAGGCUUUGUCAUUUCCACGCCGUAAUCGCUCAGGAACUCUGUAGAUACACCUUCAAGGGGGACAAGGGAGACAAACUAUCCAAUUCCUUGCGCCUUACAAAUAGAUCGCAUGGGUUUUCUAUUUCAUCUGCAGCUUCAUCAAUUCCUUCCAUUUUUCUCCUGAUCAUCAUGCGCGGUGAUUCAAAUAUUUCAUAAUGAACAUUGAAAUGAGAUGCUACAAGCAAACUUAUGAAAAGAAACAGAAAUACCAAAAAGACAAAUCAAUGUAGAUGGUUUAGAAAAUCUAAACAUUGCAAUUAUACUCCUUUGCCCAACUUCUAGGAGCAAACGUACACAAAGACCUUAUUGCUUCCAACUUUUCCAACAGAAUUUCAUAUGAAUUGCUCCAAGUGAAAUCCGUAUGAAAAAUCGGUAGUUGGAUUUUCAUCCUGCUUUAAUAUGAUUAUUUAACUUCUAACAAAAAAACUCUUAUUACUUGAGCAAGUAAAAUACUAUUCCAGGUUUCUCCUAGUUCUAUAUGCGCUUAUAAUUGGUAUACUCUAUAAAUACCAUAAUCUGAAUUUCUCUGUUUUGAUUACUUUAAUUUAUUACUUAUGUUUUAAUUAUUGUUUACUUAGUGAAUUAUUAGUAUUUAAGAGAAGGCCUUCCAUCGAUUAGGCACCACGUGUCUAUAAUAAGUAAAGCCGUCCGGCUAUACUUAAAAAAAAAAAAAAUUGUAGUAUAGCCGACCGGUAUAGCCGCGCGGCUAUACUAUUUAAUACAUUAUAUUUAAACGGUAUAGCCGCGCGGCUAUACUAUUUAAUAAAAUAAAAAACAAAAGAAAAAGAAAAAUUACCCUCCUAUUUCAUUAGUUUGUACUUUAUAGAUACUAGCCCCUUGACACAUGCUCACGCAUGUGCCAAUUGGUUUUCUUUUUCUUUUUUAUUUUUAUUUUUAGAAUUAAGAAAAAAUAACAGGAUAGUUAUGUUCCAUAAAAGUAGGACCUAUUAUCUUAUUUUGUUUUUAAUUUUAAUUUUUUUAAUAUUAAAAAAAUAUGAAUUUACGAUAUUAUCCUCAUUUAAUUAAUAAUUUCAAUUCUUAAUGUUUGAAUUAACAAAGGGCAUUUUCUGGUAUUUUGAAUGUUUCACCAUUCUCUGCCUUUUGCUUUAUAUAUAUAGAUUAAUUUGCCAGUUUCAAGAUAUCCAAAGUACAUAUUAGACUUUCACUAUAUAAAUUUCAAUAUAUAUUUUUUAUAACAUGUGUUGUUCUUAUUCAAUAAUAUGUGAGAAUUAUUUGUAUAAUACGUGAAUUUUGUGUGUCUUACUGAAUUUUUUUAAAUACGUGUAUUAAACGUUACAAAUACGUACAUAUAUGUACAACACGACUAUUGUAAGUUUGCUAUAUAAAAAAAAGUGAGAUGUAUCUAGAACACGAAUGUAUUAUCGAAAAAUAUAUAUGUAUGUAUAUAUAUAUAUAUAUAUGUAAAAGCCUAUAGCCUCUCACCUAUACUAUUUAUUAAAGACAAUUUAAAAAUUACAACAACAAAAAAACCAGUACAGCCACAAAGCUAUACUAUUUUAAAAAAAAAAAAUAGAAAAAAUAUCAAGUACUACACAGGGCAAAGGCCCAGUGUAAAAUAGUAUAGCCGUACGGCUAUACGUUUUUAAGAAGAAUUUAAAAAACUAAGUAUAGCUCACCGACUAUACUAUUUUUUAAUAUAAAAAAACAACCCCAUCCAUUAGGCGCCACGUGUCAACAGAAGUUUAUUUUUAAAAAAAAAAAUUAAAAGACAAGGAGUAUAGCCGGGUGGUUGUACUAUUUUUUUAUUUUAAAAAGAAGACAGUCCAUCGAUUAGGCGCCACGUGUCCAUAAUAAGUACAGCCGCUCGGCUAUAUGUUGGAUAUUUUGAAACUAGCAAAUUAAUAUCAAUAGCCGGUCGUAACCUAUGCUGUCCACGUCACUCAUGUUUUACCAGAGUUAAAGCAUCCACAAUGAGCUCCCCAAACCAUCUCUUUAGACAAAUUUUAGGGAGAAAUUGGAAAAGUACAACUCCAACCAUGCUCCCUAUCCACCAACUAAAAUAGGGAGACCUCUAGGAGCUCCUAAAUCUGAGGAGAGGGAAAGGACUCUUAGUGACUCCCUAUAAUUUAAUGUUGCUUUGUUUUAUGCAUAUUUUAAACUUUUAAUUAAAUCAAAUUAUUAUUUUAUAUUAUUUUGUAUACAGAUGGACCAAUUAUAUUAAAUUAAAAAAUAAUUAAAGUAUUUGUGACUCUCUAAACUAAGGAGUAUGAUUAGAGUUCAAAUUUUAUAAAAAGCUCUUAAAAUAGCUUUUGUGUGUUUUUAGCUAAAUUUUAACUAAAAAAUUUGAAGAUUCUUUAUUUGGGUUUCUUUCAAGACGAAAACCAUAUCCACAACAGACAUCUUUGGCUGUUCAUCACAAUUGAGAGACAAUGAAGAAGACAUAAGGGAGAGGCUGCCAAAUACUUAUCACCUUAGCCACCACCAACACCACAAGACCAAUAUGUGUAGGCCAGGAGGCUUUCCAAUUUUAAUAUAUAUAUAUAUAUAUAUUAAAAAAUAAAAUAAAAAUCAAUCUAUUAUCAUAUAUAUUAUAAAAUAAAGAUUAUUGCUCCAUCCUCCAUGCACUUGCGUGCCCUCUUACAAAGUAUGAAGUAGAUUUUGUUAGCUGGAUUUAUAAGAUCUUUUGUUUUUUGGAAAUUUUCUGAAAUAAGGAAAAUCAAGUAAAAUUAAUAAAGCAUAAAUUGGAAAGGGAAAAUAUCUAGAGGAUGCAUUGUAGGAUUGCUCAAGCCAAUAAUUGUACCCUCUAAAUAUAUAGGGACAUAUUUUUUUUGUUUUCAUGACAUGUCGUCCUAAAAUUAUUGUUCUUAGCGGGCUCUCCACCCCCUCUCGAUUGAAAACCUAUUGUGUAAAUCUUCAAUCCUGAAUUAGAAAAGUACAACUCCAACCAUGCUCCCUAUCCAUCUCCUAAAAUAGGGAUACCUCUAGGAGCUCCUAAAUCUGAGGCGAGAGAAAGGACUCUUAGUGUCUCUUUAUAAUUUAAUGUUGCUUUGUUUUAUGCAUAUUUAAACUUUUAAUUAAAUCAAAUUAUUUUUUUAUAUUAUUUUGUAUACAAAUGGACCAAUUAUAUUGAAUUAAAAAUAAAUUAAAGUAUUUAUGACUCUCUAAACUAGGGAGUAUGAUUGGAGUUCAAAUUUUAUAAAGAGCUCCUAAAAUAGCUUGUGUGUGUAGGGGUCUUUUUCUUCUGGCAACUACAGAUGGGUUGGGCUACCGUAAGGAGCAAACUGAAGAAAAUAUCCCCUGUGUCUGAGUUCAAAGAUUCGGCCCCAAAAUAUUUCGAAAAGGCAGUAAAGCCUUAGGAAACACCUUAGUUACCUUCACCAACGAAAAUGACGGCUGCUUACAGGUAGAUUCUUAGUGCUUACAGAUGAAUUCUUAGCUUAGCAUGAGGAGAUCGUGGCAUGGAAGCAAAGUUAGCAUGAGUUUAGCACUAAAGAGAAAAUUAUGUGUUCUUGGGAGGAAGAAGGGGUGUCCAGGUAAAUGGGAAAAGGUUUUGCAAGUAGAUUUGGCUAAGAGAGAAGGGAGAGAGAGAAGAGGGUGGCUAGAGUGCUUCUUCCGGCAGCUUGACAGUGACUCUGUCAAAUGUUAGAGCAAUCUGCCAUAAGAGGGAAAAUGGGGAAGAAGGAUGAACAGUGCACAAAAUUGCUAGGUUUUUGCAAGUAAGAGAGGAAGCUUGCUCUCUGGAUGUGGAUGAUCCGUUGGGUAGAAGAGGCCCCAUUUUAUAGCCGCUGGAAACUAUCAUUUCUCAAGAAACCCUAAUAGUUUCUACCCAAUUUGGUCAAGCUUUUCCCUUCCUUUCUCAUCUCCUCCCUUGACUUUUCCUAUCUUGGUGAAAUUUCCUCUGUCUAUUUGCACAAAAUCAGGAGCUCAAGGCCUCCCUUUCCCGCAACUGUUCAAUGGGAGACUCCAUUCUUAGCUAUUUUUCUUCUUCUUUCCUUCCUCCUUCCCUGACCAAAUCUGAUGAAGGAAAGCAAAUAGGUGCACACAUUGGUUUGAAGGGUGCUUCUCCUUCUAGCAGCUUACAUGCCAAUAUCCCUUGGGUCCUUGCAUGUUUUUUGCUUUGAAACUUGUUUCUUCCUUCCCGUCAACUCACGUGGUCUUCCAUGCUUCUUCAUGGCUUUAUCUUUCAGCCAAAAGAUGGAGUUUUUACUGCUUGCUACUUUUAAUUGUAUGGGUCUUCUAGGAUAGGAAGUCAACCUACCAAACAAAUGGGCCACCUUUAUCAAAUAUUGGGCUGUUGGGGUUAGUUUUAGUGGGCCAUUUUGACUGGGCUUUUUGGUUGGGUUAUUUAAGUUAUUUUCCCUUUUGUGCUCACCCAUGUAUUUAGGCCUAAGAAAUGGGCUUGGGCUCCGAGUCUCCCAAGCAACCCGGAACCUCCAUUUCUUGGCCCAUUAAUGGGCCUCAUGACAACCUAUUACCAUCCAUACCACAACCCACUCAAGCAAGCCCCGGGCAUUUGAAUGGCUUUGGCCCACUUUAGGCUUGUAGUGUGAUUGGGUGUGGCAUAACGAUUUCUCGCUUGGCAUGGCAUGUUGCUUGGCAUGUUUUUUCAUUACGAUGCUUGAUGGAUUUGUAGAGCUACCUAUUUUUAUGAUCUUAAUCUUGAUUCCUAGCAUGACAAAUUUAUUUAUUUGGCAUGGCAUGCGGAGCGUGACUUGUGCGUGGCGAGUUUUGUAUGCUCCAACUUGGGCCUUUCCUAAAUAAUGUAUCAUUUUGGGUUAUGAAUUCUUUCGGGCCCAACCGUGAAUUUUUUGGGUUUCAACAGUGUGUUUUUAGCUAAAUUUUAACUAAAAAAUAGGGAGCAUGAUUGUAGAUCAUCUUAUAUACCUUAAUUUGAAGAUUCUUUAUUUGGGUUUCUUUCAAGAUGAAAACCAUAUCCACAACUGGCAGACAUCUUUGGCUGUUCAUCACAAUUGAGAGACAAUGAAGAAGACAUAAGGGAGAGGCCGCCAAAUACUUAUCACCUCAGCCACCACCAACACCACAAGACCAAUAUGUGUAGGCCAGGGGGCUUUCCAAUUUUAAUAUAUAUAUAUGGAGUGAAAAAAAUAAAAUAAAGAUUAUUGCUCAUCCUCCAUGCACUUGCAUGCCCUCUUACAAAGUGUGAAGAAGAUUUUGUGUGCUUCAAGUCAUUGACUAGAGCUGAAACAUGGUUAGCUGGAUUUAUAAGAUCUUUUGUUUUCUGGGAAUUUUCAGAACCAAGGAAAAUCAAGUAAAAUUAAUAAAGCAAAAUGGAAAGGGAAAAGAUCUAGAGGAUGCAUUGUAGGAUUGCUCAUGCCAAUAAUUGUACCCUCUAAAUAUAUAGGGACAUAUUUUUUUUGUUUUCAUGACAUGUUGUCCUAAAAUAUUUGUUCCUAGCGGGCUCUCCACCCCCUCUCGAUUGAAAACCUAUUGUGUAAAUCUUCAAUCCUGAACGAUGCUCCUAAAACUCAAGUGUCCCAGGCCAAUUAUUGCUCUCAUACCACUUGUUGCAAUACACAUCCACUCAUUCUCAGGGAAAGAAACCCAUCGAUAUUAUCUCAAAUUUAACCACUUUAGUCUAUUAUGAUUAACUAUGUAUUUUAUGGAUCAAUGCAGUUGUGAGGUUUUAUACCCAAUUAGAUCGACCAAUACAGAGAUCACAUGUGGACUGAAAAGCGCCAUCGGUAGGGGAGUGUUUGGCACCCUUUACUGCCGAGUGCAACACAAGACCCCUUACCAGGAACUUAUCUACUAGGACACGUGAAGCCACCACAAGUAAUAUCAACAGUCCCACAUCGAAGUUUAACAUAACAUGUACACUCCCCAGGACUGAUAAAAGUGGGCACAAGUCCCAAAAAUGGGGGAACUUGGACUUUCAGCAAUUCAUCCAUUAUUAUGUCCAAAUUACUAUACACUCCGUACUUAUUCUUACUUAAGCAUUGGAGAGCCUUCGGCCGGUACCACACCAGUGCCUAAGGGCUUACCGAGCGUUCUCUAUCUUGCAUAUUGAUCGCUCUACUGAAGCCCAUAAAGAGUUAAAGGUCAAGACAUCACUAAGUUGAGCCCAAAAGUGCUGAACCACAUCAAAAAUAUGUAUAGAUUGAAAAAAUAAAAUAAAAAUCAAUCUAUUAUCAUAUAUAUUAUAAAAUAAAUAUUGGAUAAAUUACUCAAAUGGUCCUCAAACUUAUACUCGAUUUACAUUUUGGUCUCUCAAUUAAAUUAUUUGUUCAAAUGGUCCAUCAACUCUAUAUUAUUUCUGCAAAAUCUACAAAGUGGUGGGAGGCAGACCAACAAAAAAAAUUAGCGAAGGCUUAUAACUCUGGUAAAACAAGAGUUACUUGGAUAGAAUAAUGUUACGUCGUACUGAAGAUUUUUGGGUUUCUUUAAUUGGUUAAGUGAAGAUUCUUUAUUUGGGUUUCUUUCAAGAUGAAAGCCAUAUCCACAACCACAACCACAACUGGCAGACAAUCUUUGGCUGUUCAUCACAAUUGGGCGACAAUGAAGAAGACAGAAAUUGGAGUACUGUAUGUUAUCACCCACACCACAAGACCAAUAUAAGGAGGAUGGGGAGGCUGCGGAAUACUUAUCACCUUAGCCACCACCUACACCACAAGACCAAUAUGUUGUAGGCCAGGAGGCUUUCCAAUUUUAAAUUAGAUAAAUCGGAAACUGUUUCGAUAUCCAAUUGUAUUCUAUAAAAUCAAUGAACACGGUGCUUCAAGAAAGUAAUAAAAUUUCAAUAAUUCAAUUGAGUGGUCAAAUUCAAGUGAUUUUUUGUAGUGAUGAUCUUUGAAUGAGUAUCUAUAAAAGAGACGGUUUGGAUUAGUGAAAUACAAUAUGGAGUGGGCCCUACCAGCAAUCCACGACAAAAUGUCUGCAAGCUUUCGUAAUAUAAGGAGGAUGGGGAGGCUGCGCAAUACUUAUCACCUUAGCCACCACCUACACCACAAGACCAAUAUGUUGUAGGCCAGGAGGCUUUCCAAUUUUAAUAUAUAUAUAUAUAUAUAUAUAUAUAUAUAUAUAGGGAUGUGAUUUCUCUACUCCCCUUUUCUCUACUUAUACUCCCUUUUGCUUUUAAAUACUUUUUAAUCAAUUUUUUUUCCGCUUUCCUAUUAAUAUUCUACCAUUUCCCUACAUUAAUUUCUUUUUACUUCACUUUUAUAUUAGUUCUUUUUCUUUAUACUUAAUUUUUCAACUUGCACUCCAUUUUCAUUAUUUUUUUCCUAAUCGAGUAAGAAAUUAAGUUUUUUUUCCCCAUUUAAUACUGAAAAUGGAGUGUAAGUUAGAAAAUUAGGUAUAAAGAAAAAGAAAUAAUAUAAAAGUAAAGUAAAAAAGAAAUUAAUGUAGGGUAAAGGUAGAAUAGAAAAGAGAAUGAACAAAAUUGAUAAAUAAAUAAAAAAGGUUUAAAAAGCAAAAAGGAGUGUAAAUGGAGAAAAGGGGAAUGAGGAAAUCAGCUCCAUAUAUAUAUAGAUUGAAAAAAUUAAAAUUAAAAUCAAUCUAUUAUCAUAUAUAUUAUAAAAUAAAGAUUAUUGCUCCAAGGAAAUGACAUCUUUUGUUUUCUGGGAAUUUUCUGAACCAAGGAAAAUCAAAUAAAAUUAAUAAAGCAUAAAUUGGAAAGGGAAAAGAUCUAAAGGAUGCAUUGUAGGAUUGCUGAUGCCAAUAAUUGUACCCUCAAAUUAUACAUGGACAUAGGGGUGGGCAUUCAAAUAGGCAAACUAGAAAUCCGAGCUGAACCGCACCUAGGAAAACCGGAAAAAAAACCGAGUUGACCAAAAAGUCAACAACUGGUCAAAAAUCGAACCGGACCGAUUUGGACUGGUUUUGGAUUCAGUUUAUAUGCAAUGCUACAUUUUUAGUCUCAUAACUAAUAUUUAUCCAAGUUCAAUUUCAAAACAUCUUUCUUUUUUAGCUUUAAUAUUUAUUUUUAUAUGAAAUUAAAUAAUUUAUUAAUUUUCAAGUAAAUAAAAUAAAAUUUCAGUUGAAAUUUAUAUUAAAAAAAUAAUUUUAAUAAUCCAGUUCAAAACCAAACCGGACCAUCCAGCUGUGAGGUACAUUUCUCCCACAUGCCACAAUUGUAUAUUCACAAUUACGUCUGAUACAUCACAUCAUGCCACUUGCCUCAAAUGAAUUUAAGUGAGUGUGGCAGUGGAAAGUAAUUAAGCUCUAUAUUGGUGGGUGGACUGUUACUUCUGGGUUCCCCUCAUCAUUCGUCUAUAAAAUGGUGAAGGCAGUUGCUAUUGUUACCAUAAGAGCCAGCUCCGACUUCCUUUAAUUUCUUGCUUCAUAUCCACUAGCUACAUCUGUUACCAAGUUAAUUUCAGUCCUAAUGGGGUUUCAUCUCCCACUCAUCUUUGCUCUUCUCAGUGUAAGCUCUGCAAUUUGAUUAACUUUUCCAUUCUCUCUCAUUGUACUCUAUAUAAACGAAAGUUUUGUGUUCCUAUAAUUCUCUCCGAUUUUAUUUAGUACGUACUUAAGUGUCGUCCACUAAUUAAUUACACUUUGUGAUUUGAUUUUAAUUUGAGUUCGAAUUAAUGUUGCAGCUAGCAGCAGUGGCACUGGCAAACCAUGCUGCUCAACCAGCACCUCAACUUUACUGGAACUCCGUCCUGCCAAACACACAGAUGCCAAGAUCUAUCAGUGAACUUCUGCAUCCUGGUUUGUGUUGAGCUCUUUAGAAUCUUAGAUAUCUCUUCUACCUGCCAUUUUACUAAAAUAUGUUCCACCACAUAUUUAUCAGUUAACCACUGUUAUUACAUGAGUGACACAUAUUCACAAAUCGGCUGAUCACUUAUUUUCCAUUAUGACGUUGAUAUAUAAUUUGCAGACUCCACAAAUGAAGAAAAGAGCACAAAUGACGUUGGCAAACCUGAAACUUUCCCAUUGGGCAAUAAACAUUACUCCAGUCAAAAACAUUAUGGAAGAGGCAAACCUGAAACUUUCCCAUUGGGCAAUAAACAUUACUCCAGUCAAAGACAUUAUGGAAGAGGCAAACCUGAAACUUUCCCAUUGGGCAAUAAACAUUACUCCAGUCAAAGACAUUAUGGAAGAGGCAAACCUGAAACUUUCCCAUUGGGCAAUAAACAUUACUCCAGUCAAAAACAUUAUGGAAGAGGCAAACCUGAAACUUUCCCAUUGGGCAAUCAGCAUUACUCCAGUCAAAAAAAGUAUGGAAGAGGUGCUUCUCCAUCCGACAAUCAACCACCAAUUCCAUAGAAAUUCAAACACGGCUACUUUCUUGCCACGAGAAAGCGCUCAAUCGAUCCCCUUCUCCUCUAACAAACUACCAGAAAUUUUCAACCAUUUUUCAGUGAAGCCAACAUCUGAGGAAGCCAAAACAAUUAAGCAAACAAUCGAAGAGUGUGAAGCUCCAGACCUUAAGGGAGAGGAAAUAUAUUGCGCCACAUCUUUAGAAUCAAUGGUUGAUUUUAGCACUUCGAAGCUUGGAACAAGAAACGUUGAAGCAAUCUCGACGGAGGUAUUGGAAAAAGGAGCCACCAUGUCCAUCCAAAACUAUACAACAAUGCCGGGACUGAAGAAGUUGGCAGGUGACAAAGUCGUUGUGUGUCAUAAGCAGAACUAUCCCUAUGCUGUGUUUUUCUGCCAUGCAAUAAAACAUACAGCAGCUUAUGCUCUCUCCCUGAAAGGCGAUGAUGGGGAGAAGGUUAAAGCAGUAACCAUCUGCCAUCUAGACACAUCAGAAUGGGACCCAGAGCAUAUGUCCUUCAAAAUCGUCAACGUUAAGCCCGGAACCAUUCCCAUCUGCCAUUUCAUUUCCACUGAUGCUAUUGCCUGGGUUCCGAACCACAAAUCUGCAUGAUCAUCACUUAGCACUAGUACUGUGCGUAUAAUAUGCCUGUAUAAUUAUCUCCCUACUUAUUUCUGCCUGUUCAUCAUGUGGUGUAAGAUAUAUGUUGAGAUGAAGUUUUUGGGAUUAGUGGUCGAAAUUAACCCGAUCAUGUUUUCUCUUGUAACUAUAUAGACUUCAACUUGUACUCAUAAUAAAGCAUGCUAUAUUUAUGAAGAGAUAUUAAUCUUCAGGCAAAUAGAUAUUAUGAAAACAUAUAUAGCAAUUUAUCCAGAAGAAAUAUUAUGAAAUGAAAAGAAUAAAAAGUAAAAAAACAGAAGGAAAGGAAUUCGCACCUGCUAUGUAUGAAAGGACCAAGAUUGUUUUCCCUUUGGUUAAUGACUAGAAAAGCUCACUUGCAGAUUGCUUUCUCUGACCGUAGAUGCAACAGAAAUUUUCUCUUAAUAAUAGCACAAUGAUCGGGUAAUUGUAAGAACAAGUUGAUUUAAAAUUCCUUGACCCAAAAAAAAAAAAAAAAUCAUUUCAAAUUCAGGUCAACCCAUAGAUUUCUUGCCUUUUUCUUCUUCAUCACGUUGGGCUUGUCUUCUUCUUGAGGAUUGUAUAGGCCCAGGAAAUGCUUUGAGGUAGUUUUUGGCCUUGGAAGUUGGGACCCAACCCAACUUCACAAAAAGAAAACAGAUUUGCCAAAAAUCAAAUUUCAAGUCUCUCCUCAGAUCACUAAUACAGAUCAAAUUUUGGAUUUGAUGAACUAAAGUGGUUUUACUUUCUCUGUCAGUGUUUGAUGACUUAAUUUGUUAUUUACUUCUUUUUUUUUUUUUACUUGAUCUUUGUAGGGGUUUUUUUCUUCCGGUAACUUAAACGGGCUGGGCUGCCGUAAAGGGUAGAUUGAUGAAAUUGUCUCCUUUGUCUGAGUUCGAAAAUCAAGCCCCAAAAGCGCUUCGAAAGGGCAGUAGAGCCUUAGGAAGCGUUCUAGUCAUCUUCACCAACUAAAACAACAGCAACUUACAGAUGAUUUCUUAAGGCUUACAGAUAAAUUUUCUAGCUUGGCAUGAGAGGCUUGUGACAUGGAAGCAAAAUCAGCAUGAGUUUAGCACCAAAGAGGAAAAUAUGGCUUCCUAGGGAGAAAUGGGAGUGUUUAAGGUGAGGAAGAAGAGGUUUGCAGGCUGAUUUGGCUGAGGAGAGAGAAAGAAAGAACAAUGUUCUUCCAGUAGCUUGACAAAGCUUCUGACAGAUGUGAAAGUCGUCUGCCAUAAGAGGAAAAUGAAGAAGAAUGGUGAAUAGUGCAUGAAAUUGCUGGGUUUUUGCAGGUAAGAGAGAAAGCUUGCUCUCUGAAUUUGAGUUGGUUUUUGGUUGGGUAGAAGAGGCCCCCUUUUAUAGCUGCGGGAAACCAUCUUUUUUCAAGAAACCCUAAUGGUUUCUAUCCAUUUUGGCCAAGCUUUUCCCUUCAUUUCUCUUCUCCUCCCUUGACUUUUCCUAUCUUGGUGAAAUUUCCUCUGCCUAUUUGCACAAAAUUAGAGAUUUUGAGGAGCUCAAGACCCCUUUCCCGCAGCUGCCUCAGUGGAGAAUCCCCAUUUUCAGUCAUCUUUCUUCCUUCUUUUCUCCCAUCUUCCAAGGUUAGGUCUGAUGAGGGAAAGAAAUGGGUAUGCACACUGGUUUGAAGGGUAUUUUUGCUUGAAACUUGUUCUCUCCCAUGUGCUGGAGCUUCCCAGCAACUUACACACAUGGAUAUUUUGGCUUUCAUCGUGGCUUUUGUUUUCAGCUAGGUGCUGGAGAUUUCGCAGAUAUUUUCAUGAGUUGCUUGGGCCUUCUAGGACAAUAGGUUGGUUUAUCAAGUGAAUGGGCUAACUUCAUCAAUUGUUGGGCUAUUUUGGUUGAGUUAAUGGACUAUUUUGGUUGAAGUAAUGGGCUAUUUUGGUUGAAUUAAUGGGCUAUUUUUCUCUCUUUGUGCUCACCCACAUAUUUGGGCCUAAGAAAUGGGCUUGAGUUCCGGGGCUCCCAAGCAACCCCGGGACUUCCAUUUCUCGGCCCAUCAAUGGGCCUCAUAUCAACUUAUUACCAUCCAUAUCACAACCCACUCAAGCAAGCCCUGGGCAUCUUGCGUGGCUUGGGCCCACUUAAGCUUGUAGCGUGACGUGUUGCUUAUUUGCUUGGCAUGGCAUGUGUGCAAGCGCAUAUGACGAACUUUAGCGUGCCCAAAUUGGGUUUAUUCUCGGUAAGGUAUCGCAUUGGGCCGAGAAUUUAAUUGGGCAGAACUGUGGAUUUUUGGGCCUCAACAAUCUUAUAUAUAUUGGUUUUCUUUUUUUCCUUAAUAUUCACCACCUUUCUGUUGCAUAAGUAUUUCAGUCUUAACGGGUUUCCAUCUACCACUCAUCUUUGCUCUUUUAAGUGUAAGCUUUUUUUUUUUUUUUUUAAGCACAAGAUUAGAGGGGAGGGGGAUUUCUCAAUGUAAGCUUUGCAGUUUCAUAAUUAAUAUUUCCAAUAUCUCACUGUUAGUAAAAUAUGGAACAGGAAAAGUAUGAAUAAAAUACACACAUGUUUUAUUUAGCAAAAUUUUGACAAGAUACAACUGAAAAGUUUGGCCACUAUAUAAUAUUUUGAUAUAAUUUCUACACUUCUUCUCAAAAGAUUAGAUCACUUCACAUCUUGUGUAUGUGAAAACUAAUGUAAAAAGUUGAAACUUUAUCGUAAAACCUCGACAAAAAUGAGCUCUACUAGAAAAUGUUCAAUUUGGAUUCGUUGAUUUAAAUGGCAAUUUGACACUUGAUAGAAAUUUUUACAUACAUGUGUUAGUGUUUGAUCACUUCACAUGUUACUUACUAUAUUUAUUCCACUCAAGUUAGGUAAAUAUUAUUAUCAAACAUUUCAAUUAAUUUGUGAUUUUUUUAUUAUUUAAUCAAUUAUGAAUUAAUGGAUUCUUCUUGUUGUUUUGAAGACCAAUAAAAAAAAAAGGGUAAGGAUGGCUUAUAACUCUGAUAAAACAACAGUGACGUGGACAGCAGAUGUUACACCGUACUGAAGAUUUUUGAAGAUUCUUUAUUUGGGUUUCUUUCAAGAUGAAAACCAUAUUAUCCACAACCACAAUGAAGAAGACAGAAAAUGGAGUAAUUCAGAUGUUACCAGCCAUCCACGACAAACUGAAGUCUGCAAAGCAUUCGUAAUCUAAAGGGAGACUUUGGAAAAGCCCAAAGGAGAGAGAAAAUUUUUAAAAGAAGCAAAAAUGGACAAAAUUGCCCUUAUUUAUUUUUUGAUUUCCUAAGAAAUCCUUUACAUUUGCAUGUCUUUGGUUUGAAAGUUGAGAGGUUAUUCUGUCUUUUUUCAAAAAGCUUUGGCUUUUUCCAAAAGUGAAAGUUUUUUUAUGGGUAAAACCUAAAUUUACUUAAUCCCUAAAAAGGAUGGGGAGGCUGCGCAAUACUUAGCCACGUGUAGGCCAGGAGGCUUUCCAAUUUUAAUAUAUAUAUAAAUUGAAAAAAUAAAAUAAAAAUCAAUCUAUUAUCCUAUAUAAAAUAAAGAUUAUUGCUUCCAUGGGCAGUGCUAUGCACAGGACAGUGCCUGCCCAGCACAAAUUUUUUUUAAAUAAAAAAAAAAAAUCUACAUAUGUUAUAAGCUCAUCCAAAAAAAUAAAAUAAAAUAAAAGUAAAUUCUACAUAUAUGUUGCCCAUCUAGGUGGUUCCAUAUCUUCUCUCUCCUUCUCUUUUGGCUAUUAGACUUCUUGUUUCUCUCUCUCUCUUUGCUACCUCACAUCAGCAAGUUUCUCCCUCUCUUUUUUUGGGGUCAAAUUCUUCCUCUAUUGACAAAAUCUUCUAUUAUCUUGGGUGGGCAACUUGGCAACAACAUCUUCUCUUCUCCUUUUGUCAACAACAAGUAUUAUUCUCAUUCUCUCAUUUGCUAUAUAUCUUUAAUUAUAGUUUUAAUUUAAAAUUGAGUAUUCUAGGGUUUAAUUAGGGAUGAAUUAUAAUUUUAGAAUUUUGUUGAAAUUAAUUAAGGCUUCGAUUAGGGGUGAAUUAUUCUACUGCUUUGGUUUGGAAUUUUGUUAAAAUUGAGUAUUAUAGGGUUUAAUUAUGGAUGAAUUAUAAUUUUUGAUUUUGGUAUUAUUGAGAUGUUAUUAUGAGAAUUUGUUUCAUUUUUUUAUUGGUAUAUUUGAUUAAAAUUCUUUCUACAUAUUAUUCAUAGGCUAUCUUUUAUUAUGUCGGAUCACAAUCGGAAUCCCAAGAGAACAAAGAAUUUGAAUAGUGUUGUUUUGUAUUGCAUUGCAUUUACUUUUGGUUUUAGUUUUGCUUUUAGUGUAAAUUACUCAAAUGGUCCUCAAAUUUGUACCCGAUUUACAUUUUGGUCCAUAAACUAAAUUAUUCAUUCAAAUGGUGCACCAACUCUUUAUUAAUCAGUGCUUUGGUCCUACCGUUAUGUUUUCUAUUAAAUUUAGUCAUGUGAGCAGCACAUGCUACAUUUGUAGGGGUAAAUAAGACUUUUGACCACUUUAUCACCUAUGUAUCACCACUUUAUAACCUAUUUGGAGAACAUAGGUCAGUUAUGGACGGUUUUACAAUUAUAUUUGACGGCAACAUUAACAUAAUGUAACAGUGGGAUCAAUGGAGCGAUUAAUAUAGAGUUGAUGGACCGUUUGAACGAAUAAUUUAAUUGAGGGACCAAAACGUAAAUUGAGUAUAAGUUUGAGGACCAUUUGAGUAAUGUACCCUUCGCUUUUAUAUUUGUUGAACUUUUAUUUAUGGAUAGAUAUGCAUUUGAGGGUAAGACCCAUUAUGUUCCCCCUGACUUGGUGUAUCUUUUUAUGUUUAUUAAUGAAAUUCACUCGAACUGUUGAGUUUAGUAUGUAAGUUUUGCCUAACCGGCUUUUGAAUCCUAGAACCGCCACUGUUGCUCCAUCCUCCAUGCACUUGCAUGUGCUCUUACAAAGUGUGAAGUAGAUUUUGUGUGCUCCAAGUCAUUGACUAGAGCUGAAACAUGGUUAGCUAGAUUUAUAAGGACCCAUCUCUCUAUUUCCUAGACAUAUACCCAUCUCUCUAUAAAUCUAUAUGUAAAACUCAAUUUCAAACUUAAAUGACCAGUAAGAUAUAAGAGGUCAUAGUAUUCCUAUGUUUUUACAUCGUUGCCACCAGACUUCUUAUUUUAUUUAUAAUUUAUUUCAAGCAUUUCAUUAACUGCCAUAAUUGUAAUUAAUACUCCAUAUUAAUAGCAUAUCAAUCACCCCAUUUCUUUUGAUUGCCAUUCCCUCUAACAUAUCGCCCCUUAAAAUUGAAAACCAAAAAAAAAAAAAAUGUAAAUUACAUAUCCAAUAAUGUACCUAUGAAAAAUAUAAAUAUAAAUAUAUACGUAUAAAAAUAUAGGUUUAUUAUUUACCAAAUAAAAAAUAUAAAAAAACUAGGUCAGUUGCUUUGUAAUUGAAAUUUCUAUACAUUUUCCACAAAUUAAAAAUAGGUACACAAUAAUUUAUAGAAAAUAUAGGUGCAUUAUUUAUCCAUAGGUAAAAAUACCUAUAAAUGCACAUAGGUAAAUUAUUUACCCAUAUAUUAUUUUUUUGCUAAGGAUUUACCUUAGUUUUUAGUAGAUUAAUUUACCUACCUAGAGGCAUAGGUAGCUUAAAAAAAUUGUAGCACCUUAGUUGGUUGCAUACUAAUUUACCUACCUAGAGGCAUAGGUUGCUAAGAAAAAAUGUAGGUAAAUUCAUGUACCUAAACACAUAGGGGUCAAAUAGAGAAUAACAUGUUAUUUCCCUUCGAACAAAUUAAUUUCAAACCAUAACAAUAAUUGAAUUCGGAAAUUGGUAUAAAUAAAAGGAAAUAAAUAAGCUAUCAAUUUGAAAAUUAAAAUAAGAAAUGAUCAAGUAGUCAUAUUUGAAAAAAAAGAAAAGAAUAUAUUCUUGGUUUUUAUAGGAACAACGUGUAUAUUCAAACCAAAUGGCAGUAACUACACCAAGCUUUAAUUACUUUUUUUUAAGGCCAAAAGUCACUUUUGGUCUCUGUAGUUUGACACUUCUAUUACUUUUGACGCUGUAGUUUCAAUUCCGUCAAUUUUGCCAUUGUAGUUUCAUAUUUGUAGCAAUUCAAGGACAUGUUAAUAUUAAUGUCAAUUUGUUUAAUGAUGCAAGGGGUAAUUUCGUCAUCCCAAAAUCCUUGAGCAUAAAAGCUUGUCUGAAAUUCUCCCCAUUUCAUAUUAGGGCUCGAAAUUCAACCACUAAUCCCAAUUUUUGAAGAACCCUAUACCCAAAUGACCAAUUUCAAGCCCUAAUAACAAAUUAGGGAAGUUUUAGAUGAGCUUUUAUGCUCAAGGAUUUUGAGUUGAAGAAAUUGCCCCUUGCACUGUCAAAGAAAUUGAUAGGAAUACUGACUUGUCCUUGAAUUGCUACAAAUACAAAAAUACAGGGUCAAAAUUAACAGAAUUUAAACUAUAUGGUCAAAAGUGGUUAAAGUGCCAAACUACAAGGACCAAAAGUGACUUUUAGCCUUUUUGUUUAAAUAAGGAAAAAACUUACCUAUUAAAUCCUUGGAAUCUAUACAAAAUUGAAACACAGUUAAUCAGCAUUGAAUUGCAGCUAAUUUCUUAAACAAGGGUAUUAUAGGAAUUUAAAAAGUAUAACAUUUAAUCCAUUGAGCUUGAUUAGGAAUCUUGAUGAGUUGGAUCCUAGUUAUAUAGUUUCUCUUAUAAAAAUCGGGUUUUAUUUAUAGACAAAUAAAACAAUGGGUUGUAGGUAAGAAAAUAUUAAUUUGAAGGGAAAGUGUCACAUCCUGGGAUCGGCUCCGCCGUAGCACGAUAUUGUCCGCUUUGGGCCCCCCUCUCUGCCCGCACGGUUUUGUUUCUGGGAGCUCACGAGCAACUUCCCAGUGGGUCACCCAUCCUGGGAUUGCUCUGGCCCCCAACUCGCUUAACUUCGGAAUUCCUAUGACUCCGAAGCCAGUGAGCUCCCAAAAGGCCUCGUGCUAGAUGGAUGCGGGUGUGUACAUAUAAGACACAUCACCCCCUCUCCGUUGGUUGAUGUGGGAUCUUACAGAAAGAGUCAAAUUUACUAAAUUAAUAAAGCAUAAAUUGGAAAGGGAAAAGAUCUAGAGGAUGCAUUGUAGGAUUGCUCAUGCCAAUAAUUGCACCCUCUCGAUAUUGAAAAACCUAUUGUGUAUUAUUAUCUUCAAUCAUGAAUGAUGCACCUAAAACCCAAGUGUCCCAAGCCAACCAUUGCGCUCAUACCACUUGUUGCAGUACACAUUCACCCGUUUUUAAAGAAAGAAAUUCUACCAAUCGAUAUUGUCUCAAAUUUAAUCACAUAGGUCUAUUAUGGUUAACCAUAUGUACUUUUAUCGGCCAUAUAGAGGUACCUUUUUCCAACGUGCAACAAUUGUAUUUGAUUCACAAUUAUGUCUGAUAUACAUCACAUCAUGCCACUUGCCUCAAAUGAAUUUAAUUGAGUGAGGCAAUGGGAAGUAAUUAAGCUCUAUAUUGGUGGGUGGAGUGUUACUUCUGGAACCCUCAUCAUUCGUCCAUACAAGGGAACAAUUCCCUUCCUUCUAUAAAAUGGUGAAGCCAGUUGCUAUUGUUUGUUAGAGUUUUAGGAUCUGAGUGUUAGAUUUUGUGAGAAGAGAGAAGAGAAUUUAGUGAAAACUUCCAAUACUGCUCUGCUAUACGUGUAGCAGAGAGAACAUUCUGUUUUGUUAUAUAUUUUCAGUACAACAACACACACUUGGUGUGAGAAGAAAAAUGACUGUUAUGCACAGUACCAGCUGGAUGCUUUCCAUCAAAGUAAUCUCAGCCAUUCACUAUCUAACCAAUCAAGCUAUGACACCUGGACUAAGUAUAAAGAAAUACAACUAAGCAGAAAACAAGACUCUUAAUCCUGAAAUCAACUUAAGCACUUAUAAUUCAACACUCCCCUUUAAGUCUUGAGGUGAUUUCACUCCAAGCAUGCCUCUGAGAUAAUUGAAUCUGUCUUUGGCCAGAGGUUUGGUAAAAAUGUCAGCCAAUUGUUCAUUUGUAGGACAAUAUUCCAGAUUGAUUACCCCUUCUUGCAAUGCAUCCUUGAUGAAGUGAUACCUCCUGUCAAUAUGCUUUGUCUUCUGGUGGAAUACAGGGUUUUUAGUGAUUGCAAUUGCUGAGAUAUUAUCACAAUGCAAUGGAGUAGCUUCAGUUUGAAGCUCUCUAAAGUCUUCUAGCACAAAACGGAGCCAAAUAGCUUGAGUAGUAGCCUCAGCUGCACUGAUGUACUCAGCUUCUGCAGUAGACAGUGCAACACAGUUCUGUUUCACUGAGGCCCAAGAAAAUACUCCACUUCCAAAACUAAACGCAUACCCUGAUGUGCUCUUGCAAUCACCAACUGAUCCUCCCCAAUCACUGUCACAGUAACCAACUAGAAUUGAUCUUUUGCCUUUCACAUAUUCAAGACCAUAGUCCAGAGUUCCUUUGAUGUAUCUCAAAACCCUUUUAGCUGUUCCAUAGUGUCUAUUUGUAGGACAGUGCAUGAAUCUAGCUAGCAAGCUUGAGGCAUACAUGAUGUCUGGUCUUGUAGCAGUUAAGUACAGCAAGCUACCAACAAUGCUUCUGUAUUGUUCUUCAUUUGCAGCUCAACUCCCAUCAUCCUUAGCUAGUUUCUCAGUGGCAACAAGGGGUGUUGUCACAGGUUUGCACUCAGUCAAACCAAACUUGCUCAACAAGGUGCUAGCAUAUUUCUUUUGAUGUAGAAAUAUACUAGACUCAGUCUGAAUAACUCCCAUGCCAAGAAAGUGAUGAAGUAAGCCCAAAUCAGUCAUCUCAUACUUAGCCAUCAUGUCUUCUUUGAAUUCAGCCAACAAUGCUUGACUGCUCCCUGUAUACACAAUAUCGUCUACAUAGAUAGACACAAUUAGAAUCUCCUUAUCUCCCCUUACUUUGGUAUAUAAGGUUGUUUCACUUAAGCUUUUCACAAAACCACAUUGAGUGAAGUAGCUGUCUAUCUCUCCAUACCAAGCCCUUGGGGCUUGCUUCAGACCAUAAAGGGCUUUAUGCAAACGAUAAACCUUGUCUUCUUUACCUUUAAUUACAAAACCUUCAGGCUGACUGACAUAAACUUCCUCUUGCAGCACACCAUUAAGGAAAGCAGACUUCACAUCAAGCUGGAACAAUUUCCAAUCCUUUUGAGCAGCUAGAGCAAUAAGUGUUCUAAUGGUGUCCAAUCUGGCUAUAGGUGCAUAAGUCUCAUUAUAAUCCAGUCCAGGCUUCUGAGCAUACCCCUUAGCCACUAAUCUUGCUUUAUUCUUUUGCACUGAGCCAUCCAAAUUCAGCUUUGUCUUGUACACCCACUUAACUCCAAUCACUGGUUUUUCAGUUAGUCUAUCUACCAAUUCCCAUGUUUCAUUCUUUUCAAUCAUCUGCAGUUCAUCUUCCAUAGCCUUAAGCCAAGAUUCAUCCUGAGCAACAUCAGCAUAUUUUUCUGGUUCCAUGAUACACAAGUUACACUGAGCUAGAACAUCAUCUAGCCUUCUCCAUUUUAGAGGGGUGUGAUCAUAAGCUUGAGUUCUCCUUUCUUCACUGCUUAUAUCACCUGGAGUUGAUGAAAUGCUCUCUUGCAUAUCCAAAGUUUGAGGUGUACCAGUAGAAUUCUCAUUAGAACUGUCAGAUUUCAAGUCCAAAUCAACUUGGUUUUCAAUUGAGUAUGUUGUCAUAACUGAACCAUUUUUGUUUGUCCAAUGCCAAGCAUUUUCUUCAUCAAAUGUCACAUCCCUUGAUAGUAAAAGCUUGUUAGAAACAGGAUCAAAAACUCUAUAUCCUUUUUCACAAGUUGCAUAUCCCACAAACACUCCCUUUGUACUCUUAGGAUCCCGCUUGUGUCUCAAUUCAGUUGGCACAUGAACAUAACACAGAGAACCAAACACUUUCAGAUGUGCAAUUCCAGGCUUCCUUCCACUAUAUGCUUCGAAUGGAGUAAUGUUGUUGAGAGCUUUGGUAGGACAUCUGUUCAGCAAAUAGAUAGCUGUAUGCACAGCUUCUGCCCAUAGGAAAUAAGGCAUUCCCUUCUCAUGUAACAUUGAUUUUGCCAUCUCAAUGACAGUUCUAUUCUUCCUCUCAACUACUCCAUUCUGCUGAGGAGUAUAGGCCAUUGUAAGCUGCCUUUGAAUGCCAUUAGCUUCACAAAACUCCAAAAAAUCAGUAGACAUAAACUCUCCACCCCUGUCACUUCUUAUGCACUGAACCUUGUGUCCAGUUUGUAAUUCAGUCAUGGACUUGAACUUCUUGAAACAAAAGAAGGCUUUUGACUUGUUUCUCAAGAAGUAUACCCAAAUCAUUCUUGUGAAAUCAUCUAUAAUCAGCAUGAAAUAUCUGUUCCUUGCAACAGACUCAUUUCUCAUGGGACCACAGAGAUCCACAUGUAUUAGCACUAGUACUUUGCUUGCUCUUUGAGCUUGAUCUUUUGGAAAAACAUUUCUGUGCUGUUUUCCAAAUUGGCACCCGUCACACACACCACUUUGUUCUUCCAAUUUUGGUAAACCAUGUACCAUUUCUUUAUCACUUAGCUGCUUCAAUCCUCCAAAAUGCAGAUGACCAAAUCUCUUGUGCCAAAUCCAUGUGGAUUGAAGAAAACUAGUCUUCAUUAGUAACUGUUUUUCAGCUAGAAAAGAGACAGGAUAGCAUCUGUUACUCUUCAUUUGCACCUUUAUGAUGAGAUAAUCCAUGGAUGGGCUAUCAAAUACCCUGCACAUCCCUUCUCCAAACACUAGACAGUACCCAUGUUCAUCCAUCUGCCCAACACUUAGCAGAUUUUCUUUCAAUCCUGGCAGAUACAUUACUUCUCUGAUGUAUUUCCUGCCCUUUGCUGUAUCAAUACUCAGUGAGCCAAUACCAGCUACACUCACUAAUGCACCAGUUGGCAUUUGUACUCUCCCAGCUACAUUAGUUCUCACAUCAACCAGCAAAUCUAAAUUUCCUGUCAUAUGAUUGCUGCAGCCACUGUCAAUGUACCAUUCAUUGGUUUUGAUCUCAGUGGUUGAGCAAUUGGCAUAAAACAGGUUUCCUGUAACCUCCAUUUGAUUUACACAAUUAGCCUUCUGCACAUUUUUGCUCACUGUACAGUCUCUAGCAAGAUGUCCAACUCUGUCACAGUUAUAGCAUUUUGGUUUUCCCUUAUACCUGCACUCACCAAAAUGAUGCUUUGAACACACCUUGCAUUGAGGCUUUGUGUUUUCCUGAUUUGAGAACUGUGUUGAAGUGUGGUUCUGUGCAGAAUAAUUAUUCUGCUGUGUCUUGUCUUUUGCCUCCCAUGACUUCCCUUUAGAGUUCCAGCUUCUCUGUGACUUAGAUGAACCAGACUGAGAAGCAUUUUUGUUCUGACCCUUUGAAUUCACAGUGAAUGAGGCAAAUGCCUUCUCAGCUGUAUCAACACUAUGCAUUUCAAGCCUUUGCUCCCGACUCUUCAAAAUGGCAGUUACUUCCUGCAAAUCCACAGUUUCUAGUGUCUUUGUGUUUUCAAUCACAAUGCAUAUAGGGUCAUACUUCUUACUUAGACUAAUUAACACCUUCUGAACCUACCUCUCAUUUGACAGAACUUCACCAAAUGUUUUCAUUUGGUUAAUCAAUUCAGUUAGUCUAGUAAGAUAUUCAGAUAAGGUUUCACUAUCACGCAUCCUACUGUAUUCAAACUCACGUCUAAGGUUUUGAAGCUUUACCGAUCUAACAUGCUCUCCACCAUGAUAUUCUGAGUACAGCAGAUUCCAAGCCAUCUUUGCAGAGUCAGCAUUGGCAAUUCUGGGAAAAAUCUGAUCAGAAACAGCAUUUUGAAUGAUACCCAAGGCCUUCGCAUCCUUCAUGAGAAUCGCAGCUGUUUUCUCAUCAACUUCUUCUUCUGAACCAUCCUCAGAUUCCUGCUUCGUCUUUGAAUCUGGGAUUAAAAACCCCUUCUCUACCAAACCCCAUAAACCAUAUGAUCUGAAUAUGGUUACCAUCUUAAUCCUCCAAAAUUCAUAGUUCUCACCUGAGAAAAUGGGGAUUCUAGCCUCUGAACUUCCAGAUCCAGCCAUUACGAAUUUCAGAUUCGCCUGGAAACAAGAUGUUUUCAGAUUUGACCCUUGAUCGAGCUCAAUCAGCUUCGUGAGCUUAGAAUGAGCUCACCUCGAUCGAUUUUCUUCACAGAACAACGCCCAGCUUCAGAUAAUCAAACUUGGCUCUGAGGCCAUGUUAGAGUUUUAGGAUCUGAGUGUUAGAUAUUGUGAGAAGAGAGAAGAGAAUUUAGUGAAAAUUUCCAAUACUGCUCUGCUAUACGUGUAGCAGAGAGAACAUUCUCUUUUGCUAUAUAUUUUCAGUACAACAACACACACUUGGUGUGAGAAGAAAAAUGACUGUUAUGCACAGUACCAGCUGGAUGCUUUCCAUCAAAGUAAUCUCAGCCAUUCACUAUCUAACCAAUCAAGCUAUGACACCUGGACUAAGUAUAAAGAAAUACAACUAAGCAGAAAACAAGACUCUUAAUCCUGAAAUCAACUUAAGCACUUAUAAUUCAACAUUGUUACCAUAAGAGCCAGCUCCGACUUUCUUUAAUUUCAGUCCUAACGGGGUUUCAUCUUCCACUCAUCUUUGCUCUUCUCAGUGUAAGCUCUGCAAUUUGAUUAACUUUCCCAUUAUCUCUCACUGUACUCUAUAUAAAGGAAUAAGUGUCGUCCACUAAUUAAUUACACUUUGUGAGAUUUGAUUUUAAUUAGAGUUCGAAUUGAUGUUGCAGCUAGCAGCGGUGGCACUGGCAAACCAUGCUGCUCAACCAGCACCUCAACUUUACUGGAACUCCGUCCUGCCAAACACACAAAUGCCAAGAGCUAUCAGUGAACUUCUGCAUCCUGGUUUGUGUUGAAUAAAUAUAGUAUGUUACUGGAGUACGUAUGGCAACAUAUUCACAAAUGUGUCACGUAUUUUCCAAUAUGACGUUGAUAUAUAAUUGCAGACUCCACAAACGAAGAAAAGAGCACAAAUGUCAUGAAUGCUGUUGGGAAUGGAAAGCCAAUUGACCACAAGGGCAACCUGAAAAUACUGUACUACCACAGCUUGCACGACGCCCAUUUUCUUACAAGAGUGAUGAUCGUCCCACUGACAAUCAACUCCAUUAUAAAAACGUAGCUAUUUUCUUCUUGGAGAAGGACAUGCGCCCUGGCACAACAAUGAGCUUCCAAUUCCCUAGAAAUUCAAACACGGCUACUUUCCUGCCACCAGAAAGAGCUCAAUCGAUCCCCUUCUCCUCUAACAAACUACCAGAAAUUUUCAACCAUUUUUCAGUGAAGCCAACAUCUGUGGAAGCCAAAACAAUUAAGCAAACAAUCGAAGAGUGUGAGGCUCCAGGCAUUAAGGGAGAGGAAAUAUAUUGCGCCACAUCUUUAGAAUCAAUGGUUGAUUUUAGCACUUCGAAUUUUCGAACAAGAAACGUUCAAGCAAUCUCGACAGAGGUAUUGGAAAAAGGUGCCACCAUGUCCAUGCACAAGCAUACAACAAUGCCGGGACUGAAGAAGUUGGCAGGUGACAAAGUCGUUGUGUGUCAUAAGCAGAACUAUCCCUAUGCUGUGUUUUACUGCCAUGUAAUAAAACCAACAGCAGCUUAUGUUCUCUCCCUGAAAGGCGAUGAUGGGGUGAAGAUUAAAGCAGUAGCCAUCUGCCAUCUAGACACAUCAGAAUGGAACCCAAAGCAUUUGGCCUUCCAAAUCCUCAAAGUUAAGCCCGGAACAAUUCCCAUCUGCCAUUUCCUUCCCACUGAUCAUAGUGUCUGGGUUCCGAACCACAAAUCUGCAUGAUCAUCACUUAGCACUGUACGUAUAAUAAGCUUGCACCCCUGUAUAAUUAUCUCCCUACUCUACUUAUUUCUGCCUCUUCAUGUGGUGUAAGAUAUAUGAUGAGAUGAAGUUUUUGGGAUUAGUGGUCGGGUUGCCUUAAAAACACAGAUUACAGAAACUGCUUGAACUUAACCCGAUCAUGUUUUCUCUUGUACUCGUAAAGCAUGCUGUUGUGGUUCUACUUAAUUUCGUUCUCCCCAAUGUUUGAGUGUUUAAUUGUUACGUUGGAUAAUGCUUGUAGUUAGAGAAGCCUUCAUUUAUAUCAAAGUCCUCAACUUGUAAAGAUAUCAAUGGUCCUAGUGCUGCCACGUGUAAGAAGAUUGAAGAAUAAAGCUGUUGAGAUAUUGUUAGACCUGUUAUGCAGUUUAGGAAAACUGUUAGUAUUGAUAAGAGAAGGUUAGAGAUGUUAGAGAGGUUAGAAAACACGUGAACAAGGCUUUAACUCAGCUGAUAUAAAGUCUGUAGUUGUGCUCAGUUGAACUUAAUGAGAAAUACAACAAGUCUCUUCUCUAUCUCUGAAAUUCUCUCUGCUCUCUCUGCUUUACUUCUUUUGUCUCUGCUCUACAUUUUUUUUCAAUCUUCCUAUCUUAACAAAACUAUCAAGAAUUAAUGCAUCCAGAAACAUAUAUACCAAGACGCAAAACAACAUAUUUUUCAUGCUCUGUCUGUAACACCAAAGCAAACUUCCUUUAUCACAAAAGGAUCAAAUUCCAGUACUAAUCUAAUCCAUCAUGUAAAGCAUACAAUCUACAAGUGCCUCCCUUAAUUUGUCCAUUGGAUAUAUAUGUCACUUUUUGGUAAUUUGGUAUAGCAGCACCACGUAGUCUUGAAAUAGUAGUGCGGCUAUACCAAAUAUACCAUUUGCCCCUGCAUUUAACAGAAAAGUAAACAAAAUUGACGGUAGAACUAUUUGUCCUAACGAAACUGCAGUUGAAAGACCAUGAGAACGAUUUUGAAAAUUGAGGGACUCAAAUGAAAAUUGGGUCUAAGUUCAAGAACCAAUAAAACGAUUAACCCAUAGAUUUUGGAUCCAGUACCACAUCCCAAAGAGAAAACCACAAGUUUGCAAGCAAGUUUGUCCAUAAUAACACUACGUACAGUAUGGGCAGUGCGCUAGACUCAUCUCACUUUCUCAACCUAUCCUAUAGUUGUCUAAAAGAGUUUCUAAUUUAAUGUACUGAGAUUUACGAAAGAAAUAUCAGAGAAACAAUUUUCAGGCAAUAAAAAAAUGUCUUGGCAAGAAAAUGUACAAUUUGUUACAUAACUUAUUAAAUAUGAACAGUUGAAAGAAAAAAGAAUCUGGAUGAGGGAUUUGCAAAUUCCUAUGGCCCAAUUACCUUUUUUUCUUUGUUGUUUUUUUUUUUUUUUUUUUGGUUCUUUUGAUCCAGUAGCAUAUUCCAAAGAAUGAAAACCACAGGCAUGCAAUGCAAGCUCUUUUCCCACGUUUUCCUCUGUUUUUCUCCUAUCAUGGAAGUGAUUAAAACACACCUCUAAGCUUGUUUUGCGUUUGGUAGCCGAGUGUAAAAGCUCAAUGCAAGAUAGUUUGAGGUAGAAUUUUCUCCUAUUUUAUUAGGACAAUGAUAAUUAAAAAAAAGUGUGAUUCAUUGAAUAUUUGCGGGGUUUUGUUCAGACCUGACAAAGUUCUAAGUCAACACAUCAAAUUCCUUUUUCCAACAUGCAACAAUUGUAUUUGAUUCCCAAUUUUUUCUGAUAUACAUCACAUCAUGCCACUUGCAUCAAAUGAAUUUAAUUGAGUGAGGCAAUGGGAAGUAAUUAAGCUCUGUAUUCGUGGGUGGAGUGUUACUUCUGGAACCCUAAUAAUUCGUCCCUACAGGACUCUAGAACUCUCAAACUUCUUACAAGGACUACUUAACUCUAUAGCUUAAUGCAUAUAGCAUAUAUAUGCAAACACAAUUAGAAAUUCUACAACAGAAGCAAGAUCAAUCUCACUAUGCCUUCUAAACAAACAAACAAAUAAAACAAGCAUAUUAAUUGCUUUAAUCACUCUACUAACAUCAACACAGCACACUUAGUUUACUAACAGAUGAUAUAGAAAGGAAAAAAAAGGACCAAUAGGGAGAAAAUGGUGAACUAAGGAGAGACUAAUACUUCUGGUCCUUAGAAGGCAUAACAGAAAUAAUAGAGCACACUGCUUGAAUGCAAGUCAGUAUUAGGAGCAAAACAGCUGCAAUGAAAGAAAUAGUUGCCCAAGGUGUAUUGAAAUAAUGUUGCCUCAAAUUUGCCUUCCAUUUGUUCCAAGGCUUUCUGCAGUAGCUAUUAAGGCGCUCAGAAAGAAUAGCAAAGUAGAAGCUUUCACGAUACACUGCAAUUCCUUUUCCGAGGUUGUUAAUCAGAGUGCACACCUCAUUGUAGUCACCAAGCAUAUUUUUGACAAUCCCAUCCUUCAGAAGGAACUCCACAUCCUUUUCGGUGUUCACAAACUCAUCCAUGAGUGAAACAUAAUCACUUAUGUAAUUCUUACGGCAAUGGCACUAUUCAAAGGCAAUGAGGUUACGGAGUGUGAGCUCUGUGUAAUCGUGUAUUUUUAGUUUUGGAAUUUCUAGAAUCCCAUCGUUGAAUUGUGUUAACGCAGCUUUCCUUUCCUAGCCUACACGGAAGUCAACUUCACAAUCUCCUCCUAGCAAUUAGUCUUUCCUGCUGUAAAUCAGAUUUCCUACUGUAAAUCGGAUUGUAUUCAUGUCUAUAUUAUUUCCUACUUUAAGUAGAUAUCUUGUACUAGUAUAAAUAGGGACUUUGUGUAAUCUGUUAAAUACAAGGAAAUAUAUACUCUGCAUGGUAUCAGCCUAACCUAGGGUUCUCUCUCUCUCCCUUAUUCGAUCCUCUUCUCCUUUAGGUCCACCUCAUGGCUUUGUCUGAAUCCACCAUCUCCCUCCCAAGCCCCAACUCUUCUAUUUUAUCAAGCUUAUUGACUCCAACUAUCUUCUUUGGCUCCGCCAACUCAAACCCUUUUUAGUCGGCCAUGACCUCUGGAAAUUUAUCGAUGGCAUUCAUAAACAACCUUCUGCCCACACCUCCACCUCUACCACCGCAACACCCACAACCACCACCACUCUUACCCAAAUCAAUCAUGCCCAUGCUCAGUGGUACCAACAAGACCAACUCAUUGUUAGCUACAUCACCAAUACACUCUCUGAGUCCAUUCUCUUUCUCACUGUUGGUUGCACCUCUGCCCGGGAUCUCUGGGAGUGUCUCCAACGCCACUUCUCUCAAUCCAGUAUGGCCAGUGAAUCUACUCUUCGUUUUAAACUCAUGGAUUUGCAAAAAGGCUCUGAACCCACUUAUGCUUACAUUCGUCAUGCUAAGUCCUUUGCCGAUUCACUGGCUGCCAUCAAUGAACCUGUCUCCCCAAAAGAACUUGUCACUACUGUGCUUUGGGGUUUAAGACCCUAUUGCAACAUCCUCGUCACAGCAAUUCUCAAUUUCCCUCUGCUUCCUAACUUUGCUAAUCUUCGUGCUCGUUUGUUAGCAUUUGACGCACAGACUCCUUGAAUCUCUCCUGAUCAAAACACAGCGCAAAUGGCCACCCAAUCCUCUCCUCACACCACCGGUCAUACUUCCUUCCCUUCUCACCGUGGUGGUGGCUCUUCCAACAACAGGCGUGGUGGCCUCGGUGGCUGGCGCAAUAGCGGCCGGGGUGGCUGGCGCAGCUUCUCAUCUUCCUGGAGCAACCCGUGGAAUGGCUUCCAGCAGCUCCAAUGACCUAAUCAACCAUGGCCUCCUUUUGCUCCAAGUUCUGGAUCUCAAAGCAACUGGCCUUCCUUUCAGCCUCCUUGGGCCUAAUCUGCCGCUUCUAUCAAACACUUUGCCCGGCCCAACUCAGCUCCUGGUGUCUUGGGACCCGCUUGGUGCACUACCUGCAAUACCAAUCACAUACUACUACAAUAUGUCCUCAUCGCUACAAUGGCCCAGAAUCCUUUCUUUGCUAGGGCUCAAUUCAUGUAGCCACCUGACUCUACUUGGUACCCUGACACAAGUACCACUCAUCAUAUGAUUGGUAGUCCUUCUAAUCUCCAAAAUCAAUCCUUCUAAUCUCCAAAAUCAACAGCCAUAUCAGGUUCAUAAUUCUGUAUUUCUUGGUAAUGGAGAUUCUCUCCCUAUCUCUCAUACUAGCUCUCUCUUUUGUCUUCCAUCUCUUCGUACUAAUCUUCUUUUUGUUGCCCAUUUUACUUGUGAUAAUUUAGUUUUCUUUGUCUUUACUCUUGACUUUUAUCAAAUCUAUGACUUAUGUACUGGUUCGUUACUCUUUCAGGGCCCUUCUAAAGAUGGUCUUUACCCACUUUCCAUCUCCUCUCACUCAUCCAUAGUCCCCCAUGCCCUUACCACCGUGCACUCUCCUGCUUGGCAUCAUUGCCUUGGCCAUCCAUUCCAUCGUGUGCUCUCUCAUUUAGCGCCAUCUCUAGGCUUUAAAGUUUCUCAUGCUUUCUGUAAGGAUUGUGCACUUAGCAAAUCCACCAAACUGUCAUUUCUUAGUAAUAAAACCUUUGCCCCAUCUCCCUUUUAUUUAAUUCACUCUGAUGUAUGGAUGUCCUCGGUCAUUUCUGUCACUGGUUAUCGCUAUUAUGUCUUGUUUACAGAUGACUUUUCUCGUUACUCCUGGAUCUAUCAUAUGCACCGUAAAAAUGAGGUCUUUUCUCACUUUCAAACCUUUCUUGCUAUGGUUAAAAAUCAAUUUCACACCACUGUACAAAUUCUUUAAAGUGACAAUGGCACUGAAUAUGUUAAUAAUGCUUUCUCUGAUCUUUGCAGUCAACUAGGCAUCCACCAACGUUUCACAUGUCCCCACACUCCCCAACAAAAUGGCCUAGCUGAACAUAAACACAGACACAUUGCCACCAUGAUCUGUCCCCGGUCAUUUAUUCAACCAUCUUGACCUUUUGCUUGAUCAUUUUCCACAAGCAACCGUCCACGUACCCCAAUAAUUUAAAAGGGCUGAUGAUCUUUAAUUUGGUGAAAGCUUCUAUCUACCUACCGUGCUAUAUAUGAGCUAUGCAAUCGUGACCGUGUUACAUGACGUCCCAAUGUCGUAGGGAUAAAAAAAUAAUAGUCAUGGUUUUCUUAUUAAUGUCAAUACAUUCAUAGCAAAGAGCUUGUAGCUCUAGUGGUUAAGAGCAAUUACCCAUGCACUUGAGAUAUUUUGUGUUUAAAUCCCCUCUUCCCCAAUAUUUCUUGUAUAAAAAUAAAAAUAACAAUAAUAAUGACAUUAAUGUUGUAUUCUAUAAAGUGUUGGACAUGUUUUAUACCCCUUUCUUGCAAAUUACAGUUUGCCACGUGUACAAAAAUAAUAGAUAAGUGUUGGACAUCAAGAGCACUUACAUAUAGGUUUAAUAGGUAAGUUUUGAAUAUUUCUGUAUUUAGCUUUAAAUAUUGAAAAUCAACCUAUUAGCAUAUUAAAGAUUUGUCCAUAUUCGACGUACAUUCUCUUAUUUUUCUCUCAUUGAAGUAAAUACAAAACUAAGCACAUAGUGGGAAAGUGCGUCACGAUUAGGGGUGGGUUUAGUCUAGGUUGGUUCAUUUUUGGGCUCAAUUUGAACACCGAACUGUAAGCUUCGGUUUGGCUAUUUUGGAAACCGAAACCAAACCAUAAUUGAUGAAAACCGACCACUUCGAUUACCUUCUGGUCUUCCAACCAGAAGAAAACUCAAAACUUUAACCAUACCAAGUGCAACAGAAUUACACCAGGCUGGAUUCAAGUUUAUGAUGGUUAAAGAUAAAAACUUAUUUGACAUACAAUUUGAGAAUGGAAUCCUCAAAAUUCCACACCUGCGAAUACGGGGUUUAACAGAAAUUUUCUUCCGCAAUCUUAUUGCCUAUGAGCAGUGUGAGCUUCAUGAUCAUUACAUCAACGACUAUGUCUUCAUCAUGGACCGCCUGGUCGACAGUGCCAGGGAUGUGGAAUUGCUUGUGAAGAGUGGAAUUCUUGAAUCUAUGCUACCGGACAGCGAGGCAGCAGGGGAAUUUAUUAAUUCUCUUGACUUGGGGCCUAUUUUAGGCAAGCUUGAAACAAGACUAUUUCAGUUCACCAUGGGCUGGCCUGUCUAUUAUUGUAGCCGCUAUACUAGUUGUGCUCACAUUUAUUCAAACAGUGUGCUCCGUAAUGGCGCUGUAGGUUCUUCAUUUCCUCAAUUUCAUGUUUAGUGGUUGCAGAUUUGUUGCUCAUGUACGUGUUUAUCUAAAGUUAAAUAAGAGUGAUUGACUGGAUUGACUGUUAGUCUGUUAGUUUGUUUUUCUGGGGUUUUUCCCCCCUGUUCGUCAAAAAAAAAAAUAAAAGAGUGAUGGCUUGUGCCUAUGAAAAUUACUUAGGAGUAUGCUCCACAGAGCCAAAAUAAAUAAACUAGGGAAGUGGAGGUUCUUCUGUUUGUAUAUAAAUGAGCAAUUCAAACUCUCAGUGCCAAGGGAGUUACCCUUGAUACAUUUGUUAAAAAUUAUAUAUUUGGUCUUACAUCAAACAAAUAAUUUGAAGGGCUUUUUUGACAACUGCUGACAGCGUUUGGCAGAAAAGUUUAGAAGCGCUUCUACGCUUCUAGAUCAUAAAAGUGCUUUACCAAAAAGCACUUAGAUUUCUUAUGAAAAUUUCAACAUUUUUAUAAUAAAAGCGCUUGCUAGAAGCACUUAUAAGCAGAAGUGCUUCAUAGAGAAGCAGUCCCAAACGAGCUUGAUUUUCAAAUGUGCUGCUUAAGAAGAAAUUUAAUACGUUUUGAAAACAAAAAAAAAUACGAAAUUUAAUACGUUUGUUUUACAAAUUGUAUUAAUUGUUAUCAAUAAUACUUGUGCACACCCACAACAUACUUCUUUCUUUCUUUAUUUUCCUUCAGUACAGUUCUGCCUUUCUUUAAUUAUUUUUAACGAAUGCAAAGAGUUUGUCACAAAAUCAAGGAUUGAAAAAAAAAGAGAGUAAAUUAUGUGCUAGAGAAACUUUCCUGCAGAAAUUGAAGAACAACUCUAGUUUCUCUCUUUCGCCUUGUACUCCCGCACUGAGGUUAGUAUUGUUAUAAUGUGCAGAUUAUACGGUCACUCUUGUAUAAUGGCGAGAAGGCUCUAAUUAUAUUUUUGAACCUCUUUGACAGGACCCGCCCCGAAUUUCCCGAAACCCAAGACGAAUUCUGUGGAAAUUCCCUACAUCACCCCGAUGUUGGGCCCACUUCUAAAACUAUAUCAUUUUUCCUAAAAAGGAAUAAGGGCACGAGACUUUCUACCGAAAUUUCGGCAGAGUCUCUCCUGUAAAUUGAACAUUUCCCAAAAUUUCAACCUGCAUAAAACACAUUUUAUAUUACCCAACUGGCAGCAUGCACAAAAUAAUAACAUGCAAUUCACAUAAACGGCCUCUGGCCCUCCGGUAAUUCAGAGCAAUGCAAACUAGCAACUCUAAACCUAAUAAAACAACAUAAGUAACAUUUAGCCAGCGGCUGCACCCAGGCACUACCCUAGGCUACCUACGUACCCUUACUAAGGGAUCAAGCCACACGUAGUUCUUUCAUACAAAAUUUCCAAAUCCAUCAACAUGCAAUCAAUUACAGAAUCCCAAACAAAAUCUUUCUCAAACAUCAUUAGUUCCCAACUCAGUAUAAUAAUCCUUAAUUCAUCUCUGUAAUAAUCACAAUAUCUCCCCAUACGCCGGAACUACCAACACCACGUAUGGAGCCUGCCUGUACGCCAGAUAACCAACGACACGUGGGACCUCAUCAUCAUAUCACAUAAUCUCCCCAUACGCCGAAACUACCAACACCACGUAUGGGGUCUGUCAACACGCCGGAUAACCUACGACGUGUGACCUCAACAUCAAAUCACAAUAUCUCCCCAUACACCGGAACUACCUACGCCACGUAUGGGGUCUGUCCACAUGCCGGAUAACCUACGACACGUGGGACCUCAUCAUCAUAUCACAUAAUAUAUUAACGAUCAAGAAAUAUCACUACGGUCAUUUAAUCCUCCUGGGAAGGUAAAACUAUCUCAGGAGACUCACGGUCAACCAAGGGUCAAACUACCUCAUACUUGGACAAACGAGCCCACGGAGCCCACAACCUCCGUUUUACUAUCCAAGAGUUCCUAUAGGUUCUACAAGGUUUAGGAUACACGGCUUGCAAGUUUGGUCAAGAUCAGACGGUCGGAUCGCUCACGAUAGGACGGUUACUGCAAACCUAGCCCUAGGGUUGGCAUUUUCGGAGUAUCCGAAACUCCGUUUUACGAUCUGUCGAAUCAUAGACGAUCCUAAGGAUUUGCAGACUAACUAUAAUAAAUUCAAGACCAUCCAACGGUCUAAACCUAUCGAACCCGGAUAACGCGCAAUAGGCAAUAUCCAAAUUGAAAUCCGAGCACACCUACGCACUCGUGAGGACUAGGAGAUUACAUCGGGACAUAGUGCCCUUUUUCUACAGUGCCCAUGAGCCGCCGCACGCACCAGCAACGCGUGGGUGCCCAAAGCGAUUAUGCAUCGCCAAAAAAUCUCAAAACCACGGCUCAAGACUCCUACCCUAGGUAUAACACCCUAUUUGGAACCACUUUUGUUCUUGGACCUACCCCAAAAACUGAUCAGAAGUGGCCGGAAUGGCUGAAAUGUAAUUCAAAAAUCAAGCUACCAACGCUCAAAAUCGAUGCAAUCCUACCCAACCAUCAACUAGAUUAUGAAGAAUGGAUAAAUUUCCAUACCUUGAUCGCCAACAAUGGCGGCCGGAGGAGAGAGAUCUGAUCCGGCGAAGUUCGAGUGAAAACGGCCAAAAAUCAUCUUUUUCAGGCGGCUGGAGGGCGACCGAUGUCAGGGAAGGGCAGGGUCGUGACGCUAAGGCUGAGCCUGUCCUUUUGGCACCGGUCCCUUCCGCAGCCGUGUCCGGUGGCUGGAGUUUCGAAGAGAGAGAGAGAGAGAGAGAGAGAGAGAGAGAGAGAAAUCUGAUUUUUAUCAAACCUUUUUGCCAAAAUUACGGUUAUGCCACUGAGGGUAUUUUGAUAGUAUCUCUCUCGUUACAACUUCGAUUCGAGCCCACCACGUGUGUACGGACUCAUCUAACUGUGUUGUACGCAACGGUAUAGUCGAAAUUCCCAAAUUAUUUCCUUGUCAAAAAGUCAACUUUAAACAUUAUAAAAUAUUUUAGGGAAAAAAUGGUAUUUUCUCUCAAUAAAUUAGUAACUAAUUUAUUUAGGACUGGGUCAUUAUACUCUUUUUCGCUUCAAUGGAUGGGAAAAAAUUUUAUGUAAUAUCCCACAUCGACCAACGAAGAGGGGGCGAUGUGUCUUAUAUGUACAUGCCCGCCUCCAUCUAGCAUAAGGCCUUUUGGAAGCUCACUGGCUUCAGAGUCAUGGGAACUCCGAAGUUAAGCGAGUUGGGGGCUAGAGCAAUCCCAGGAUGAGUAACCCACUGGGAAGUUGCUCGUGAGCUUCGAGAAACAAAACCGUGAGGGCAGAGAGAGGGGCCCAAAGCGGACAAUAAGGCCUCGUGCUAGAUGGAGGCGGGCAUGUACAUAUAAGGCACAUCACUCUCUCUCCGUUGGUCGAUGUGGAAUGUUAGAAUGGAAUUGUUACCUUUGGUGUGGAGGUGUUCUAUCAUUUGAGCAAGAAAUUCCCACAUAUUCUUCAACUAUUUUUCAAGCAUGCAUAUUCCUCCCUAUCAAUCUUUGGUUUCUUCCUUUACUGUGCAUAGUAAGGAUCCAGUCAGGGACGGACCGUCGCUAUGACUAUCCUGGGCUAUAGCCCAGGCAAAUUAUUUUUUUUUCUAGUCUAAAAUAGCAAUCCCACCGCUUGCUGUAGUACUUGUUCAGUUCGUCACAAACAUGAGCAUAAUAGAAGUUAUCAACAUCUAUAUAGGAACCCCAAUGAAAAGGCUGUUAACUAAUAAUGAAGUUAACCCGUCAAUUUUUCCGCAUAUCAGAUAUCUCUCAGAAUAUGCGAUUCCAUAUUCAAUAAGCCACUCCACAUGCCCUGAGGUUUUCAUCAAACCACCCAUUAAGGAAACAUACUGACUCAUGUAAUUAUCAUUACUCAUCGGGUAAUGCAAUUGUUCAAAGGCAAGGACAUUUCUCAUUAUUUAUGUAGCGAACCCCAAUGGAAAUGGUGGGAUCUUCAGAACCCCAUCGGUGCUACUGAAUUGUAUGUCAAAUAUGUUUUCACCUUGUCACGCCUCAAACUUGACUCCAGCGUGCUGUAAUUCUGUCAAGCUGGGUAUGGAUGAUGGGAGUUUGAUGCAGGAGCAUAGGGGUGGAUCAAGAUAGAUAUUUACUAUUUAAUUAGUUAUUUCAUGAUAUAUUGUUAUUUUCUUAUUUAGGUAGUUUUAUGAUAUCUUUUAUUAUUUAUGUGUGAUUUUAUAAUUAAUUAGUAUACUUUUGGACCAAGUAGCCUUGGUGCUCAAGUCUUGUAAAGCCUAUAAAUAAGGCUAAUGUAAUAGUUGUAGAAUAGAUGUCGAUGAUUAAUAAAAUCGUUUAUUUGUGGCAUGGAUUUGCUACGAUAUAUGUGAGUUUGCACUAGCCCUAGAUUUCAGUGCUCGUGUAUGUGGUUGGUGACCUGUGUCCGGAUCCCGAUCCCCAUCAAUUGGUAUCAGAGCUAUGGCUCAAGAUCUGCUAUAUCGGGGAGGUUUUUGGAUGGAGGGUCGUUUUAACAACUACAACGACAUGGAGGAAAUUAGGAGGAUGCUACGGCAACUUAUGGAACACAUUGCUCGCAUUGAAGCUCGAACCCAGAUAGGUAAGAGUUCUGACGGGGAGGGAUGUGUGAACCCUUAUCUGAACCGAGUAGCUCGCAUCGACACUCUAAGCCGUGAGAGUCUCGACGGGGAGUACGAGGGAGAUAGCCCUUUUCAUUAUUGUGCUCCGCUGUGUGAGUCAAGUGAAGAGGGGCACGGUUAUUCUCAUUGUGUCUUUGAAGGUAUAAAUGAAUUUAGUAAUUUUGGUGCAUCUUGUUAUUCAUCAAAGUUAUUAAAUUUGGAUUUACCUCCAUUAUUUGAUCCUUGCAAUUGUGAAAAUUGCAAUAAAAAUUGUUUGGGUGUUCAAAGCAAUUUUGAUAAGCAAUUUAUUGACCAGAACAGUGAAGAGAUGAGAAUUGAGAAAACUUUCGAAGAUAUUAUUGAUUUUAUGGGCAUUAAUAUUUUCACUUGGAAGGUUGCCAAAAAUCUGGUUGAUUUUGUCAAUCGGUUGAAGAUUCUAGAGAGAAACAUUUGCAUUGCUAGAGGGAGUAAGAAGUCAAGAAUAACGAAAUAUUCCAAAUAUCUUUUUAUUUGGAAAGGAAGGUUUCAAUUGGAUGCUAAAAGAUCCAAAAUUAAUAUGCAGCAAUUGAAGAUUCUACUCGGAUUUUCCUUAAUCAAAGGCUUGAAUUCGAGGACGAAUUCUUUCCAACUAUGGGAGUCUGAUGCAGGAGCAUAGGGGUGGAUCAAGAUAGAUAUUUACUAUUUAAUUUGUUAUUUCAUGAUAUAUUGUUAUUUUCUUAUUUAGGUAGUUUUAUGAUAUCUUUUAUUAUUUAUGUGUGAUUUUAUAAUUAAUUAGUUUACUUUUGGACCAAGUAGCCUUGGUGCUCAAGUCUUGUAAAGCCUAUAAAUAAGGCUAAUGUAAUAGUUGUAGAAUAGAUGUCGAUGAUUAAUAAAAUCGUUUAUUUGUGGCAUGGAUUUGCUACAAUAUAUGUGAGUUUGCACUAACCCUUGAUUUCGGUGCUCGUGUAUGUGGUUGGUGACCUGUGUCCGGAUCCCGAUCCCCAUCAGAGUUCCCCUCCAGCUUUUGAUUCCAACGGUUGAUAGAGUUUAAAUAUUUUCCUGAAAAGAUCAAUAAUAUGUGCCACUGAUCUAAAAGUCUCCAAAUUGUCUUCCAAUUUGUCAACAGGCAAUAGAUGUUCGAAGAAACUGAAAGAAAUACAAAUUAUUGAAAGCCCCUCAGUAAUGCUGUUAUUGUCAGCAUUAGCAGGGAGUGUAAUUUUCUGUGGGUCGAAAAGAUCCUCGAGAAUGAAGAAUGGCAACUGAUUUUCAAGCAACCACGUAUCUGUCCAUGCAUCUUGCAACAUACCUGGUUUGUCAAAUAUGCGGUCAUUUUCGUCCCAAAAUUUGAAGUAGUCCUUCAAUAAGGGCUCAAUAACGAAGGCGGCGCCCACUAGAAUGAUUGUUACAAAUUCAUCACUGCUAAACUUGAUGGGUUCUCCAUAACAACGUCUCAAUCUUGCUUCGUGGUCCUUUAUUUUCUUAAUAUAAUCCUCCAAACUCACAUUGGUCCGACCUAUAAAAUCUUGCAGGUAUCUCUGUUUGUUCUCUUCCAAUACGACAUUCAAGCCUUCCUUUCCAUGGUGAAGUGGACCUAUAGAGACCGACUGCCUGAGGUGUGCAGAGCUUUUCAUUCACACAUACGUAGAUAAAAUGUCUGGGGGCUCAGAGAGUGAUGAAUGUGCAACAGCUAAUGGGAGGGUUUAUAUUCCUGAAGUAAGAAAUGAGGAAACACCAGCAGUUGGGAUGAAGUUUGACUCGCUUGACCUCGUUUACAAUUUCUAUAAUAGAUAUGCAUUCUUGGCUGGCUUUGGUAUUCGACUUCAUUCUAGCUUUUGGGGGAAAAAUAAGAAAGAGAUUUUGAGGAAAGAAUUUGUAUGUUGCAAACAAGGUGCAUACAAGAAGGAUGAAACUCGGGAGAGAAAAAGACAACGGGGAAUAAGUAGAUGCAAUUGCAAAGCAAAGAUUGUGGUUGUGAAGACAAAUGGGAGCAAGAAGUAUACCAUUUCUCUUUUUGCAGAGGGACACAAUCAUAAGAUGACACCCUCAGAAAGAAUGCAUUUAUUGAGAUCACACCGUCAUAUUUCAGAUUCUACAAAAGUACUCACAAAACAGUUGGGUUCAGUUAAUAUUCCCAUUCAUCAGAAGGUAAGUAUAUUCGAGGUGCAAUCCGGAGGAAUGGAUAAAAUCGGUUUUAUCAAAAAAGAUAUCUACAAUCUUGAAUGUAGUGUGAAUGGGAAGCUGAGGAACCACGAUGUUGAACUAGUGACCGAGUAUUUUAUGGCUGAACAGAAAAAAAAUGAGGCUUUUUAUUUCAAGAUUGAGGGAGAUGGGCAUGACAGGUUUAGUCGAUGUUUUUGGGCAGAUGCAACUUCUAGACGGGCGUAUGGGUUUUAUGGAGAUGUUGUUGUAUUCGAUACCACAUUCAACACGAAUCGAUACGACUUGACAUUUGCACCAAUGUUGGGAGUUAAUAACCAUGGUCAGACAAUUGUCUUAGCAUGCGCAUUUUUGAGCAAGGAAACGACUGAGUCGUUUGUUUGGAUGUUUGAGGAGUUUAAGAAAGCCAUGCCAGGUGGGGAACCUAAAACGAUCAUUACAGAUCAAGAUGCGGCAAUGGCCAUAGCGAUUUCAAUAGCCUUCCCGAGUACAUUUCAUCGACUUUGCAUAUGGCACAUCACAUCAAAGUUCUCUGUUAAGUUACCACGUGACGCUUAUAAGGAGUAUUGGCCUGAAUUUCAGAAAGCCAUAUGGGAUACUGACAAUAAGGAUGAGUUUGAUGCAAAAUGGAAUAUUGUGGUUAUAAAGGCUGGUUUGACUGACCAUCCAUGGCUAAGUUCAAUGUUUGAUUUAAGGGAAUCUUGGGUUCCAGCCUACGCACGACAAUUUUUUGCCGCUGGAAUGUCAAGCAGCCAAAGAGCGGAAGGUUCUCAUGGUUUUUUCAAGCAAUACAUAUCAAGGAGAAAUUCGUUGAUGGAUUUCAUAAUACGAUUUGAGAGGGCAUUUUCUCAUCAACGUGAAAAAGAGUUAGUUGCUGAUCACGUAGAUGCAUUUGAAGUGGCUCAAUGUCUUCUACCGAUGCCAAUGAACAAACAAAUGGCUACCUUGUACACAAGGACAAUGUUUCAAAAGUUUGAGCAAGAACUAAUACAAAGUACAGCAUGUUUCCUAGAGCUCAAAACAGAGGAUGCAUGUAAAGUUGUGUUCAACGUGAGCGAAAGGAAAAAUUGGGAAACAAGAGUGGCAGAAGUCGUAUAUGUCAAAGAUUCUGACCACGCAUCGUGUAGCUGCAAAAGAUUUGAAUUUGUUGGAAUUAUUUGCAAGCACAUCCUAGCAUUGUUCAGAAGGGACCAGAUUGAAUAUAUGCCCGAUAAAUAUAUUUUGAAGAGGUGGAAGAAAACUGCGAAAUGUGGAUUGGUGUCAGAUGCAAAUGGCAACGAAAUUAAAGACUGUGCAGAUCCUGGCCUUCUAAUAAAGCGGAGUACAAUGUCUCGACUUGCUUCAAAUGUGGUUGAGGAUGCAUUAAUGAGUGAAGAAGGAUGUGAGCUACUGUCAGAGACUCUAAAAAGUUUGCAGGUGAAGUUGAAGUUGCUGAAGGAUGGACCAAGUAAUAACGAAGUUGGAGGGUCCAGCUCUCAAACACAAUAUAUGAAAGACCCUAAGAGAGUGAGGUGCAAAGGAAGGUCGAAAGGAAUAACGGGAGCAAAGGAAAAGGCAAUGAAGCGAGGGAUUAGACACUGUCGGGAGUGUGGACACAUUGGUCAUGAUAGAAGACAAUGCCCAGCCUUGAACACACCGUAAGAUGCUACCACUAUUUGUAAUAAUAUCUAAAAUAUGAAAAGGUAAAAUUUUUAUGUGCUUGUGUUUGAUGUUUAUGCAGGACAUCACCGUCGAACAAUGACAAAUCAACUCCAAUACAUCGUAGUGACCCAUUAUUCGACGAUUUUGACAAGAUGCACAGACCAACUGAAUGAUUGAUAUUUGUAUUAGACGAAAUGUGGUUGUUAUGAAGAUUAAUGAUCAAGUGAAGUUUUAUAGAUUCAGUUUUUGAAUGUUAUUGUGUUUUUGUUCAUGUCCACCGAUGAGCUCUUACUAUGUCCACUGGUAAUUGAAAUGAAAAUUUUCUUGGUUUCAUUCUUCCAAGACAUUUGGAGACAUGUUAAUUUUACGUCUUCUCCCUAUUUAUAAAUUUUCAUAGACAUUUGAUCAAGUUUGAAAUUUGUAGUUAUGUGAAGAAGCAAUGACUCUUACCAUGUAAAAUGGGCAGUUUAGGGUGAAAUUUGUUUUAACAGAGAUUCAUUUUUCAAUUCCUCAGGGUAAUGCAGCAAUUACAGCAGCCAGCUGUUGUUUCCAUUACCAGUAAUCAUUUCCAGCAGCAGCCACUUUUUCCGACUGGUUAUUAGGGGCACGAUUUUGUACACUUUUGUAAGUGAAGGAUACUCGAAGCACUUUGUUGGAACAGAGCAAAUAGAAACCAGCGGGUAAAAAAAAAACAUAACAUUGCAGCUAAUUACAUUUCGAUACAUAGGUGAAAAAUAUUAAAGGGUACACUAACUUACAUAAAUACUCAUAAUUCCACACACAAAAGAACAUUUGAUUGCAAAACAUAUUAUGUGCUUCCUCAUAGCAAUACCACGAUCUCCCCAACCAACUGAACAACGGUAGCCACAAUCACUGGGUCGUACUCGUCAGCUUCUUCUUAGCAGGUCUCACAUGCUUAUGGCCACUCAUAUCCCUAGUGAUAUACACGAAAUAAAUCUUCAGCAAUAUUUGGAAUUUUAUUAUAUAUAAAUAAACCAUAAACCAUUCAGUAAACAAUGUAUAGCACAUGUUAUGUAACUUAUGACUCACGUGUCAGUUUUUUUUUUAACACAUUAGUACUCCAGCUCUUUAAUGUAAAUGGACAUGAUAAGGAGCAUUUACUGAUUCCCGGCUUUCUAUGAUAUUGACUGCUUCUUGAAUAAUAUUUCCAUAUUUGCAAAAUAUAAUGUUAGACAUUAUAACACAUGAUGACUUGCAAUACAUAGUCCCAAUAAUUAUAUAUCAAGCAAAUGAAACUGAUAUUUGUGUUAUUUUAAGUUAGAUAAUGACAUUAAGGGAGUAUAUGUGCAAUACCACGGUCACCCUCAACCAACUGAACAGCGGUAGCCGCAAUCACUUAGUCGUAUCGGUCGGCUUCUUCCGAGCAGCUUUGACGUGCUUAUGCUCAUUCAUGUCACCCCCAUCGUCUAGUAUCUCUCUCACAGCAUCAGGGGACACAUAGUUCCAAUCAUAACUUGUAUGAGUAGUUGCCGCAAAUGCUCGGAAUUUGUCGAAUCCUUCGUUGAAUGCCAACUCCAGUUCAGUAUGGUGCUCUUCGCAUCGCAUAUGGUUCAUCAAACAACCUUUGAUUUCAUCAUUCAUUACUGUAUCCAACUCCUCAGCUUUCAGCUUCCUGCUAUGACUCAGCUUCAAGUACUUGUUCUUUUGGGAUAACGCUUUGUUCACCCUAAUGUUAAGAUCAGCCAAAAUUGCCUCGUCUUCAACACAUUUCUCGUGCCAUGAAUUGAUCAGUCUGGAAUUAUAAUCCAGCUUGCCACUGACUGCAUGUAUUGCCUGUAAUGGAUCAUCGGAGUCCCCCUCACUCCCAAAUGAUGUUGAAAAAGGAAGGGGUCGGCGAGUACAAUGUGGAAAUAGAACCUGCCACUCCAAUUUGUCAUCUUCGAUUGUGUUGUUGGCGCCUGAAGAGGUUGACAUGCUUGAAUAAUCCUCUUUGUUUUGGGAGGAUGAGGAUUGCAUAUGCAAUUUCGUUUGAGAAAGGGAACAUAGGUUUAUAGACCAACAUACCAAAGCUUGUGUGUAGUCAACAUAUGUACUUUUUGGCGGGAAUUUUUUAAAAAUAGGUGUUAGGUUUUGCUUUUCAAGCAUGUCAACCUCACACUCUCCUGACACCACUGCUAGUGGUUGAAACAAAGUCAAUGGAAGUGACAUCUACUUAGUUAACUCAACCAAACUAGUUAGGAUUAAACUUAGAUUGUAUCAGACCAAAAAAUAAUUUCUACUUUGUCAACCAAAUAUUUUUUGGCGGGAACCCUUUUCUUGGUAUUACUAUCACCCCUUUCAUAUAAAAUCUCCUUCCACACAAAACUCACUCCUCCACCGAAUCUGUCUCCAUCUACCGAUACUCUCUCAAGCAAACAAACUCAUUCCCCCCAAAGAAUGAGCAUAAGCACAACCAAGUUUGAUGUGAGCAUAAUAAACACCCCUCCAAACAAAGACCGGCUUCGACACGCAAGUGAGUCACCGGACAAGCAAUGUCACAUUGCUAGACAGAAUGACCAUUUUGUUGGAAGUUUUGAGUCUGAAAGAGUUGUUGCUUUUUGGAAGGAGAGGCAUCUUCAACUUGGUGAUGAAAUCCAAAGGGCAAGGGCACGUUUGGAAUUUGUGGAAGGCCAAAUUGAAGAUGACAAAAGGCAGGCCAAUCUGGAUAGGGCGAAGUUGUAGCGCAUGAAGCGUAGACACAAACGACUUCGGAGUGUAGCUGUUCAAAAAUACAAGAACUCAUCUAAUGUAGUGGAGUCAAAGAAGCGUGUGAUGCAAGCUGGAUUCGACUACUUCCGAUCCUAUGCAAAACUCGUCGUACCCGGGUUUGAUUGGUCAUCUAUUACCGUUUCCGACGUCACCAAAUAUACUCAGCAAGGGAAGUAACCAUUUUGGUUCUCGUGUUUUAGCAGAGGCAAAUAAGUGGAAUUGGAAUUUUGGUUACACUCUGCUUCAAAGCUAUUUUGAUGCUAACUACUAUGGAAGAUUUAAACCUUAAUAUUUUGAUGUCUUUAAUUACGAAAACAGAAGAUGCAAAGAGCUCAUCUACUUCAGCCAUAUGUUGCUGCCAUGUCCAUUUGUUUUUGAUCACUUAUCAGAUUUGGACAUGGUUGCAUCAUAUGCAAUGUUGCCUUUAUUUAUUAUAUGUUAGGACAAGGUUUAUGGAAAAGCUUUUGUGAGUGCGUUUGUGACAAGGUUAUGGAAUUAUUAUGUACACUUUAUAUAUUGUUUUUUGUACUGGUUCAUUUCCUACUAUUUCUUGCUUUCUUUAUAUUUUAUGUUUGUGGAAUCCCUCUCAAAGUUAACAUAUACUGUGAAAAAAAUAUUAUGCAACUGAUUAUAUAAUCACUCAUAUAGACUAGGACAAAUAUUCACUAAGGGUUUUAAACUUGCUUCACUUGUGUGAUGUUAUUGACAAAAAGUAUGGCAUUAUUUAUGUGAUUUGACAUGAUUGAAAAUAUAUUACUGAUUCCCAAUGCGGCGUCAUAUGGACAACGUAUUGAAUACCUGUGACGUGUUAAUAACUCAAGGUGCAGUUGCAUGUGGACAACUUCUUGAAUACCUCUGACGUGUUGAAAACUCUAGGUGCAGUUGCAUGUGGACAACUUAUUGAAUACGAACUGACGUCUUCAAAGCUCUAGGCGUAGUUGCAAUGAUGGCUUCAAAGCAUGUGCAAUUAUUUUUUAUGUACAUUAUUAUAACAAAACAUAUUAUUGUAUAUAGUGAAACUAAAUAUUGUAUUAUUAGAAAUUAUAUUUCGAAUAUUAUCCGAAAUAUACGUGUUAACGUGAAUUUGGGUUAAGAGGAAAGUGAGUUAUGUACAAAUAAUUUUCAUUUUCUCAUUUUCCGGGCAUUUUUUGGAUUUUCGUAGAAUUUAUUACCUAUGUCCACAGAUUGUUGCACUAAAAAAGCCAAAAUAAUAGCAAGAGGACACCUGGAGCGAUCUCAGCCCGUCACUGAUGACUACUUGCACAAGUGUACGUCAGUCAACAUGGCCACACCCUCCCAUUUUACCCUAAAUUAUUAUUUUAUUACUUUUCCUUACAAAAAUCAGAACUAAUUACACACAAAAUAAAAAAAUUAUCCGAAAAUUGCUACGAACUCAUUGACACUCCAUCUCCGUUGCUGAAUUCUCCGAUUCAUUGUUACGUAUUUGUAAAAUUAAUUCCCAACAUUAACGGGAGAUGCUUGUUGAAGUAGGUUAUUCAAGUUGAAGUUAACAAACAUCAAUACUUAGGGUUAAGAGGAAAGUGAGUUAUGUAACACAAUUUGGAUUAUUUCAUUGCGAGACGAAUGAUUUAUAGGUUCUCCUAGUUUUAUGACGUCACAAGUAGGCCGGAGUAAUUUUUGGGGCAUUUUUACGAUUUUCCUACUAUUUUUUACCUAGUUUCAAAGAUUUUUGAACAAAAGAAUCCAAAAUGUAAAAGAAGAUGACACCUGGCGCGAUCUCAGCCCGUCACUUUUCACUACUUGCACAAGUGUACGUCAGUCAACAUGGCCACAUCCUCUCAUUUUACCCUAAAUUAUUAUUUUAUUACGUUUUGUCUUGGAAAAUUCAUAACUAAAUACACAAAAAUUCAAAAUUAUUUCUGAAAAUUGCUACGAACUCAUUGACACUCCAUCUCCGUUGCUGAAUUCUCCGAUUCAUUGUUACGCAUUUUUAAAAUUAAUUCCCAACAUUAACGGGAGAUGCUUGUUGAAGUAGGUUAUUCAAGUUGAAGUUAACAAACAUCAAUACUUAGGGUUAAGAGGAAAGUGAGUUAUGUAACACAAUUUGGAUUAUUUCAUUGUGAGACGAAUGAUUUAUAGGUUCUCCUAGUUUUAUGACGUCACAAGUAGGCCGGAGUAAUUUUUGGGCCAUUUUUACGAUUUUCCUACUAUUUAUUACCUAGUUUCAAAGAUUUUUGAACAAAAGAAUCCAAAAUUAACAAGAAUAUGACACCUGGCGCGAUCUCAGCCAGUCACUUUUGACUACUUGCACAAGUGUACGUUACCGAACAUGGCCACAUCCUCCCAUUUUACCCUAAAUUAUUAUUUUAUUACCUUUUUUCUUGGAAAAUUCAUAACUAAAUACACAAAAAUUAGAAAAACGAUCCGAAAAUUUCUACGAACUUAUUGCGAUUUCAUCUUCCUACUGCAUUCCCUGUUUAAUGGUUAUGCUACAUUAGUAUUUUAUUAUUAUUUAUCCACAAUUAUUAUAAUUAUUAUGAUAUUACUUUUUAGGCUGUCCAUUUGUUAAUUAUACCACAUCCAACUUGUUGAAAACAAUUUUAUUUUCCGUGCGAAUAGGCCAUUUGUAGUGCUUAUCGGUUUCUCUGUUCUUCAAUUUGUUAAUUUUUUUAUUUUUUAGGUUGAAGGGAUGUUUUGAAACAUAAUAUGGAAAUAUACAAGUCAUCCAUUGUACUCCUUCCACACAAAAAAAUAGUCUACGUCAUUCACUGUUCAACACCCUAGGUUAAGACACGUGUAACCAAAUCCGUUCGGAUAUGCUAAGUGGGAAAAUGUCAUUCCCAAGCACUGGUGAAAAGACACUUAUUUACUCCAUGCAUGACUUUUGGUUUACCAAAUAUGAAGAUUGGGGUCGGUGAGCAAAAUAUCUGUGUCAGUAAAAUGUCAUUCCUAGCCAUCUAUGAUGUAAGUAAUAAUUCCGCUAUAUAAUAAAUAUUAUACAUUUAUAUAUAAAACGGUUUAUGACAAAAUACCAACAUUUGAACAACAUUUAAACUGAGAUAGGUAUAACGUAGCCAGCCAACCUAGAAGUGAAGAGAAGCAAGUCCACAAUGCAUCAAAACUGUAAAUUCGUACUAAAACUAAUGCAAAAAUACGUGAUUCCCUCGCACAACUUACUCACGCAGGAUUUUGCACCAAAAAAUACUCUCACGGUGCCAUUUGCAUCGGUUGCAGCAAGUCCAAAACGCAGGAUUUAUCUUGUCUUCACUAGGCCACCCUGGAAUAACAAAAUACCAUUCAUUGUUGUUACAAGCGCUGCACCGAUUGAACUUAAUCUUCCCAUAGUCAAACAUAUCUACGAUAUGUCUUGCAACAAAUGCUCCGCGACAUCUUCCUGUUAAAGCAUCCCUGGUUCCUUUCAUAUCAAUGUUGUUACGUUGAUUCAAAGAACACAAGAAUUGUAAUGCAUCCUCUUUUGACUGACCAAUUCCGGACAUACCAAGUAGUCCAACUACAUAUGCCGCUUCCAUAUGGCCUGCCGUGGCUGCAAUGCGCAUCCCAUACAACGCUUCCACCUUACCGUCUGUGAAAAAACCUUCGAAUGCUUCUCUAAAUAUGGACUCAGGGUUAUCGCAAGCCCUGCAUUGUUGCAAGAAAUGCUGGACUGCAGGUUUGGCACGGUAGCAGAUAGGAUGGUGUGGGUACUUUGCCAUUGAAAUGGUGUUCCACACUUGUGGACUGUUUGCCAAAAUGUUGAACAAUCGGCACACACAUGCCAUACGGAAGAGAUCUUCCGAUGAUUCGGUUGCCACGUAUAACAUCACUUGAAACCAAGCGGACUCCGGGAUAAAGGCUUCGGGCAUAUCGAAAUGGAGAUGCUUCCUUCUCUUUCCUCCGACUGUAGUGAAGUGUUUCGAAUUCAUUGAAAAGUUUUUGGAAUGGAACGAUUUGAGGAGUGGCAGAGGGGAUAAAUGAUAAUAUUUGGGGUACACGUUCUACUUCCGAGCCUCUGUUUAUAGUGUUUUGAAAAGGUGUUUCCAGUUGGGGUUUUUCCAAGUUGACCCUUUUGAAAGAAACUGAAUCCAAGUGAAUUAAAACUUAAGACAAAAGAAGGGAAAACGUCAUAACGGUGCAUACAGAGUCAGACAGUUAAAAAGUUAAUUAAAUGGCUAUUUGCAUAGCCAUUUUUGGGUUUAUCCCACUAUCAAAUUCAUUGAUACAAAUGUGAUGGAUUACUGACUAGUGACAGAAGGUCCCAUCAUAUACUUUUUCAUUUUCGCACACCCAACUAUCCCUAGUAAUGUUAUUAAAAUGGAACCAAUAAUGACGGAUUCUUAUCCAACUAGUUGCCUUAAUGAAAUAUAAAUAAAUUAAUAAAAUUGAAGCAGUGUCCCGUCAUUAGUCAGAAAAUAUAUUUGGUAGUGAAGUAGUUUCUAUUGCUUUUCGGGCUAAAAGAUGUCACAAUGCUGACGGUACAGGUGUCGACAUCGUGACCAACCCACCAAAUGAUCCCAAAAAAAAGUAAUAUAACUCGAUUUGGGCAGAGAUGAGAGAGAGCUGAGUGACAAGUUUAGGGUUAUGAGUGAAGGGGUAUGAAUGACAACUAUGAGUGAGAAGGUAUGAGUCCGAAGAGGUUUCAGUGAGAAGAUUUGAGUGAGAAGAGGUACAACUGAGAAGAUUCAACAUGUCUUCGUCUUCAUCUCCUGCUCAAACAAAGAGGUGUCAGUAUUGUGGAGCUACAAUGGUGCUUCGGGUUUCAAAAUCUGAAAAAAAAUCGAGGGAAGCCAUUCUGGAAGUGUCUAACCUCCUAUGUAAGUUUUAAUUUAAAGAAUAUGUAUGUGGGUGAAAAAAAACCUAUGUCUAACUCUGACAGAAUUAUAUUCCAUAUAUGAUGCCUGCAAUUAGGGAGCCACCAGUUGCAAUGGAUUCGAAUGGGUUGAUGUAACCUCCGCUGAAGCAGAACAUCAAGAUGACACGUAUGAUGUUAGAGUGCUGAACAUGCUGAAGUCCAUUAAGGACUUGGUAUUAGUUUUAUUAGUUGUAUUAAUUGUCAUUUUAUUUGUUCUUUUAAUGAUCAUUUAACUGCACGGUUUAAAAGAUUGUGAAAGUUCUCUCGCACAAGACAUAUUGCACGCACCACCAAUGAGACCCUAAACCCAUUUUGUAAUAUUUGGUAACUGCAUGUAUUUCGCAUGUUAUUGAAUGUUUAUUGAAGGUUUAUUGAUAGUUUGCUGCAUGUAUAUGGAAUAUCAUUGCCCCAAAAUUGGAUGUUUAUUGGGGCCACAAGUAUCACUCAAGUAAGAAUGAAGGGGAGAAACGGACCUUAUUCUUUCUUAUAGUAGGAAGAACAACUGUUAAGUUUAAUAUCCUAUUCAAUACGACUUCCCUAUGGUUGGUGUACUUGGGGACUGAAGUAUAUUGCAUCAUUAUUGUGGGCAAGGGCAUGUCUAUUGUGUGUGUUAAGGGAGUAUUGUGUGGGCAAGGGCAUGUCUACUGUGUGUAUAUUGCAUGUCUACUGUGUGUAUAUUGCAUAUCUAUUCUCUGUAUAUGGCAGGCCAAGUUUGUGUAUAUUGUUUGUCUGUUGUGUGUGUAUUGCUUGUCGGUGCGUUUGUGAAUUGUGGUUCAUUUUGUGUAUAUUGUCUUUGUUUCUACUUUUAUGCUACUGAGCUGCGGAAAACCUCGCAUGUUUAGACACCUAUUAUGAUGCAACACAUUGCGAUUAAUGGUGGCUUGCAUCAACAAUGACAUAUCACUUUGCAAUGAUGUAAUACACUUAAAAAGCCGUCUUCAAAUCCCAAUUCACAUAUGCAGUCUUAAAAUUCUAAUUCAAUGCAGUUUGGUUAACAAACAUGUAAAUGUCAUGAAGGAGUUAGCGGUAGAAUUCGAUAAGGACCCGUACGUCUCUAUUGUGUAUUUACAUUAGUUUGAGAAUGGACAUUCCCAAAACCUUCUCAUGUACCAUUUGUCAUCUUCAACCAAUAUCAUGGGAAGUAAGCAUCUCCCCUUGUUAUCUCCGCAGCCAAUUUCAACCGAAAAAAAGGCAUGUUGUGCGAGGUGCAAGUAGCUAACGGAAGCUUAGCGCUGAAAAGCUCAAUGUACUUUAACACAAACAUGCCACAAUCGCCUCUGAAGCAAAACAAGAACUCGAUCAAUUCAACUAAUGACAUUCUAAUGUAAUUGACAAUUGAAAGUAAUAAAAUUAAAUUGCAAGUUGUGCUUACUCAUUAGACUGUUGUGGAACAUCCACACGCUCUAUUGGCCACGGACACCACCAAUCUCGGCUGCAAUUGUUUGCAUAAACACCUUCUUCAUAAAAGUCGAUGGUGUUGAGAAGAUUUGGAAGCGUAAUUGAUAGCGGGCCGAGUUCUUCCUUUACGAUGUCAUCUGGAAUUAGUGAAACCUUUGAAUCGUACACUUUGAUUCACACAAUACCAGAUCAAACANNNNNNNNNNNNNNNNNNNNNNNNNNNNNNNNNNNNNNNNNNNNNNNNNNNNNNNNNNNNNNNNNNNNNNNNNNNNNNNNNNNNNNNNNNNNNNNNNNNNNNNNNNNNNNNNNNNNNNNNNNNNNNNNNNNNNNNNNNNNNNNNNNNNNNNNNNNNNNNNNNNNNNNNNNNNNNNNNNNNNNNNNNNNNNNNNNNNNNNNNNNNNNNNNNNNNNNNNNNNNNNNNNNNNNNNNNNNNNNNNNNNNNNNNNNNNNNNNNNNNNNNNNNNNNNNNNNNNNNNNNNNNNNNNNNNNNNNNNNNNNNNNNNNNNNNNNNNNNNNNNNNNNNNNNNNNNNNNNNNNNNNNNNNNNNNNNNNNNNNNNNNNNNNNNNNNNNNNNNNNNNNNNNNNNNNNNNNNNNNNNNNNNNNNNNNNNNNNNNNNNNNNNNNNNNNNNNNNNNNNNNNNNNNNNNNNNNNNNNNNNNNNNNNNNNNNNNNNNNNNNNNNNNNNNNNNNNNNNNNNNNNNNNNNNNNNNNNNNNNNNNNNNNNNNNNNNNNNNNNNNNNNNNNNNNNNNNNNNNNNNNNNNNNNNNNNNNNNNNNNNNNNNNNNNNNNNNNNNNNNNNNNNNNNNNNNNNNNNNNNNNNNNNNNNNNNNNNNNNNNNNNNNNNNNNNNNNNNNNNNNNNNNNNNNNNNNNNNNNNNNNNNNNNNNNNNNNNNNNNNNNNNNNNNNNNNNNNNNNNNNNNNNNNNNNNNNNNNNNNNNNNNNNNNNNNNNNNNNNNNNNNNNNNNNNNNNNNNNNNNNNNNNNNNNNNNNNNNNNNNNNNNNNNNNNNNNNNNNNNNNNNNNNNNNNNNNNNNNNNNNNNNNNNNNNNNNNNNNNNNNNNNNNNNNNNNNNNNNNNNNNNNNNNNNNNNNNNNNNNNNNNNNNNNNNNNNNNNNNNNNNNNNNNNNNNNNNNNNNNNNNNNNNNNNNNNNNNNNNNNNNNNNNNNNNNNNNNNNNNNNNNNNNNNNNNNNNNNNNNNNNNNNNNNNNNNNNNNNNNNNNNNNNNNNNNNNNNNNNNNNNNNNNNNNNNNNNNNNNNNNNNNNNNNNNNNNNNNNNNNNNNNNNNNNNNNNNNNNNNNNNNNNNNNNNNNNNNNNNNNNNNNNNNNNNNNNNNNNNNNNNNNNNNNNNNNNNNNNNNNNNNNNNNNNNNNNNNNNNNNNNNNNNNNNNNNNNNNUUUUCCUCUCCCUCAUCUCUAUUAUUUGGCCCUUCACCCCCUUCAAUCCCUUCAUCUUCUUUUUCCUCUCCCUCAUUUCUGUUACUUGGCCCUUCAUCCCAUUGAAUGUCAUCCAUUUCCCCAUAUCCCUUAAAUAGAUGUGAGACGACACAACGAUUCGUCCUCUGUUUCAGUAAAGCUAGGUCCCUCCUUACUUCCUGCUCAAACUGAGGACCUAAACAUUGGUCCAAUAGUUUUUCCAUCCGUAUGACCUUUAAGUGAAGGACGUCUUUUUCCCGCUUUUCUUGAAACAACUCGGACCUCAACAAGCUUACCACCUUGUUCAACUCAUCAAGAUCACCACAUGAAGAAGGAAUUGACUCUGCCGAGACAACAGCAGGGCGAUCCUGUGGCCAACUCCAAUAUGGCUGUCUCAUUUCCUCUUCACUUAGACAUAGCGCCCGCAACUGAACUGACUGUUUCAGAAUACAGACAAGAGUCAUAUUAAAUCAUUCUACUUCAUAAUUUCAUUCAAUCUUAUCAAUAGUUCUAAGGGCUGCAAACCAAACCUCUUUGCUCUGGAAAAAAUAAUUGUUCAACUUUCUCAUCUCUGGAACAGACGUAGUAGUUCUCCAUCGCAAAAUACGCGGGACAGCGGUCGGAUCAACAACCUUGCAGUAAUUCAGGUCCGCCAUUCUAGGAAUUAAUUCAUAUACCCAAAUCUACACAAUUCACAGGACAAAAGUCAUUAUUUAUGUUUUAAAGAAAAACAAAACAUAACUGACAUGAACAUUAUUACCAUGUACCUGGAAAGCAUACGUGAAACCUUUAAAACUCCAGCCACUCCUUUGCGCUUCACUAUGCUUAUCCUUCUUGCCCUUCUCAUUUCUCCGGCUUGUUCCCGUUACCUUACUUUUCCCCUUCCCUCUUCCCUCUUCAUUUUCCAAGCUUUUCACAUACUUUGUUGGUGCAGAAAAUAGACUGUCUUGGGUUUUGUCAAAGGACACCGAACCCCACGGAUACCUGUUGAACGCAUCCAAGUCCUCUACAAGGGUCAGGUAAUUUAGAUUGAUGUUCAAAUGUUUGUCCCUUCCCAAAACCACUAACUCAGCAAAGUAAACAAGAGGUAGCUUGAAGAUGUCAUCUUCCUCUGUGCACCUCACAAAUGCUUCUUCUAAAGCAUUGCAUGUAAUUCCUUCGUCUAUAAAAUAUCUUUUCUGAAGUCUGAUUUCAUUACUCUCUCCACUGGAAACUUCAGGCACUUCCCCAAAACGAAGCCCUGUGAUCAAACAGAAAUCCUGACGAGUGAACUGAGCAACGUCACACCCUAAUAAGAAACUCAGUCCAUCCAAGUCUUUCACACCCUGCCCCGCUACUCUACGCAACACAACCCCAUGCACAAUCUGUCCGCUAAACUGAAUCUUAUCUAUAUUCAGAAGAUGGCCAAAGCAUGAUGUCUUGAAUUGUUCUAAUUGUUCCGCACUCAACUUCGCUCGAAUUGCAGCUAGAGAUGAAUUUGCAUGUGAGCAGUUGUUCACCCGUGAUGAAUAUACCUCUGCCUCUGGCCAUACCAGCUCCACGUUGGAUCCCAUUUCCUCAAAUACAAUGUGAAAUAACGUGAACAUAUAUACUACCACGUAUUUGCACAAUCACAACUAGUCAACCAGGCACAUUACAACUUUUACAAAGUACAUGAGCAUAUGGAUUACUCAUCACAGGCUUUAACAUCAUCAAAGCAAUAUGACAAUUUUUGUGCAAAUACCUGUUAAUGCAAUGAUUAUGUGAAUUACAAACAAUUUCACGUGUUUUAUUUAUGGAUCCAUACUCGUGUGAGUGCAAUGUAGGCAAGUUCUGCACUUCACACACAUGACAAUUAUUGUCAUCUCAUACACAACCCAAAAUAAAUAAAUAAGAAAUAUAGUGGAAGGAAGCAAAGCAAAGCAUGUACUCUGCUAUCUGCUUGCUAAGCAAUUGCCACAUCCUUCUUUCUUUCUACCUUUUUCUUCAGUCACCCACAAUCGUCAUAGAUCAACCUUCAUUUCAAAUGCUUUGCACUUUUAUUCAUGAGUUUAUUAUUAUCUGUUCUCAUUUCUCAUAGGCAAAUUUAGUAACAAAUGAAAUAAUAUUUAUUUCACAAAAUAUAUAAAUUCUAGUGCCAGAGAGGUACUCUUCACUCUGCACUGCUUCAAAUGUGGAAGGUUUUGAGAUGUUAUUGACAUGUGAUUGACUUUAUUUUCAUUCGUUUUUUAACAUAUACCCAAGCAAAAAUUAACAUGCAAUUGAAGCACAAAUAAGAGAUGCCAAAUCCAACAACAUUGAUGGUACAAAUUGGGGAAAACCAUUACUCUAACCCUAAACUCAAAUUCCUUACAUUACUCAUCAAAUGCUUUGCAGUUCUAUUCAUGAGUUUAUUAUUAUCUGUUCAAAUGUUUCUCAGGCAAAUUUAGUAACAAAGGAAAUCAUAUUUACUUCAUAAAAUAUAUAUAUAUAUAUAUAUAUUCUAGCGCCUCUUCUUAAUCUGCACUAUGCACUGCUUCAAAUGUGGAAGGUUUUGAGGGCCUCCUCCAAUUCAACACCAUUAUCUUAUUCAUAUCAUUAUUGACAUGUUAUUCACUUGUUAUUGACUUCAUUUUCAUUCUUUUUUUAACAUAUACCUAAGCAAAAAUUAACAUGCAACUGAAGCACAACGAAGAGAUGCCAAAUCCAACAAAAUUUAUGGUACAAAUUGGGGAAAACCAUUACUCUAACCCUAAACUCAAAUUCCAUAAAUUACUCACCAAAUGCUGGUUAUUGCAAGGUGUCUGUGUGGGGUCUUUCUGUUUCUUUGCUCCACAAAUGGAACCUACCACUUCCAACGAAUACAGCUUUUCCCCUUCCCCUUCCACUGCUUCGCCUCUUCACUGAUUUGGAAUCCACACCUUUGCCCCUUCUACUCCAAAUAAAUACUUUCUCGGGGUCUGGAGAACGGAGUGGCGAAUCGUUGCCUUCAACUGUCGUUAGCCGUUGCCUUCAUUGGGUAUCUCAGACCUCUGUGUUUUAGAGAGAUGAGUUCUUUCUGUUCAAACUUCGAACUUGCCUCUUCUUCUUCUUUUUCGGACGUGUUUCCCUCUUCUUCUUCUUUUUGGACGUGCUGGAUAUUCAAUUCGGGUUUGGGUUCCUUACCUACCCAAUUGUGAAACUUUAACUCAAUUCUCCCCAGCCCUUGGAUUAAUCUGAUGGCUAUAAAGUGAACCCCUUAUAACUUACCCCUUAUAACUUUCCACUCAUUAUAGUCUUGGCCAGGUAUGGCGGCCAUGCUAGUAAGUGUUGGGUCUUUGACCCAACUUAAGCUAAAUGGGUCAUAAGAUGACCGAUCAUCUUAUCUCAUAAGGAUAUAUAAGUCAUGUUAUGAUUUAGGAUUUUAUAGGGUUUCCUUUGUAAGAGGUAAGAGAGAAACAAGCUCUCUCUCUCUCUACACAAGGAGGUCAGCCAUAGCAAGGGAAAGGCUCCUAGCACUCUCCUCUCUCUUAUUAUAUCAUCCUUCCAAGGACAGCUUUGGUAUGGUAAAGUUGGAGGUUGCACACUUUGUGCACUUUGGUAAGAACUCAUCCAAGGGAGCCAAGAUUAAAUUGGUUAGCUGUUGGAUUAAAUUGGUUAGCACGAUUCAACGGUUAAUAGAUAAAACUUCACAUAAAAGUCAUAUAUAAGGCCCUCACUAUAGAAUGACUCGUUAGUUUAGUCUCUUGUUACAUAUCAAAUGUUAGAGAUAUUUUUUAAUAAGGAUCUGCCAUACCACAUAGUUGGAUAAGACAUUAUACACGGCUUUUGUAAGAGCAUCUCCAGCGCUCCAAACUAGCCCAAGCAGCAGGGGGGCCUAAGUCUAGGAAGCAGCUCCAGCUCGCAAGAUUCAACCCAGGCAAGGUGUGGAACCCACGAGGAGAUCUAGCCCGUCACCUUGCCUUUGGGUUUCAGUCAAGCUGAUGUCAACGAAAGAAUUUCAAAUUUUUUUUACCGUUACAAUGUACGCGCCAACGAUAAAUUUUCUUUGGAUUUCUUGCAUUGAUCCACAGCUACCAAAAACCAACAGCUACAAGCCACGUGGCUUCUCCAGGAGCCUCCGAUCCAAAAAUCAUGUCAAAUCUAACGGCAGUCCAUUUUUUGGCUAAAAAUAUCAAAAAAUUAUGGAAACAUGUUCUAUAAAUUCCUACAAAUAUUAUUCACUUCCCACACCAAAUCUUCAUACAAAUUCAUAUCCUUUCAAUAUUUUUCACUUUCCAUACAAGAUUUUCUACUACUAAGUUUCGUUUGUGUAAAAAUACAAAUGACCUCUUCUAUCGAAGCCGGAGGCGCGUGUACAACCGUGGAAGAUAUUUUGUUGCGUGAGUGUUGGGUCAAAGUUGGUCAUUCCCUGAUCACGGGCAAUGAGAUGAAGUCCUCUCGUAGGAGUUUCUGACAUCGCAACGAAAGUAAGAUGUGAUAUGAAAAUGUAAGGAAUUUGAUGAGAGGAAUGGGAUUUGAGGAGUUUGAUGUAGGAAUUGAUGUAGGAAUUGAAUUUGGGAGGUAUGUAUAUAAGAUUUGAGGGUAUGUGUUUAGGGAUUUUGAUAAGAGGAUUUGAGGAAUUUAGAUUUGAAGGAUUUGGAUUUGGGGAAUUUAAAUAUGAGGAAUUUGAUUAGGGUUUGGGUUUGAAUAUGUGAAAUUUGAUAUGAGAGUUUAGAGACAACAGAUGAUCGAUUGCUCUGAUACCAUGCUAAAAUAUGAUAUGGUUUGAAUACUUUAGGUUGAGUUUUAUUCUUUUCCAUAAAAAGGUAUAUAUAGGAGUUUACAUGAGUGCUUUACAAAGAAAUAGAUACAAUAAUCAAUUAGGAUAAUAUCUCCUAAUUAUACAAUAAUUUGUCAACUAUAUAGAAUAGGAAAGUAAAUUCCUUAAUUAAUCAAGAAAAUAAAUCUCAUUGAUUAAUUAGGAGACUAACGUCAACAUUUAUAAGCCAUAAAAGAGCAGAAAAAGAGGUACUUAGGAGAUUUUAUACGUCGGACUAAGGUAAGCUUAAAGGACUAUAUCAAAAAAAUAAGGGACCAAGAAGCAAGACAGAGAAGUUGUUAUGCAAACCCAUUAAGUUUAGCAGUGAUGAAUUUGUAAAAAUCAUUCUAGUGGAUUCUGCCUUCACUAUUGAGUUCUUAUUGAGGUUCUAUCUGAAAGGAUCUGGACAUGAAGGAGACCGCUUAUUAAACAAACCGUGGAUGUUUACAGCCUGACAUGUGGUUGCUUGAAAAUCAGCUCCCAUUCUUUAUUCUUGAGGAUCUUUAUCACACAUACAUAAUAACCGACUCUUUUAGGAAUUAUUACAGUACUCAUGAUCAUGAGAGGCUUUCAAUAAUUAAUAUUUCUAAGAAUUUCUUCACAGCCGGAAUAUUGAAUUUGGAGGGGAAGGGAGACAAAUGGAACAGAAUAUCAUCUUCUUCUAGUGUUGGAAAUUUUAUAUUAUUUAAUAAUAUUUAAUUUCUAUUGUGAAUGAAAAAUAAGUUUCUUUAAGAAACGUGUGUCUUAGGCCAGUUUUUCUAACUGGUCGGCUUCCUUAGAUUUGUGCCUAUUGCUUUUCAAAGUAUAAUGAUGCAAUGGUUGUAUCUCGUUCAGGCAAAUGGAAGGUAUAUAGCAAUUUAUAGAACAAUACAGUAAUCCAGAAGAAAUAUUAUGAAAUGAAAAGAAUAAAAAGUAAAAAAAGAGAAAGAAAGGAAUUCCCACCUGCAAUGUAUAUGUAUGAAAGGAAGGACCAAGUUUGUUUUAAAAUGGUAAGAACAAGUUGAUUUUAAAUUGGGUUCAGAUCAACUCAUAGAUUUCUUGCCUUUUCUGUUCUCCUUCCUUGGACAUGAACUGUUUAAUCUUGGACUCUUCCCCAUCAUGUUGGGCCUGUCUUCUUCUUGAGGAUUGUAUAGGCCUAGGAAAUGCUUCGGGGUAGUUUUUGUGUUUUGGGCAUUGGGACCCAACUUCACAAAAAGAAAACAAAUUUGACCAAAACACAAAUUUGAAGGACAUUGAAAUUGUACCCGUAGGAUAGAUUAAAACACUAUAAGGGAGGUAAAUAGUACGUUUACAGAGUUUAAGUGUAAUAAAGGAAUAAAAACAUGCCCAGAGAAUUGAUAAGUGAUAUCAAUUCUUGAAUAUACGUGAAAAUUAUUUUAUGUGGUUAAACCCCACCUCUGGGGAAAAUCCACGGAACUUCUUAGUCCAACUUCUAUCACUUAUCCUAGACACAUUCUAGAUAAUGUUUGCCAACCUCUUCGUAACUCAACUUCUGUCACGAGAUGAUCUUUCAACACUUUAUGUCGAACGCAAUACUGGUCACGAUUUCUUCAAGCUCGCCGGAGUUCUUCCAAUUCUCCUUAUAUUGAAUCUGAUACUAGUCACGAUCGAUUCAAGCUCAUCGGAGAAAAAUCGCCACAACAAUCUUGGUGCCCUCAACCGUAUGAGUCACUGAACAUGCAAAUGAAUACAAUAUGAAUGAUAAAAGUGUUUGAUAAAUCACCAAGUUAUGGAACACUUGAUGAUUUAUCUCAAAUAAAAAUUCAGCUUUCCAAAGUUUAUGAAUUGAAAAUAUGACCGUUAAAGCUCUCUAAACAAAGAAGACGAAGGUCUUAUUUUAUAGACUUUUACUUUACAAGAAAGAAAACACGUUGAAAACCAAAUCUCCAAUUUCCAAGGCUUGACAGAAAAUCACAAAAUUAUCUUUCCUAUUCUAGAGAUUGGUCACAUGAAGUCCAACCAAUAGGAAAUGAGAUAUUUAAGAAAGGAAGAUUUUGAUCAAUAUCAAUAUCAAAUGAAUUCUUAUACGCCUAGUCAAUUGUUAUGGGUAUCUUGACUCCUUGAUAUUGUGAUAUGAUUGAAACAUGAUUUCCACGUUAGAAAAUUAAGGGGAUGUUAAAACAUGAAGGUAAUAGGAGAAUCAAAUUGAUUUGGGCCAAAAUUGCCUAAAAAGAAAACACUCCUUAAUAAACUUCAAUUUACUUUUAAAAAUAGUAAAACGUGAUUGAAUCGUUCUUUAAAACAAUUCCCUAAUAUACAUGCAUGAUAGUGAUAUCACUUACCUUUGAAUCAGAUGGCUUUCACGGGUCAAGCCACAAGUUUUUGUCUUGGGGAUUGCUGAGCUUCAUCAAUCCUGCCAAUGUCAAUUUUGCCCCUAAGCUCUCUCAAAGCACGUUUACAACCUAUGCUAACAUAUAUUAGAGUUUAUGUUAGUAUCAAGAAAAUGCCAACACUAAUUUCGUAACACGUAGAAAUUGUUAGAGAUUGAAGUUUUUAUCAUUUUUUCUUCCAGACUCUCCACCACUCACUAAUAUAGUUUACUCAUGUGAUGAGUUUACAAAACCUAUUUCUCUACUCUCACAAAGACUAUACUUAGGGGGGUGUAUUCAAUUAGGAUUCUAAAGCGUUUAAAAAGAUUUUGUUUAAGUGCCAGCUUUCAUAGAACUUGAUGGAACUUUAUAAUUCGUAUAGAACUUGAUAGACUUUCAGAAGACUUCUGUAUAAUUUUUUAAUAAAACUUUCUUAAGCUUUCAUAGAACUUGAUAGGCUUUCAUUCCAAACUUAUGUAGAUGGUAUAUUUCAUUUUAUCCCCAUCCUUGACAUUUAAAGAAAGAAACUUGAAUUUUUUCAAUCAAAUUUGUUUUUGUUACCAAAGCAGCAAAAACAAAAAGUACUUGUUUGCGAUGGAAGAACAUAUGCACAGUUCAAAAUGAAAAGAAUAAGAAGCAAAGUACCUAUUUGACCAAUGAAUGCUGUGUCAACUAGAGAAGCAAUUGGAUCGGCUGUCAAAGCCAAUGCUGCAGGCAAUGCAUCGAUGGUCCAAAUUGCAAUAAAAAAAUAUUUUGAAUAAUGGCUCUUGCAGACAAAGACCACAUAAAUUCUGAACUGGUCUAGCUUGAAUAAUAAGGUUAGAUUAGCCAAUUGAUGAGAUUAAAAGCAAAGCAAGUUGAUGAAUUUAUCAUCAACUAUUUAAUAACCACAGUCCUGAUCUCUUGGACCCCUGUAGUCCAAGAGAUUUAUGGUCACCCACCGUUGGAUGUAAAUUCAACGGUUGACUUGAAUCGGGUAAUAAUCAUUUAUGUCAUAUUGCAUUUAUAUAUAUCAUUUUGAACCAUUGGAUUAAUAUCCAACGGUGGGUGACCACAAUCUCUUGGACUCCUGUGGUCCAAGAGAUCGGGACUGUUAAUAACCAAUAGAGUAUUUAAACAUAAACAACAAUGUUUGAUCAACAAAACAAAUAGUCCAAAUAUCAUCCAAAAAACAAUAACAAAAAAUCAAUCAUUCCAAACAAACUAGUCAUUCUCAAAAACUCUCAAAAAACCCACUCAUUCCAAAUUGUAGGAUAUCCAAUUUGAGCACUCCUCAGGAGACAUUUUCAAAAAUGCAUCCUUUUUUGUGUUACUAUGCAACAAAGAGAGUGCUUUAUAACGAGCAUGUUCAUCCAAAUUUGGGGUCUCCUUAAUGGCAUCCCAUAUAUAACUCCGCUGCUCUCUCUCUUUUUCCCUUUUUGCCAAUAGGUUAUGGACCUCCCGGAAGUCGAUGACAAUUGAAUCAAUGCUAAGGCUAAUUCUUCCCAUAGCUUGCUGGGUGGUCACAUUUGAGAUAGCAUUCCCUUCCAAAUAUGUUCUAGUUCGUUUCCUCUAGUAACAAGCAUAAAUCCUAGUAACAAGCAUAAACCCUAACCCCAACCUAUAACCUAAUAACAAGAAGAAAACCCAACGAGGUAUUGAUCAAAGAAAAAUUAGGGAGCAUACCUUCACAGAUGGAGGAAGGAAGCUGUUCGUCUUCGCAGAGAGAAAAUCUAGGGAAAGAGAAAAACGUCUUAUGAAAUACUUGGGGGGGAGGUUGGAUUUAUUUUGGUCUUUUUUAUUUAUAACUCUCCCCUUAAAACCUACGUAAAUUUAUCACUUAAUGAAAUCCUUCCAAAUAUAUGACCUUUCGAAUACACCUAGAUUUGAUUCAACUUUUUUAUAAUCAUAAUUGAAUACACCCAUAUUUGAAUGGACUUUUUAAAAGUUCAUAUAGGUCCGAAAUGAAUAUACUCAAACUUGUAAAACCUCUUUUAAAGUUUGUAUAAAUCCAAAUUGAAUACACCUGGAUUUUUAAAAUCUUUUUAAACACUUUAUAAUCCUAAUUGAAUACACCCCCCUUAUUCUCAAAAGACUAUAUUACUUUACCUCUAUCUCUGUGAAAUGUAAAAAGUUGAAACUUUAAUGUCAAACCUCAACAAAAGAUGAACUUUCAUCAGUUACGUUGAAUUUGGAUUUGUUGAACUUAAGUGGUUUUAUUUUCUUUGUCAGUGUUUGAUGACUUAAUUUGGUAUUUAUUUCUUCUUUUUUUUCCUUGGAAAUGUGUUCCACCAACGUGAGGAAGAAAAAUAUGCACAAAUUAAUAUAUUUAAUAGAAGCCCAAGAUUUCGGAUGCAUAUAAUUUCUACAAAAAUCUACAAAGUUUUUUACUUUACAAACUUCUUAUGUCUACCAAUUUCUACUAAAAUUAAUUUCUCUGUGGUGCUCAAAUUCAUCAUAUGUGUGUCGUUAAUUUUAUUGAAAAUUGGAAGUUCCCAUCAUUUUUGUUUUUUGGGAAUUUUCUGAACCAAGGAAAAUCAAGUAAAAUUAAUAAAGCCUAAAUUGGAAAGGGAAAAUAUCUAGAGGAUGCAUUGUAGGAUUGCUCAUGCCAAUAAUUGUACCCUCUAAAUAUAUAGAGACAUAUUUUUUUUGUUUUCAUGACAUGUGGUCCUAAAAUUAUUGUGUAAAUCUUCAAUCCUGAACGAUGCACCUAAAACUCAUCCACCCAUUCUCAGGCCAAUUAUUGCACCUAGUGGGCUCUCGACCCCCUCUCAAAUUUAACCACAUAUUUUAUGGACCAUCCAGCUGUGAGGUACAUUCCCCCCACAUGCCACAAUUGUAUAUUCACAAUUACGUCUGAUACAUCACAUCAUGCCACUUGCCUCAAAUGAAUUUAAGUGAGUGAGGCAGUUGGAAGUAAUUAAGCUCUAUAUUGGUGGGUGGAGUGUUACUUCUCGGUUCCCCUCAUCAUUCGUCUAUAAAAUGGUGAAGGCAGUUGCUAUUGUUACCAUAAGAGCCAGCUCCGACUUCCUUUAAUUUCUUGCUUCAUAUCCACUAGCUACAUCUGUUACCAAGUUAAUUUCAGUUCUAAUGGGGUUUCAUCUCCCACUCAUCUUUGCUCUUCUCAGUGUAAGCUCUGCAAUUUGAUUAACUUUUCCAUUCUCUCUCAUUGUACUCUAUAUAAACGAAAGUUUUGUGUUCCUAUUGUUCUCUCCGAUUUUAUUUAGUACGUACUUAAGUGUCGUCCACUAAUUAAUUAUACUUUGUGAUUUGAUUUUAAUUUGAGUUUGAAUUAAUGUUGCAGCUAGCAGCAGUGGCACUGGCAAACCAUGCUGCUCAACCAGCACCUCAACUUUACUGGAGCUCCGUCCUGCCAAACACACAGAUGCCAAGAUCUAUCAGUGAACUUCUGCAUCCUGGUUUGUGUUGAGCUCUUUAGAAUCUUAGAUAUCUCUUCUACCUGCCAUUUUACUAAAAUAUGUUCCACCACAUAUUUAUCAGUUAACCAUUGUCAUUACAUGAGUGACACAUAUUCACAAAUCGGCUGAUCACUUAUUUUCCAUUAUGACUUGAUAUAUAAUUUGCAGACUCCACAAAUGAAGAAAAGAGCACAAAUGACGUUGGCAAACCUGAAACUUUCCCAUUGGGCAAUCAACAUUACUCCAGUCAAAAACAUUAUGGAGGCAUACCUGAAACUUCCCCAUUGGGCAAUAAACAUUACUCCAGUCAAAAACAUUAUGGAAGAGGCAAACCUGAAACUUUCCCAUUGGGCAAUCAGCAUUACUCCAGUCAAAGACAUUAUGGAAGAGGCAAACCUGAAACUUUCCCAUUGGGCAAUAAACAUUACUCCAGUCAAAAACAUUAUGGAAGAGGCAAACCUGAAACUUUCCCAUUGGGCAAUCAGCAUUACUCCAGUCAAAAAAAGUAUGGAAGAGGUGCUUCUCCAUCCGACAAUCAACAACUCCAUUAUAAAGACUUAGCUAUUUUCUUCUUGGAGAAGGACAUGCGCCCUGGCACAACAAUGAAGUUCCAAUUCCCUAUAAAUUCAAACACGGCUACUUUCUUGCCACGAGAAAGCGCUCAAUCGAUCCCCUUCUCCUCUAACAAACUGCCAGAAAUUUUCAACCAUUUUUCAGUGAAGCCAACAUCUGAGGAAGCCAAAACAAUUAAGCAAACAAUCGAAGAGUGUGAAGCUCCAGACCUUAAGGGAGAGGAAAUAUAUUGCGCCACAUCUUUAGAAUCAAUGGUUGAUUUUAGCACUUCGAAGCUUGGAACAAGAAACGUUGAAGCAAUCUCGACGGAGGUAUUGGAAAAAGGAGCCACCAUGUCCAUCCAAAACUAUACAACAAUGCCGGGACUGAAGAAGUUGGCAGGUGACAAAGUCGUUGUGUGUCAUAAGCAGAACUAUCCCUAUGCUGUGUUUUUCUGCCAUGCAAUAAAACAUACAGCAGCUUAUGCUCUCUCCCUGAAAGGCGAUGAUGGGGAGAAGGUUAAAGCAGUAACCAUCUGCCAUCUAGACACAUCAGAAUGGGACCCAGAGCAUAUGUCCUUCCAAAUCGUCAACGUUAAGCCCGGAACCAUUCCCAUCUGCCAUUUCAUUUCCACUGAUGCUAUUGCCUGGGUUCCGAACCACAAAUCUGCAUGAUCAUCACUUAGCACUAGUACUGUGCGUAUAAUAUGCCUGUAUAAUUAUCUCCCUACUUAUUUCUGCCUCUUCAUCAUGUGGUGUAAGAUAUAUGUUGAGAUGAAGUUUUUGGGAUUUGUGGUCGAAAUUAACCCGAUCAUGUUUUCUCUUGCAACCAUAUAGACUUCAACUUGUACUCAUAAUAAAGCAUGCUAUAUUUAUGAAGAGAUAUUAAUCUUCAGGCAAAUAGAUAUUAUGAAAACAUAUAUAGCAAUUUAUCCAGAAGAAACAUUAUGAAAUGAAAAGAAUAAAAAGUAGAAAAACAGAAGGAAAGGAAUUCGCACGUGCUAUGCUAUGUAUGAAAGGACCAAGAUUGUUUUCCCUUUGGUUAAUGACUAGAAAAGCUCACUUGCAGAGUGCUUUCUCCGACCAUAGAUGGAAGAGAAAUUUUCUCUUAAUAAUAGCACAAUGAUCGGGUAAUUGUAAGAACAAGUUGAUUUAAAAUUCCUUGACCCAAAAAAAAAAAAAAAGUUCUUUUCAAAUUCAGGUCAACCCAUAGAUUUCUUGCCUUCGUCUUCUUCAUCACGUUGGGCUUGUCUUCUUUUUGCGUUUUGGGCCUUGGAAGUUGGGACCCAACCCAACUUCACAAAAAGAAAACAGAUUUGCCAAAAAUCAAAUUUCAAGUCUCUCCUCCGAUCACUAAUACAGAUCAAAUUUUGGAUUUGAUGAACUAAAGUGGUUUUACUUUCUCUGUCAGUGUUUGAUGACUUAAUUUGUUAUUUACUUUUUUUUUUUUACUUGAUCUUUGUAGGGGCUUUUUUUUUUCCGGCAGCUUAAACGGGCUGGGCUGCCGUAAAGGGUAGAUUGAUGAAAUUGUCCCCUUUGUCUGAAUUCGAAAAUCAAGCCCCAAAAGCGCUUCGAAAGGGCAGUAGAGCCUUAGGAAGCGUUCUGGUUACCUUCACUAAUUAAAACAACAGCAACUUACAGAUGAUUUCUUGAGGCUUACAGAUAAAUUUUCUAGCUUGGCAUGACAUGGAAGCAAAAUCAGCAUGAGUUUAGCACCAAAGAGGAAAAUAUGGCUUCCUAGGGAGAAAUGAGAGUGUUUAAGGUGAGGAAGAAGAGGUUUGCAGGCUGAUUUGGCUGAGAAAAGAGAAAGAAAGAACAAUGUUCUUCCGGCAGCUUGACAAAGCUUCUGACAGAUGUGAAAGUCGUCCGCCAGAAGAGGAAAAUGGAGAAGAAGGAUGAAUAGUGCACGAAAUUGGUGGGUUCUUGCAGGUAAGAGAGAAAGCUUGCUCUCUGAAUCUGAGUUGGUUUUGGUUGGGUAGAAGAAGCCCCCUUUUAUAGCUGCGGGAAACCAUCUUUUUCCAAGAAACCCUAAUGGUUUCUAUCCUUUUUGGCCAAGCUUUUCCCUUCCUUUCUCUUCUCCUCCCUUGACUUUUCCUAUCUUGGUGAAAUUUCCUCUGCCUAUUUGCACAAAAUUAGAGAUUUUGAGGAGCUCAAGGCCCCUUUCCCGCAGCUGCCUUAGUGGAGAAUCCCCAUUUUCAGUCAUCUUUCUUCCUUCUUUUCUCCCAUCUUCCAAGGCUAGGUUUGAUGAGAGAAAGAAAUGGAUAUGCACACUGGUUUGAAGGGUGUUUUUCCUUGAAACUUGUUCUCUCCCAUGUGCUGGAGCUUCCCAGCAGCUUACACACAUAGAUAUUUUGGCUUUCAUCGUGGCUUUUGUUUUCAGCUAGGUGCUGGAGAUUUUGCAUAUAUUUUCUUGAGUUGCUUGGGCCUUCUAGGACAAUACGUUGGUUUAUCAAGUGAAUGGGCUAACUUCAUCAAUUGUUGGGCAAUUUUGGUUGAGUUAAUGGACUAUUUUGGUUCAAGUAAUGGACUAUUUUGGUUGAAAUAAUAGGCUAUUUUUCUCUCUUUGUGCUCACCCACAUAUUUGGGCCUAAAAAAUGGGCUUGAGUUUCGGGGCUCCCAAGCAACCCCGGGACUUCCAUUUCUCGGCCCAUCAAUGAGCCUCAUGUCAACUUAUUACCAUCCAUACCACAACCCACUCAAGCAAGCCUCAGGCAUCUUGCGUGGCUUGGGCCCACGUAAGCUCGUAGUGGCAAUGUUGCUUAUUUGCUUGACGUGGCAUGUGUGCAAGUGCAUAUGACGAACUUUCGCGUGCCCAAAUUGAGUUUCUUCUCGGUAGGGUAUCGCAUUGGGCCGAGAAUUUAAUUGGGUAGAACCGUGGAUUUUUUGGGCCUCAACAAUCUUAUAUAUAUUAGUUUUCUUUUUUUCCUUAAUAUUCACCACCUUUCUGUUGCAUAAGUAUUCCAGUCUUAGCGGGUUUCCAUCUACCACUCAUCUUUGCUCUUUUAAGUGCAAGCUUUUUUAUUUUUAUUUUUUUAUGCACAAGAUUAGAGGGGAGGGAGAUUUCUCAAUGUAAGCUUUGCAGUUUCAUAAUUAAUAUUUCCAAUAUCUCACUGUUAGUAAAAUAUGGAACGGGAAAAGUACGAAUAAAAUACACACAUGUUUUAUUUAGCAAAAUUUUGACAAGAUACAACUGAAAAGUUUGGCCACUAUAUAAUAUUUUGAUUUAAUUUUUUUUAUUUUUUUAAUAUAUAUUAUUUUUAUUCAAUAAUAUGUGAAAAAUAGGUGUACAAUAUAUGAAAUUUGUAUGUAUUAUUGAAAAAUUCGUAAAAAAAAAACAUGUUAUUAAAUGUGAAAAAUAUGUACGUAUAUGUAUAAAACAUGUAUUGUACAUUACUUUUUAACAAACUUGUAUUUUACCUAGUCUUUAAACCGUAUAUGGAAAACGGAAGUAUUAUUGAAAAAUACAUAUGUACGUAUAUGUAUAAAACAUGUAUUGUACAUUACUUUUUAACAAACUUGUAUUUUACCUAGUCUUUAAACCGUAUAUGGAAAACGGAAGUAUUAUUAAAAAAUACAUAUGUACGUGUAUAAUAUGAGUAUUAAACAAAAAAAUGUGCUAAGUACUUAUCUUUUAAUUUAAUAAUUCAUUUCAUUUUGUGAUCUCAUACGUAGUAAUGAGAGUUCAAAUUAAUGUUGCAGCUGACAAUGGUGGCUCUGGCAAGCCAUGCUUGAUGCAGGAGUAUAGGGGUGGAUCAAGAUAGAUAUUUACCAUGUAAUUAGUUAUUUCAUGAUAUAUUGUUAUUUUCUUAUUUAGGUAGUUUUAUGAUAUCUUUUAUUAUUUAUGUGGGAUUUUAUAAUUAAUUAGUUUACUUUUGGACCAAGUAGCCUUGGUGCUCAAGUCUUGUAAAGCUUAUAAAUAAGGCUAAUGUAAUAGUUGUAGGAAAAGAGAUGUCGAUGAUUAAUAAAAUCGUUUAUUUGUGGCAUGGAUUUGCUACGAUAUAUGUGAGUUUGCACUAGCCCUAGAUUUCGGUGCUCGUGUAUGUGGUUGGUGACCUGUGUCCGGAUCCCGAUCCCCAUCAAUGCUGUUCUCCCAGUACCUCAACUUUACUGGAACUCUUUCCUGCCAAACACAAAUGCCAAGAGCUAUCAGUCAACUUCUGCAUCCUGGUUUCUAUUAAGGGACUUUUCGUGAGCUUAUCAUCUACCCAAAUUUUACUCAUCCGACGUAAUUUUAAAAGUGAUUUGAUCCUUUGGCAAAGUAAUCUUGAACUACAAAAAAGGAGGGCACUCGAAUAGGCAUGCCAUUUGGUAUUACCCACCUCUAAUUUCUUUUAAAAUUUUAGUAAUUGAUUUUUAAGAUUAGAAAAUGGGAAAGUUCAAAACCGAAAAAGUUGUUUCAGUUUUGGCAAGUAUCGGAAAAGACUAAAAUUUUCCGACUUUAUUAUUACUAGAAACAAAGUCGAAGUAUUCACCAAUCAUGUGGCCUUCCAAGUGCUCAAGGUUAAGCCAGGAACCGUUCCUAUCAGCCAUUUCCUUCCCAAGUAUGAUCAUGUUGUCUGGGUUCCAACCCACAAAUCUACAUCAGUACCUGAACUAAUCAGUUCUACAUGAAUAUUCAUUCAUGGCAACCUUGGGCUAAGUAUUUGAAUUUAUGCUCAUAAAGCUUUAAUGCUUUUGAGGGCCAAUCGUUGUCUACAUAUGGUAUUGUAGCAUCUUUAGAUGGAAGAGGUCAGGGGUUCAAUUCUUGUUUUCCACUUCUUUAUUUGUUGGUUUAUCGAGUGUAGAGUGGAGUUGCACCUAUAUGUUCGUCUCUCACCCCAUCAUUUACCAUUGAUAUAUAUUUAAUAGAAGCCUAAGAUUUCGGAAGCACAUAAUUUCUACUUUACAAACUUCCUGUGUCUACCAAUUUCUACUAAAAUUAAUUUAUCUGCGGUGCUGAGAUUCAUCAUAAUUUUAAUAGAAAUUGGAAGUUUUCAUCAUUUUUGCUUUAAGUCUCUACUCCACUCACUAAUAAAGAUUACUCAUGUGAGUUUACAAAACAUUUUUUUUUUCUACUCUCUCCUGAAGACUACACUUCUUCUCAAAAAAUUAGAUCACUUCACAUCUUGUGUAUGUGAAAACUAAUGUAAAAAGUUGAAACUUUAUCGUAAAACCUCGACAAAAAUGAGCUCUACUACAAAAUGUUAAAUUUGGAUUCGUUGAUUUAAAUGGCAAUUUGACACUUGAUAGAAAUUUUUACAUACAUGUGUUAGUGUUUGAUCACUUCACAUGUCACUUACUAUAUUUAUUCCACUCAAGUUAGGUAAAUAUUAUUAUCAAACAUUUCAAUUAAUUUGUGAUUUUUUUAUUAUUUAAUCAAUUAUGAAUUAAUGGAUUCUUCUUGUUGUUUUGAAGACCAACAAAAAAAAAAAAAAGGGUAGUGAUGGCUUAUAAUUCUGGUAAAACAACAGUGACGUGGACAACAGAUGUUACGCUGUACUAAAGAUUUUUGAAGAUUCUUUAUUUGAGUUUCUUUCAAGAUAAAAACCAUAUUAUCCACAACCACAAGCACAUCCGGCAGACAAUCUUUGGCUAUUCAUCACAAUUGGGAGACAAUGAAGAAGACAGAAAAUGGAGUAAUUCAGAUGUUACCAGCCAUCCACGACAAACUGAAGUCUGCAAAGCAUUCGUAAUCUAAAAAGGAUGGGGAGGCUGCGCAAUACUUAGCCACGUGUAGGCCAGGAGGCUUUCCAAUUUUAAUAUAUAUAUAGAUUGAAAAAAUAAAAUAAAAAUCAAUCUAUUAUCAUAUAUAUUAUAAAAUAAAGAUUAUUGCUCCCAUGGGCGGUGCUAUGCACAGGACAGUGCCUGCCUAGUCCAAAUUUUUUUUAAAUAAAAAUAAAAAUCUACAUAUGUUAUAAGCUCAUCCAAAAAAAAAAAAAAAAAUAAAAGUGUUGUAAAUUAUAAGGUGGAGCCCACAUGUUGGAAGGCUUUGCCUACAAAAGGGUUCACACCCUCCCUUUGUAAUUAGACAUUGAGAAUACUAAGGAAGACAGAAAUGAAUAGAGAGAAAACAUUCCCUUCUCUCCAUCUCAAUUCCCUCUCCAAUUCCUCUAGAUUUAUAACACGUUAUCAGCAGCACGAAUCGCUUUCAAACAAUACCAGCUGAAUUUUAUGAUGAAACCCAGAUCUCUCAUCCAUCUCUGCUGCUCCACUACUUCAAAAUAAAUCCCACAGAAAAAGAAAAAGCCUCAAUGCUCUCUCUCUCUCUCUGUCUCGCUUGGGAGACUUGGACAAUUCCUCAUCCCCGUUACUGACAAUUUCAACAGCUUCAGGGGAAGCUAGUUUAUCUUCCUCUGCUCACGAAACCAUGACUCUUUCAGAGCCAAACAACAACACAAUAGACAACGCAUGGAGACCAGACUGGAGCUCGUCGGCUAAGGCACCGACGAUCCGACCCUACCCGUAUGGACCUUCCGGAUGUGGUUCCUGGGUCUUGUCUCAUGUGCCCUCCUCUCAUUUCUCAACCAAUUCUACAAGCAGCAGAGCUUCAAAUCAAACAGAUCAUGGCAUCGCUUUCACACCUCCCCAUCUUCCUCUUCCUCCUGUUCACCGCUUUCUAUUCUACAGCUUCGCAGUCCUUCAUCGGCGCAUCCAAAGGCGACAUACCGGCGCUCGCCUCAGAUCCGAACGCGGCGGCUCAGUGGGUGAACUCGAAUGUCCUCGCCUUCUACUCGGCCAGCAACAUCGACCUCAUCAACGUCGGCAACGAGGUCCUUUUUCUCCAACGACCAGGGCCUCAUCUCGCAGCUCCUCCCCGCCAUGCGAAAUGUCCAAUCUGCCCUCUCCGCCGCGUCCCUCGGCGGCAAGGUCCGUGUCUCCACGGUCCACUGCCUCGCCGGAUCGGGAUCCUUCCUUCAAGUGUUUCUCUGUCUUCGACUUGAAAAAGAAGGUCAUGGCAGGCCUAUGUAAAAAUUGCGAAAAGGAAGGCAAUCUUCAACCUUUUCUCCUGUCUCUCUCUUGAUCAAUUCAUGGAAGGCACAUUUGGGUCUUCCGGGGGCUCAUCAAAUGAGUCAGCAAUGUCAAAGGUGGAGGUGGUGGAGCAAGACUACGUGGGGAUGUCAUAUGAGGCAACCUCAUACCCAGCUGAGGCAGAGCUUGUGCUGGGCCUGGGCCUUGGCCUGAGCCUUCGUGGUGGUGGUGCAGGGAAGCAGCCAAAGCCAUGUGCAUGGGGUGAGCGUGGUAGAAUCUUGACUGCUAAAGUUAGGUGCUGAGUUACACUGUGUUCUCUGCUACUGACCCUAAGAGGAGUGCUAGAAACUUCCAUGUUCCGCCAUCAUUUCGCUUUCACUGUUACAAGGCACUGGAGUAUGUUUAAUUGAAAAGUGAGAUACACAGCAAGUUGAUCAGCCUAGUGGAAAGCAAAGGAUUAUUGCCAGGGAUAUGAACACCCACCGAAAUAAAGGGAUAAGUACUCUUUUUCCCUUCGACCAGUUUUUUUUUGUCCCACUGGGUUUUUACUGGCAAGGUUUUUCACGAAACAUAUUCCGUAUCAUUUGUGGUCUCUAAGAGGGAGUGUUGUAAAUUAUAAGGUGGAGCCCACAUGUUGGAAGGCUUUGCCUACAAAAGGGUUCACACCCUCCCUUUGUAAUUAGACAUUGAGAAUACUAAGGAAGACAGAAAUGAAUAGAGAGAAAACAUUCCCUUCUCUCCAUCUCAAUUCCCUCUCCAAUUCCUCUAGAUUUAUAACAAAAAGUAAAUUCUACACAUAUGUUGCCCAUCCAGGUGGUCCCAUAUCUUCUCUUUCCUUUUCUUUUGGCUAUUAGACUUCUUGUUUCUCUCUCUCUCUUUGCUACCCCACAUCAGCAAGUUUCUCCCUCUCUUUUUUUGGGAUCAAAUUCUUCUUCUAUUGACAAAAUCUUCUAUUAUAUUGGGUGGGCAACUUGGCAACAACAUCUUCUCCUCUCCUUUUGUCAACAGCAAGUAUUAUUCUCAUUCUCUCAUUUGCUAUAUAUCUUUAAUUAUAGUUUUAAUUUAAAAUUGAGUAUUCUAGGGUUUAAUUAGGGAUGAAUUAUAAUUUUGGGAUUUUGUUGAAAUUAAUUAGGGCUUCGAUUAGGGGUGAAUUAUUCUACUGCUUUGAUUUGGAAUUUUGUUAAAAUUGAGUAUUAUAGGUUUAAUUAUGGAUGAAUUACAAUUUUUGGUUUUGGUAUUGUUGAGAUGUUAUUAUGAGAAUUUGUUUGAUUUUUUGUUGGUAUAUUUGAUUAAAAUUCUUUCUACAUAUUAUUCAUAGGCUAUCUUUUAUUAUGUCGGAUCACAAUCGGAAUCCCAAGAAAACAAAAAAUUUGAAUAGUGUUGUUUUGUAUUGCAUUGCAUUUACUUUUGGUUUUAGUUUUGCUUUUAGUGUAAAUUACUCAAAUGGUCCUCAAAUUUGUACCCAAUUUACAUUUUGGUCCAUAAACUAAAUUAUUCAUUCAAAUGGUCCACCAACUCUUUAUUAAUCGGUGCUUUGGUCCUAUCGUUAUGUUUUCUAUUAAAUUUAGUCAUGUGAGCAGCACAUGCUACAUUUGUAUGGGUAAAUAAGACUUUUGACCAGUGGCGGAUCCACGUUGGGACAAGAGGGGUCGGACGACCCCUUGGAAGGCUGGAAAUUUGGCAAGGGAGUCCAUGAAAGCCCCCUUGGACAGCUGCUGGAAGCCCCCUUGUAUGCACACAAUGUGCUCGACGAAAUGCCCCAACGAAAUGUCCUGCGCAGCUGUGCUGCGCCUUGCGCGUAAUUUUUUUUUAAAACCAGCCUUGCCAAACGACGUCGUUUGGUCAAGGCUCAGUCAAAUUUUUUUUUAAUUAACCUGGCCUCAAAACGACGUCGUUUUGGGCCAGGUUUAAAAAAAAAAAAACAGAACAGUACACACGCACAGCAGCUCUGCACAGAUUCAUUUUCUCCAAACCUUUCAUUCCCAAUUCCACAGCCCCUCUUCCCAUCCUCUCAAACCCUAACCUCCCAACCUCCCAACCUUGGACAACCUCCAUCAACUCUUCACCGGUGGCCCAAUGCCGAUCACCACCACCUUCUACCGCCGUCCGCCGCCCAUUUUUUAAACUACAAGUAAGUAAGCAUGGAAAAUCUGAUAUUAAUAAUUAUAGUGAUAAUAUAUAUUGUUGAUAUUGAUAUUUUUUUUUUAUGUAAUGAAAUUUAUGGAUAUGAAUCAUAUUGAUUGAUUGAGUUUAUGCUUGAAAUUUAUGGAUAUGAAUCAUAUUGAUAUUUUUUUUUAUGUAAUUAAAUUUAUGGAUAUGAAUCAUAGUGAUAAUCAUAUUAAUGUAGAUUGAUUGAGUUUAUGCUUGAUUGAUAAUAUGAAUUGAUUGGGUAUAUUAAAUAUUGAUUGCUAUUUGAUAUGAUAAUUUGGUAUAUUGAAUAUUGAUUGAUAUGGGUUUAGGGAGUAUAUUGAAUAUUGAGAGUGGGUUAUUGAAAUUUUCAUAUUCAUAUGAUAAUUAGGAUAAAAAUUAAUGAUUGAUUGAAUUAAUUGAUUUGUAGAUUUAUGGAACGAUUCUUUAAAAGAAAAUUAUCUACGGAUAGUUCUUCUCUGUCUAAUCCGGGUAGUUCAAAUGCAAGACCAAUUGAAGUAGAUGAGAUCUUAGCUAAUCUUCAAGCAGACCCUGGACUAAGAACUCGAAUGGCGGAUUAUAGUCCUAAUAUUAGGGAUGAGAUCCGAAGAGCAUAUCUACAAAAGGGACCUUGUCAACCUAGAAGUUAUAAAUUCCCACAAACUAAUCAAUCAGGAAUUAAUAGACGCUUCAUUGCUCAUUGGUUUGAUGAUCAUGAUUGGUUGGAAUAUAGUAUUGCUAAAGAUGCUACGUUUUGUCUUCAUUGUUAUCUCUUCAAAUCUAAUUUUGAUCAAGUGGGUGGUGAUGCAUUCACUGGGGUAGGCUUCAAUAAUUGGAAGAAGGCGAAAGAAAGAUUUAACCUUCAUAUUGGACCGGUUGGUAGUGUUCACAACCAAGCUAGAGAAGUUGCUUACAAUUUGAUGCAUCAAACUACACACAUUGAAACAAUUGUGCUCAAGCAAACAAGCCAAGCUCGCACGGCUUAUCGCACUUGCUUGAAUGCAUCACUUAAGUGCACUAGGUAUUUGUUGCGGCAAGGGCUUUCUUUUCGUGGUCAUGAUGAAAGUGCACAAUCAAGUAAUAAAGGGAAUUAUUUAGAGCUCUUGCAAUUUCUUGCGGAUCAUGAUGAAAAAGUUAAGGCCGUUGUAUUGGAAAAUGCUCCGGGAAAUUUAAAGUUAAUAGCUCCUUCAAUUCAAAAAGAUCUUGUCAAUUCUUGUGCCAAAGAAACCAUUGAUCUUAUCUUGAGUGAUGUAAAAGAUAGAUAUUUUUCAAUAAUGGUGGAUGAAGCACGUGAUGUUUCAAUAAAGGAGCAAAUGGCAAUGGUGUUGCGUUAUGUGAAUGACAAAGGACAAAUAAUUGAAAGGUUUGUGGGGGUUCAACAUGUAACCGACACUACUUCAAGUGCACUAAAGGAAACAAUUGAUGAAUUCUUUUCUUCCGCGAAUUUGAGCUUUUCCAAGCUACGAGGACAAGGUUAUGAUGGAGCUAGCAAUAUGAGAGGUGAGUUCAAUGGCCUUAAGAGAAAGAUUUUGAGAGAACAACCUUGUGCAUUUUAUGUUCAUUGCUUUGCUCAUCAACUUCAACUAGCUCUUGUUGCGGUAGCAAAGAAAAACAUUGAUGUCAACUCUUUUUUCACAACGGCUAAUAGUUUGGUUAAUGUGGUUGGAGCAUCUUGUAAGCGUCGCGAUGCACUUAGAGCACAAUACCAAGAAGAGCUUGUGAGAGCUUUUGAAGAUGAUUGUCUUAUAACGGGGCGGGGCUUAAAUCAAGAAAGGACUCUCAAACGUGCCGGCAAUACACGAUGGAACUCACAUUAUGGUACGUUGAUUAGUAUCAUUUCUAUGUUCCCAUCUGUGGUGAAUGUGCUUCAAAUGAUUGUUGAUGAUAAUCUUAAUGAUAGUUCGGGUGAAGCCUAUAAGUUAAGGAGAGAAAUACAAUCUUUUGAGUUUGUGUUUCACUUAUUUGUAAUGAAAGCUAUAUUGGGAAUAACAAACACUUUGUCUCUAGCAUUGCAAAAGAAAGAUCAAGACAUUGUGAGUACAAUGAAUUUAGUGAAAACAUGCAAGGAAAACCUGCAGUUGAUGAGGGAUAAUGAGUUUGAAGAAUUGGUUGGGCAAGCAUCCUCGUUUUGUUACAAAUAUGAUAUUAUAGUUCCUACCAUGGAUGAGGAAUAUGUAAUUCCAGGGAGAUCAUGGCGUAAUGCUCCAAUGAAGACAAAUUAUCAUCGUUAUCGUGUGGAGAUCUUUAUUCAUGUAAUUGAUGGGCAACUUGCGGAAUUAAAUGAUCGCUUCAACGAGGUAAGUACUGAGUUACUUACUUGUUUGGCAUGCUUGAGUCCAAAAAAUAACUUUGUGACUUUUGACAAACGAAAGCUAGUUCGUCUUGCUCAAUUUUAUCCUUAUGAUUUUUCGGAUAGAGACUUAUUGAUGCUUGAAGAUCAACUUGGUGUUUAUGUUCAUCAUAUGCGUUCGAGUAGUGAUUUUUCUCAAUUGGAAGGGAUUAGUAGUCUUGCGGAAAAAAUGGUGGAGAAAGGAAUGCAUGAAAUAUUUCCUUUUGUAUUUGCUUCUUACAUUGGCUUUGGUUUUACCGGUUGCAACUGCAUCAGUGGAGAGGGCAUUUUCCGCUAUGAAUAUUAUUAAAAAUCCACUUCGCAACAGAAUGGGAGAUCAAUGGUUGAAUGAUAGCUUGCUUGUUUACAUUGAGAGAGAUGUUUUUGCUUGUAUUGAUAACGAAAUUAUAAUGCAAUGUUUUCAGAAUAUGAAAACUCGUCGUGGACAAUUGUAACUUGUAUUAUUGGUUUUGUUAUGAAUUAUGAAUGAAAGUACUAUCUUUCUAUCUUUUUAGCAUUAUUUUCUUUGUAGAAAAAUUUCAGAACUUUUACACUAAGCCCCCUUGGCUACAUAAUCCUGGAUCCGCCACUGCUUUUGACCACUUUAUCACCUAUGUAUCACCACUUUAUAACCUAUUUGGGGAACAUAGGUCAGUUAUGGACGGUUUUACCCUUACAUUUGACGGCAACAUUAACAUAAUGUAACAGUGGGAUCAAUGGAGUGAUUAAUAUAAAGUUGAUGGACCAUUUGAAUGAAUAAUUUAAUUGAGAGACCAAAAUGUAAAUCAAGUAUAAGUUUGAGGACCAUUUGAGUAAUUUACCCUUCGCUUUUAUAUUUGUUGAACUUUUAUUUAUGAUAGAUAUGCAUUUAAGGGUAAGACCCAUUAUGUUCCCCUGGCUAGGUGUAUCUUUUUAUGUUUAUUAAUGAAAUUCACUCGAACUGUUGAGUUUAGUAUGUAAGUUUUGCCUAACUGGCUUUUGAAUCCUAGAACCGCCACUGUUGCUCCAUCCUCCAUGCACUUGCAUGUGCUCUUACAAAGUGUGAAGUAGAUUUUGUGUGCUCCAAGUCAUUGACUAGAGCUGAAACAUGGUUAGCUAGAUUUAUAAGGACCCAUCUCUUUAUUUCCUAGACAUAUACCCAUCUCUCUAUAAAUCUAUAUGUAAAACCUAAUUUCAAACUUAAAUGACCAGUAGGAUAUAAAAGGUCAUAGUAUUCCUAUGUUUUUAUAUCGUUGCCACCAGACUUCUUAUUUUAUUUAUAAUUUAUUUCAAGCAUUUCAUUAACUGCCAUAAUUGUAAUUAAUACUCCAUAUUAAUAGCAUAUCAAUCACCCCAUUUCUUUUGGUUGCCAUUCCCUCUAACAUAUCGCCCCUUAAAUUUGAAAACCAAAAAAAAAAAAUGUAAAUUACAUAUCCAAUAAUGUACCUAUGAAAAAUAUAAAUAUAAAUAUAUACAUAUAAAAAUAUAGGUAUAUUAUUUACCAAAUAGAAAAUAUAAAAACCUAGGUCAGUUGCUUUGUAAUUGAAAUUUCUGUACAUUUUCCACAAAUUAAAAAUAGGUACAUAAUAAUUUAUAGAAAAUAUAUGUACAUUAUUUAUCCAUAGGUAAAAAUACCGAUAAAUGCACAUAGGUGAAUUAUUUACCAAUAUAUUAUUUUUUUGCUAAGGAUUUACCUUAGUUUUUAGUAGAUUAAUUUACCUACCUAGAGGCAUAGGUAGCUUAAAAAAAAUGUACCACCUUAGUUGGUUGCAUACUAAUUUACCUACCUAGAGGCAUAGGUUGCUAAGAAAAAAUGUAGGUAAAUUCAUGUACCUAAACACAUAGGGGUCAAAUAGAGAAUAACAUGUUAUUUCCCUUUGAACAAAUUAAUUUCAAACCAUAACAAUUAUUGAAUUUGGAAAUUGGUAUAAAUAAAAGGAAAUAAAUAAACUAUCAAUUUGAAAAUUAAAAUAAGAAAUGAUCAAGUAGUCAUAUUUGAAAAAAAAGGAAAGAAUAUAUUCUUGGUUUUUAUAGGAACAACGAGUAUAUUCAAACCAAACGGCGAUAACUACACCAAGCUUUAAUUACUUUUUUUUAAGGCCAAAAGUCACUUUUGGUCCCUGUAGUUCGGCAUUUCUACCACUUUUGAUGUUGUAGUUUCAAUUCCGUCAAUUUUGCCAUUGUAGUUUCGUAUUUGUAGCAAUUCAAGGACCUGUUAAUAUUAAUGUCAAUUUGUUUAAUGAUGCAAGAGGUAAUUUCGUCAUCCCAAAAUCCUUGAGCAUAAAAGAUUGUCUGAAAUUCUCCCCAUUUCAUAUUAGGGCUCGAAAUUCAACCACUAAUCCUAAUUUUUGAAGAACCCUAGACCCAAAUGACCAAUUUCAAGCCCUAAUAUGAAAUUACGGAAGUUUUAGAUGAGCUUUUAUGCUCAAGGAUUUUGAGUUGAAGAAACUGCCCCUUGCACUGUCAAAUAAAUUGACAGGAAUACUGACUUGUCCUUGAAUUGCUACAAAUACAAAACUACAGUGUCAAAAUUAACAGAAUUUAAACUAUAGGGUCAAAAGUAGUUGAAGUGUCAAACUAUAAGGACCAAAAGUGACUUUUAGCCUUUUUGUUUCAAUAAGGAAAAAACUGACCUAUUAAAUCCUUGGAAUCUAUACAAAAUUGAAACACAAUUAAUCAACAUUGAAUUGCAGCUAAUUUCUUAAACAAGGGUAUUAUAGGAAUUUAAAAAGUAUAACAUUUAAUCCAUUGAAUUUGAUUAGGAAACUUGAUGAAUUGAAUCCUAGUUAUAUAGUUUUUCUUAUAAAAAUCAGGUUUUAUUUAUAGACAAAUAAAACAAUGGGUUGUAGGUAAGAAAAUAUUAAUUUGAAGGGAAAGAGUCAAAUUUACUAAAUUAAUAAAGCAUAAAUUGGAAAGGGAAAAGAUCUAGAGGAUGCAUUGUAGGAUUGCUCAUGCCAAUAAUUGCACCCUCUCGAUAUUGAAAAACCUAUUGUUUAUUAUUAUCUUCAAUCCUGAAUGAUGCACCUAAAACCCAAGUGUCUCAGGCCAACCAUUGCGCUCAUACCACUUGUUGCAGUACACAUUCACCUGUUUUUAAAGAAAGAAAUUCUACCAAUCGAUAUUUUCUCAAAUUUAAUCACAUAGAUCUAUUAUGGUUAACCAUAUGUACUUUUAUCUGCCAUCCAGAGGUACCUUUUUCCAACGUGCAACAAUUGUAUUUGAUUCACAAUUAUGUCUGAUAUACAUCACAUCAUGCCACUUGCCUCAAAUGAAUUUAAUUGAGUGAGGCAAUGGGAAGUAAUUAAGCUCUAUAUUGGUGGGUGGAGUGUUACUUCUGGAACCCUCAUCAUUCGUCCAUACAGGGGAACAAUUCCCUUCCUUCUAUAAAAUGGGAGCAAUUCUCUCACUGUACUCUAUAUAAAGGAAUAAGUGUCGUCCACUAAUUAAUUACACUUUGUGAGAUUUGAUUUUAAUUAGAGUUCGAAUUAAUGUUGCAGCUAGCAGCGGUGGCACUGGCAAACCAUGCUGCUCAACCAGCACCUCCACUUUACUGGAAUUCCAUCCUGCCAAACACACAAAUGCCAAGAGCUAUCAGUGAACUUCUGCAUCCUGAUUUGUGUUGAAUAGAUAUAGUAUGUUACUGGAGUACGUAUGGCAACAUAUUCACAAAUGUGUCACGUAUUUUCCAUUAUGACGUUGAUAUAUAAUUGCAGACUCCACAAACGAAGAAAAGAGCACAAAUGUCAUGAAUGCUGUUGGGAAUGGAAAGCCAAUUGACCACAAGGGCAAACCUGAAAAUACUGUACUACCACAGCUUGCACGACGCCCAUUUUCUUACAAGAGUGAUGAUCGUCCCACUGACAAUCAACUCCAUUAUAAAAACGUAGCUAUUUUCUUCUUGGAGAAGGACAUGCGCCCUGGCACAACAAUGAGCUUCCAAUUCCCUAGAAAUUCAAACACGGCUACUUUCCUGCCACGAGAAAGAGCUCAAUCGAUCCCCUUCUCCUCUAACAAACUACCAGAAAUUUUCAACCAUUUUUCAGUGAAGCCAACAUCUGUGGAAGCCAAAACAAUUAAGCAAACAAUCGAAGAGUGUGAGGCUCCAGGC